GCAAUCUUUCAUGGAGAGAAACCUUAGUCUCAGUAUGAUCACUGUGUCAUUAACCCACUGCCUGCUUCUUUGCUUGGUUGUUGCAGCAGCAGCAGCAGCAAGCAGCAAUAUUACCACAGACCAACAAGCUCUUCUUGCCCUGAAAGAUCAUAUAAUUUAUGAUCCGACCAACCUUUUAGCCAAUAAUUGGACCUCGAAUAACUCUGUUUGUACCUGGAUUGGCAUCACUUGUGAUGUCAAUAGCCACAGAGUCACAGCCUUAGAUAUUUCUCAAUUCAAUCUACAAGGCACCAUCCCUCCUCAACUUGGAAACCUCUCUUCACUCACAACACUAAAUCUUAGUCAUAACAAGCUUUCUGGAAGCGUUCCCUCCCCCAUCUACACCAUGCAUACGCUAAAAUUUCUUGACUUCACCGAUAACCAGCUCUCUGGUUCAGUGUCUUCCUUCGUCUUCAACAUGUCUUCAAUAGUAGAAAUUCGUUUGACCAAUAACAGAUUUUCUGGUGUGCUUCCGAAAAAUAUUUGCAACUAUCUUCCUUAUUUGAAAGCCCUUUUCUUAAACAAAAACAUGUUUCAUGGCAAAAUUCCUUCUGCUUUAUCAAAGUGCAAAACUCUGCAAAUAUUAUUGUUACACUUCAAUAAUUUAUCCGGUGCAAUACCAAAAGAAAUCGGCAACUUGACUAUGCUCAAAGGCAUAUAUCUCGAAUACAACAAACUCCACGGUAUGUUCAUAAUACUAUGUAAAUGUUUUAAUUUCUCACUUGUUAUUUUUCUUGAAUACUUUAGAUAAGAUCUAGUAAGUGAGAUUUUUUGGAUCUGUGUUAAUUUGCCAGGUGAGAUACCCCACGAAAUCGCUAAUCUUCCAAAUCUAGAGGCUUUAGUGCUUGGAAUGAACAACCUAGUUGGUGUGUUACCAGCUCCAAUCUUCAACAUGUCAACACUGAAGGUACUUAUCCUCAUAAAUAACUCUCUCUCCGGAAGUCUCCCAUCAAGAAUAGACCUUUCACUUCCAACUAUGGAGCAUCUUAACUUGGCACUUAAUAGAUUUUCUGGAACCAUUCCUAGUUCCAUCACCAAUGCUUCUAAGCUCACCUUUAUAGAGUUGAGAGGAAACACAUUUUCGGGGUUUAUUCCAGACACAAUUGGUAAUUUAAGAAACCUUGAGUGGCUCAACUUGGCUAAUAACUCCUUGACAUCUUCAACCUCAAAAUUGAGCUUUCUUUCCUCUUUGGCAAAUUGCAAGAAAUUAAGAGUCAUAGGCUUAACAGGCAAUCCACUUGACGGCUUCCUUCCAAGUUCAAUAGGUAAUCUUUCUGUGUCUUUGGAAAUACUUUUCAUCGCCAAUUGCAGUAUUAGUGGCAACAUUCCUCAAUCAAUUAGCAAUUUAAGCAACUUGAUGAUCUUAGCAUUAGAAGGAAAUAAAUUGACUGGACCAAUUCCAAUUACAUUCGGCCGACUGCAGAAACUCCAAGGCUUACAUCUUCAAAUCAAUAAGUUGGUAGGUUCAUUCCCAGAUGAGCUUUGCCAUCUAGGUAGGCUGGCUGAAUUGGCCUUAUUGGACAAUAGGCUUUCAGGAUCUAUACCUUCUUGUGUAAGUAAUCUCACUUCUCUAAGAUCUCUCUAUUUAGGGUCCAAUAAGUUUACUUCUGUUAUUCCCUCAACCUUCUGGAGGCUAAAAGACAUCUUGUUCUUUGACUUUUCAUCAAAUUUCUUGGUUGGUCCUCUUUCUUUAGAUAUAGGAAAUUUGAAGGUGCUUCUAGGAAUAAGUUUAUCAAAAAAUAAUUUAUCCGGUGAUAUCCCAGCCACAAUUGGAGGACUGAAAGAUCUUCAAUUUAUGGACCUAGCAUAUAAUAGAUUGGAAGACCCAAUUCCCAAAUCAUUUGGUGACUUGACAAGUUUGGAGUUUUUGAAUCUGUCAAAUAAUAAAAUCUCUGGGUCUAUUCCAACAUCCAUGGAGAAACUCUUUUACCUCCGAGAGUUAAAUCUCUCUUUCAAUAAACUAGAAGGUGAGAUUCCUAGUGGAGGAAUUUUUGCCAACUUCACAGCUGAGUCAUUUAUGGGAAAUGAGUUAUUGUGUGGUUUACCAAAUCUUCAAGUCCAACCAUGCAAAAUUAGCAAGCCGAGGACAGAACAUAAAUCAAGGAAAAAGAUACUGCUCAUUGUGAUUGUUUUGCCAUUGAGUAUUGCUCUAACGAUAGCAAUCACUCUAGUUCUCAAAUAUAAGCUGAUCGAAUUUGGAAAAAGAAGCACAGUGUUAUCAAAUGAUAGUAUCUUGUCAUCACAAGCAACACUAAGAAGAUUUUCAUACUUAGAACUUUUACAAGCAACAGAUAAUUUUGCUGAAAACAACAUAAUUGGCAUAGGAGGUUUUGGUUCUGUUUAUAGAGCAAGACUUGAAGAUGGGAUGAAGAUUGCAAUAAAAGUGUUUCACCAGCAAUGUGCAAGCGCAUUGAAGAGUUUUGAGGCUGAAUGUGAAGUGUUAAAAAAUAUUCGCCAUCGAAAUCUUAUCAAAGUUAUCAGCAGUUAUUCAAACAAUGACUUCAAAGCAUUAGUCCUAGAAUACAUGUCCAACGGGAGCUUGGGGGAUUGGUUGCAUUCCAGCAAUUAUAUGCUUAAUAUAUUUCAAAGGUUGAACAUAAUGAUUGACGUUGCAUCAGCUUUAGAAUAUCUCCACUUCGAUCAUUUACCUCCUAUUAUUCAUUGUGACUUAAAGCCUAGUAAUGUAUUGUUGGACGAAAAUAUGGUUGCUCAUUUGAGUGAUUUUGGCAUUGCAAAGCUUUUAAGUGGAGAGGAUGAGUAUGUGAUGCGAACAAAAACCCUUGCCACUAUAGGUUAUAUGGCACCAGGUUUGCUUCAAACAACUUUUUUUUAGUUCAUUUUAAAUUUUCCAACUUAUUGAUUUUUACAAUCCUCACAUCAAAAUGUUAUUGAUUAUUUAUCUAAUUGUGAAAUUAAUUUGAUUCAUAGAGUAUGGCAUAGAAGGAGAAGUAUCUACAAAAAGUGAUGUGUACAGCUAUGGGAUUAUGUUAAUGGAAACUUUUACCAAGAAAAAACCCACAGAUGAAAUUUUUGUUGGAGAAUUGAGCUUAAAGCGUUGGGUUAAUGACUUGCUUCCUACUUCAUUAGUGGAAGUUGUGGACAAAACUCUGCUAAGUGGAGAGGAAAAACUUUCUGCAGCAAAGGAGCAAUGUCUGUUGUCUAUCUUUAGCUUGGCUCUGGAGUGUACAAUGGAAUCACCGGGAAAGAGGAUUAAUGCAAAAGAUAUUGUUACAGGAUUACUCAAGAUAAGAGACACAUUGAGUAAAAGGAUAGGAAACUUAAGUUAAUUUCGUUUGCUUUCAUUGAUAGUUAAUUCAAAUUCAUGUAAUAAGUGUAAGAAUCUUAUAUGCUUUCCUUAGAUUUUUUUUUGUUUGAGAAAACUGUUGUAUUCAUCUUGUUUCCAUGGGCAGAGUUGAUUUAGUUCUUCCAAGAAAUGCUACUGAUGACCUUUGUUUUAUACUUUCGCUUUUUUUUGCAUGUGUUUCGGUAGAAUAGUGGUUUGGCUCACUCAAAGAAGUCAAACUGCACUAAAAGAAUAUGAUUUAAUUUAUUAAACAAAACUUCAAGUUCAAGAAAAGUAUCUCACUGCCCCCAAUGCUUUGGACACCUAUUGGUAGGUUUGUACGUGUCCUCAACUUUUUUUUAGAGCACAAAAUUCGAGUCCCAUGGAGACUCAAACAUUCCUUUUCCGCAUCCCGAGCGUGCUAAAUUCAUCAGACUGACAAUUGGGACAUAUAGAAGAGUGAAAUGUUUGGAGCACGCUAAGUUCGAGCGAAAGAGAUUAAUUUACAGAAACUAAAGCCAAGAGAAUAAAGGACAACACUUAUGUGAAGCGACAUAAUUGUAUUGAUAGCACAAUGUCAAAUUCAUACAGAGAUCUAGUAUACUAUUUACAGCCGGUAAGGGCUAAGAAUUGAUGUAGCUAGAAUACAAAGACGAUAAGGUAUGUUGUGCACUAUUGUUUUAUUCUACGAUCAAUCUUGACCCUUGAUGCUUGGCUCUCAAUCUUGUCCAUUGAUCUUCUUUGAUUUUGUACACUUCAAGACCUUUCAGUAUCAUUCCUUGUUGUUGGUGUCUUCCGUGCUGUAGAAUUCAUAUACAAGCCUUCCCGCCGACUUGCGAAGUAUUCGUUCAUUGAUGCAUUUUAUCAAACAGCUGGGCUACUUAUACCAAACACCGCGUGGUUUAACUCCCCCUCUCUAGCUUAACUAUCUGGGAAGGCAAUUAAUUGAGAUAUGAAUUAGAAAAUUAAAUUUUAAAAAUUAUAUUCGGACUCUACAUUUUGUAAUGAACAUUGGUUUGACUUGUUAUACAUUUACGCGUACAUAAUUAAUAACCGAUUCUCAAGUGCGGACAUUCAAGAGCACUGCUUAAAGACCAAAUAUUUUGAUUUACUAUUUUUUGUCUUUCAAUUUUCUUUUACGUUCUGAUGACGUCCGCAUUUUAAAAUCCUGUGGAACAAAGGUCGAAUUGUAGAGGGUAAGCAAACAUUUAUCCGAAUUAUAUUAUGAUAAAUCCUUUUCCAAUUAGAAUUAGGAAACCAUAGAUAUACUGAUUUUUUUUGUUUAAAUGAUUUUGUGAUUUACUUGAUUGAUUGAGUGAUUGAAUAUUGUUUGAUUGCUUCAUAUCAAUUCUAGAAAGUUUAUUUCUUUGUGAAAUUUCAACGAAAUAUGUUUUUUAAAAUAAUAAAGGUGUUUUAAGUAAUUUUAAAAAAUAAAUGGACUAAUUAGAAUUAAUUAUUAAGUAAUUAACUCGAACUGUAGAGGAUAAGCAAACAUUUAUCCUAAUUAUAUUACGAUAAAUCAUUUUCCAACUAGAAUUAGGAAACCAUAGAUAUGCUGAUUUUGUUUUUUUAAUUUCUCUUUGCGAAAACGGAUUAGAGAACUAGAAAACAAUCCUAGUGAGACUAUUGUUAGGUUUAAAACACUGCAUAGAUGGUAAAAACAUGCGUGGUGAAUAUUUUGUCGCAUGCAAACUUUUUGUUUUAUGCAAAUCGUGCUGAACAUUGGGACUGAUGUUUAAGAAAAAAAUUCUGUAGUUAAAGAAAAACAAAAAAAUUCUGAUGUUUAUGCAAAAAUAGAUUACGAUAGUUUAUUCAAUUGGGAGUUUUUUUUUCUUUAAUUUUUGUUGUACUUGAUUGAGAUUUCUCCUUAGUCCUUACCGUCUUAAGUUUGGAUACCGUAGGAUUAGUAAUUUCGUACUUCCUUUGCAAGCUGAAUAUAAGGAUGAAAUUUUUUUAAGAAAUUAAAAAAAAAAGAUUAAAAAAAGGGCAUACCAGUAGGCAAUUAUAAAUUAACCACAAAUAAAUAUAAACAAAAUGUUUAUGAAGUAAAUUAAACAUGCACAUAUUAUUUUCUUUUAUUUUCUGCUUGGAAACCCAUAAAUACACUAAUCCAGUACUACUAAUUUCAGACCGAAAAAUUUGAACUCUAGGCUGCAGUUUGACUCAAAAUGAUGAUCACUGGCUUCGCACCAUUUAACCGGUAUACAUUUCUACAAACUGAACAAGGCUAUUGAUUAUUAUUAUUAUUAUUAUUUUAAUUUGUUUAUAAAUUACUAUUUUAAUUUUCACUUUUUAUUGGGUUGUUUAACGGAUUAGUGAAGUUGGUGGUCGUUGAUGCACUCACAAGGUACAAUUUUAUUUUAUAAUUUCAAAUUCGUAUUUUAAAAUGCAGGCACAUUAUGUAUACAUAAUUAUUGAUUUUCAUAUGUGGGUGUUUUGAAAUAUUGCCAAAAGACCAAACUUUAAUAAACUAUUUUUGAUCUUUUUUUUCCUUUUUAGCUAAAGUUUGAGUGAUAUCCGCAUUUUAAAUUCAUGUGGAACAAAAGCUAAUGUAUGCACAAAAUUCUUUUAUUUUUUCCGAGAAAAAUGGGUAAGAGAAGAAGAUUUUUCUCUUGAAAAAAGAAAAACCAAUACGAUGCAAGCAUAGGAAAGAGUUCAGUGUUUUGGAUUUGAAUUUAGUAUUGAGCUGAAUUUUAUGCUAAGCUCUUUUAUAGUACUGCUAAUAAUAAGCUCAGGAUUUGCUUUUGCUUUUACGUCAAGUAAAAGAAAGAGGAAACCUUUUGUUUUCUGUUUGAUUUUUGACUAUAUAUGUUACCUAUAUAGAGAGUUGAGGUAGCUGCCUUAAGUGAUGGUGAUAAAAAGAUUAAGCAACGCACACAAUCUUACUGUUGUCCAGACCAUCCAGUGAUGCUCUAGUUUUUUGGUUACAUUAGCUUUAGUGGAAAGAAGGGUCAAUUUAACAAAGACUAGAUUUGGUGGCUUACUAUAAUGCUUAUUCUCAGGGAAUCUAAUGUUAUAAGAUGAUUGAAUGAUCUUCUAUGAUUGUGUGUAGUACAAUAUAAUUGAAAGGAACCUGGGCUCCUAUGAUGAAUAACAGCAACACAUUACUAUGAUUGAGAAAACUCAGUUACAAUAAACUCUUCAUUUAUUCAUUGCUGAGAUUGAAUGGCAAACAGAGAAUAGAAUGAAGCAGAGGAAUCUCAUUGCCGGUAAAAUUGACCAUAUUUAAUGUUACUUGCAGUUUUUAUUGUAAAAUAUAUAGGUAUUGUCAAAGCCGGUGGUGGCCUAGCCAAAAUCAAAUUGGCUUUGGCAGCCGCCCAAAGAAAUAAACAAAAGAGAAAUAGAAGAAAAAGAGAUGAGGGAGAUGCCGCCUAAAGAAAUGAAGCACACGGCUUUGACUUGUUCUAAAAAAAAAAAAAGAGCCAAAAUUUUUUGCUAUAUAAAGUGGGCUUCCCACCCUCAUUUUUGCAUUCCAUUUAAGAGAGAGCAAUCUAGUAUUUUUUGAGAGAGAGUUUUGAGAGCUUGAAAUUAUAAGCUUUUGUUAUAGAAAUUUGAGAGUUUGGGUGUAUUGGGGUUUUGGGAAGUGGGCUAAAAUACUACAAUACUUGUAAUUUCUUUUUACUAAUAAAAUAUUUCCUUCUGUCUUCGCCCGUGGACGUAGGCUAAAAGCCGAACCACGUAAUUUCUAAUAUUCUCUUUUGUGAUUGUUUUUUAUUCUUCUUCCAAUUUUAUUUUAGCUGCAGUCCUGCUUCACCCACCAAUUUCCUAAUAGUGGUAUCAGAGCUAUUGGUUGUAUUUUUUGGAGUCGGGUACUAUUCACGUAAGGGUACUAUUCACAUAUAUGGUAUUGUUCACGUAUACGAUACUAUUCACGUGAAAUGGUGAGAGCGAUCCAAGAAUUUGGCGGUGCAAAAGUAGGGAAUAGUGGUGUGAGUAAAACAACUGUGUGGUUUUGUACAUGUCUAGGAAAGUUCUGUCAUAAAGACGAUAAGAGCUUAAGGAGUCUGGGUUUUAAGUGGGACCAUUGUGACCCCUCCAGUCUUUCUUGGAAACUUUCCUGGUGUGCAUAUUCACACAUACUCACAACUAUUUAAGGUGAUACACUAGUUUGUGUACAAUAUUUAUUAACAAAAUGGCGGCAAAGUAUGAAAUUAAGAAAUUUAACGGAAAUAAUUUUUCGUUGUGGAAAAUAAAGAUGAAAGCUGUAUUGAGGAAAAAUAAUUGCUUGGCAGCAAUUAGAGAAAGGCCUAUGGAGAUAACUGAUGACAAGUGGAACGAGAUAGAUGGCAACGCCAUUUCUGAUUUACACUUGGCGCAUGCAGACAGAGUAUUAUCCAGUCUGGCAGAGAAAAAUACAGCAAAGGAAAUAUGAGAUACACUCACAAAAUUGUACGAGGCCAAGUCACUACACAACAAAAUCUUCUUGAAGAGGAAACUCUAUACUCUUCGAAUGACGGAAUCUACAAUGGUGACUGACUACAUCAACAUCUUGAAAACUCUAUUUUCACAACUCACAGUGUUGGGUUAUAAUAUAGAGGAGAAUGAACGUGCAGAGCUUCUACUUCAAAGUCUACCAGAUUCGUAUGAUCAACUCAUCAUCAACCUGACAAACAACAAUCCAGCGGACAGUCUAGUUUUCGAUUAUGUUGCAGCCUCCGUAUUAAAUGAGGAGAGCAGGCGGAAAAAUAAGGAAAACAGCAAGCAAGUUCGCAUCAAGCGGAGACGCUAUUGGUGACGAGAGGGAGAUCAACGGAACGUGGCCCCAGUGAGAGUCAAAAUCAUGGUAGAUCAAAAUCUAGAAGUAAGAAGAAUGUUAAAUGCUACAAUUGUAGCAAGAAAGGGCACGUCAAGAAAGAAUGUUGGAGUAAUUAGAAGAGAAAAGAGGGCAAAGAACCUGAGUCAUCAAAUGCUCAGGGUUGUGUAGCAAGUACCUCGGAUGAUGGCGAAAUUCUCUACAGCGAGGCAACAACUGUUUCAGAAGGCAGAAAACGACUAUAUGAUGUUUGACUUAUAGACUCAGGAGCUACCUGGCACAUGACCUCUCGGAGAGAAUGGUUCCACACAUAUGAACCUAUCUUAGGAAGAUCUGUAUAUAUGGGUAAUGAUCAGGCCUUGGAGAUCACUAGUAUUGGUACUAUCAAAAUAAAAAUGUUUAAUGGUAUAAUUCGCACAAUUGGGGAGGUACGACAUGUCAACGGCUCUAAGAAAAAUCUUUUGUCUUUGGGACAAAUGGAUAGUCAUGGGUACAAAACUCAUGUGGAGAAUGGAAUUAUGAAGAUCGUUAAAGGCGCGCUUGUAUUGAUGAAGGCAGAAAAGAUCAAUGCUAAUCUAUUCAUGCUUAAAGGAGAAACACUACAGGAGGCUGAUGCGUGUGUUGCAUCAAAUGAAGAAGAGUCAACGAUGAUGUGGCAUCUCAAACUUGGCAACAUGUCGGAACAAGGUUUGAAGAUUCUCUCUAAGCAAAAAUUGCUUCCGGGGCUCAAAUCGGUAAAUUUACCAUUUUGCGAGCAUUGUGUUACAAGUAAGCAGCAUAGAUUAAAAUUCAAUAGAUCUAUUGCUAGAAGUAAAUGCAUUCUAGACUUGAUUCAUUCUAAUAUUUGAGAAUCACCGAAUAUAUCCAUAGGAGGUGCAAAAUACAUGGUGACUUUCAUUGAUGAUUAAUCCAGAAGAUGUUGGGUGUAUCCAAUUAAGAAAAAGUCAGAUGUAUUUUCAGUGUUUAAAGAAUACAAAGCGUGGGUGGAACUUGAAUCUGGUAAAAGGAUAAAGUGCUUGAGGAUAGAUAAUGGUGGAGAGUAUACAAAUGGCGAGUUUCUUGCUUUCUGUAAACAAGAAGGUAUCCAAAGGCAUUUCACGGUGGCAUACACUCCUCAAUAAAAUGGAGUGGCGGAGCGGAUAAACAGAACUCUUACAGAAAGAAUAAGAGCUAUGUUGAGGACUGCUAGUCUACCCAAUUUAUUCUGGGCAGAAGUAGCCAAAACUGCUUGUUAUAUAGUAAAUAGGUCGCCAUCUACAGCCAUUGGGCUGAAGACCGCGAUGGAGAUGUGGACUGGAAAGCCAGCUGAUUAUUCCUACCUACAUGCAUUUGGAUGUUCUAUGUACGUGAUGUACAAUGCCAAAAAAAAAACAAAGCUGAGUCCAAAAUCUAGAAAAUGUAUCUUCUUGGGGUAUGCUGAUGGAGUAAAGAGGUAUCGUCUAUGGGACCCCACUGCCCACAAGAUUGUCAUCAGCAGAGAUGUUAUGUUUAUAGAAGAUCAACUGCAAAGGAAAGAUAAGGAUUAUAGCAGUGUAAAAGAAAAGUCAAAGACUAUACUGGUAUAUGUGGAAAAUAAUCCAGAAGAUUCAGAUUCUUCUGAAGCAGCACCAGAGCACGAGGAAUGAGAACCAGUCGAGUCUGGGGCUCCAGAAGUUCGUCGGUCAACUCGUGAGAGAUGAUCGCCAACGUGGCACUCGGAGUAUGUCAUAGAGAUCAAUGUUGCAUACUAUCUUCUAAUAGAAGAUGGAGAGCCUUCAACUUUCUAUGAAGCUUUAAACAGCUCAGAUGUUGCUUUGUGGAUGACAGCAAUGCAGGAAGAAAUUGAAGCUCUACAUAAGAACAAGACAUGGGAACUUGUACCACUACUACACGGAAGAAAAGCCAUUGGAAACAAAUAGGUCUACAAGAUCAAGCGUAAUGGCAAUGACCAAGUGGAGCGGUUUCGUGCAAGAUUGGUAGUGAAAUGAUAUGCUCAAAAAGAAGGUAUUGACUUCAAUAAGAUAUUUUCGCCGAUAGUUCGACUCACAACAGUCAGAAUAAUCUUGGCAAUGUGUGCUACAUUUGACCUACAUCUAGAGCAGUUAGAUGUGAAAACUGCAUUUCUUCAUGAAGAACUUGAAGAAGAAAUAUAUGUGCUCCAACCAGAAGGUUUUAUAGAAACAGGAAAGGAAAACUUGGUUUGCAGGUUGAACAAAUCUCUAUAUGGUCUCAAACAGGCGUCGAGGUGUUGGUAUAAGAGAUUCGAUUCCUUCAUCAUGAGCCUUGGAUACAACAGAGUAAGUUCAGACCAUUGUACAUAUUAAAAAAGGUUUGAAGAUAAUGAUUUUAUUAUUUUAUUGUUGUACGUGGAUGACAUGUUGGUAGCAGGCCCCAACAAAGAUCGAGUCCAAGCAUUGAAGGCACAGUUGGCUAGGGAGUUUGAAAUGAAGGAUUUGGGACCAGCAAACAAGAUUCUAGGGAUGCAAAUUCACCGAGACAGAAAUAGCAGGAAGAUUUGGCUUUCGCAGAAGAAUUACUUGAAGAAAAUCUUGCAGCGCUUCAACAUGCAAGAUUGUAAGUCAAUUUCUACCCCACUUCCUGUUAAUUUCAAAUUAUCCUCAAGUAUGUGUCCUAGCAAUGAAGGAGAGAGGAAGGAGAUAUCUCGAGUACCGUAUGCAUCAGCAGUUGGAAGUUUGAUGUUUGCUAUGAUAUGUACAAGACCAGACAUUGCACAAGCAGUGGGAGCAGUCAGUCGAUACAUGGCCAAUCCCGGUGGAGAGCAUUGGAUAGCUGUGAAGAAGAUUCUGAGAUACAUCAGACGAACCUCAGAUGUUGCAUUAUGUUAUGGAGGAUCAGAGUUUACUGUCAGGGGCUAUGUGGAUUCAGAUUUUGUAGGAGACCUUGAGAAAAGAAAAUCUACUACUAGUUAUGUGUUCACACUUGCGGUAGCAGCUGUAAGCUAGGUUUCGAAACUGCAGACCGUUGUGGCUUUAUCUACAACAGAAGCAGAAUACAUGGCAGCUACACAAGCUUGCAAGGAAGCUAUUUGGACACAAAGAUUAUUGGAGGAGCAUGGGCACAAACAACAGAAAAUUCAUGUGUUUUGUGACAGUCAGAGUGCCUUGCACAUUGCAAGGAAUCCAGUCCUUCAUUCCAGGACAAAGCACAUAGGAGUUCAGUAUAACGCCGUUCGAGAAAUAGUGGAAGACGGAAAUGUGGAUUUACAGAAAAUCCAUACGAAGGAGAACCGAGCAGAUGUUUUGACCAAGCCGAUAAAUACUGAUAAGUUUGUUUGGAGUAGAUCCUCUUGUGGCCUAGCAGAAACGUAGGCAAUAUGAUUAUGGCGAAGCAGAAAAGAUGGUGUGGAGAUUGAUUGAUUUUCAGUCAAAUCUCCAAGUGGGAGAAAUAUCAAAGCCGGUGGUAGCCUAGCCAAAAUCAAAUUGGCUUUGGCAACCACCCAAAGAAAUAAACAUGGCUUUGGCAGCCACCUAAAGAAAUAAACAAAAGAGAAACAGAAGAAAAAGAGAUGAGGGAGGUGCCGCCCAAAGAAAUGAAGCACACGGCUUUGACUUGUUCUAAAAAAAAAAAAAAGAGCCAAAAUUUUUUUCUAUAUAAAGAGGGCUUCCCACCCUCAUUUUUGCAUUCUAUUUAAGAGAGAACAAUCUAGUAUUUUUUGAGAGAAAGAGUUUAGAGAGCUUGAAAUUAUAAGCUCUUGUUAUAGAAAUUUGAUAGUUUGGGUGUAUUGGGGUUUUGGGAAGUGGGCUAAAAUAUUACAAUACUUGUAACUCCUUUUACUAGUAAAAUAUUUCCUUCUGUCUUCGCCCGUGGAUGUAGGCUAAAAGCCGAACCACGUAAUUUCUGAUAUUCUCUUUUGUGCUUGUUCUUUAUUUUUUUUCCAAUUUUAUUUUAGCUGCAGUCCUGCUUCACCUACCAAUUUUCAAAAAGGUAUGACCAUGGUCAUUGCAGUUAGGUUUUGAUGAUUUCAGAUGCUUUUUUAAAAAAAAAUUGUGACUGACGAUUACAAUCAUUACAGCAAUGCUGAUGAGUGAUACAUCACUUGAAAUUUACUUGUCAGUUGCUGAAAUGAUGAAAAAAGACCAUAAACAAUAAGAUUAAUAAUGUUCUCUUGCUGAAUUCUAAUUUUGACUUUCAACUCUUGGUUUUUAUGGAAAGUAAAAUGACUUGUAUAUUGUUUAGAAACUCGAAUCUAACCAGUAACAAACUCGAAUCUAUCAUUAUCUAAACAAAAAACCAAGAGUUUCUAACCAGUAACAAACAAAGCAAUCUUAGUCUUUCAUGGAGCGGAACCUUAGUCUCAGUAUGAUCACUGUCUCAUUAACCCACUGCCUGCUUCUUUGCUUGGUUGUUGCAGCAACAGCAGCAGCAAGCAACAAUAUUAUCACAUACCAACAAGCUCUUCUUGCCCUGAAAGAUCAUAUCACUUAUGAUCCAACCAACCUUUUUGCCCAUAAUUGAACCUCGAAUACCUCUGUUUGUACCUGGAUUGGCAUCACUUGUGAUGUCAAUAGCCAUAGAGUCACAACCUUAGAUAUUUCUCAAUUCAAUCUACAAGGCACCAUCCCUCAACUUGGAAACCUCUCUUCACUCACAACACUUAAUUUUAGUCAUAAUAAGCUUUCUGGAAACGUUCCCUCCUCCAUCUACACCAUGCAUACGCUAAAAUUAUUAUAAGUGAAUAUGAAAUAGUUCACUCAAAGCAAGGAUAAAUGGAUGAAAGUACUACUCAUUUUAUUCACAAUGAGGUUGCCUUUUAUAGGCGUUACAUGAACAAACUUAAUGAAAUAAUAGCAGCUAUUAUUCAGCAAAUACUGCAGCCACUUUCCAGUAACUAUAGCCUAAAGACUAGGUAAACACAAUCUUGCAAAUAACAUUACCAACAAACUUCCUAAAGACUAGGACCAUAAAAGCAACUUAUUGACAUAAGGAAAUUCCAACAAUCCCUCCCUUAAACUAAAUGUUAUUAACAUUCAGUUUAAACAUUCUGCAGAAUCUUCCUCAAAUUGCAAUUUGCAAACUCCAAGUGACUUUCUCAACUUAAAAAAACUAGCCAAUUUGAGGGGUUUAGUAAAGAUGUCAGCAACUUGGUCUUCACUCUUGCAAUAAACAAGAUCAAUGACUUCAUUUUUUGUCAAGUCUCACAAGAAAUGAUAUCUCACAUCUAUGUGCUUGCAUCUUCCAUGUAGAACCGGAUUCUUUGAAAGUUUAAUUGUUGAACUAUUAUCACAGAAGAUUUGUGUUGACUUUGGUUGCUUAAACUGAAGUUCAUGAAGAAUAUUUCUUAGCCAAAGUGCUUGACAUGCACAAGAAGCUGCUGCAACAAACUCAGCUUCAGUUGUUGACAAAGUAACUAUCGGUUGCUUCUUAGAUGACCAUGAAAUAGCUGCUGAACCAAACAUAAAUACAUAUCCAGAUGUGCUUCUUCUGUCAUCCAAAUCUCCAGCAUAAUCAGUGUCUAUAAAGCCAUACAAAUUUGAUUUUUUACCCUUUUUAUAGAACAACCCAAAUUCAGCUGUACCACGCAAGUAUCGAAGAAUUCUUUUUGCAGCUAAAAGAUGAUCCUCUCUUGGACGCUCCAUAUAUCUGCUGAUGGAACUAACUGCAUGCAUUAUAUCAGGUCGAGUUGCCGUUAAGUACAUCAAGCUUCCAACAAUCUGUUUGUAAAGGGUACUAUCAAGCAGGAUCCUUAACAAACUUCAAUCCUUUUUCAAUUGGAGUAGUGACAGAGUUGCAGUUCUUCAUUUGAAAUCUUUCUAAGAUCUCUUUCACAUAUUUCUUUUGACAAAUAAAAUUUCCAGCAUCAGAUUGUAUGACUUCUAAGCCAAGAAAAUAAUGCAGCAAACCAACAUCAGUCAUAUCAAAUUCAAGCAUCAUGGAUUCCUUGAAUUUCUCAAACAUUACUCUGUCAUUUCCCGUGUAAAUCAAAUCAUCUACAUAUAAACAUACCAUAAGCAUUUUCCCAUCAUCUCCAAUUUUUAUGUACAGAGUAUGCUCAUAUGGGCAUUUUCGAAAACCUUCCUCCAAGAAAUAAGCAUCUAUAUGACUAUACCAAGCUCGGGGUGCUUGUUUUAGUCCAUAUAGAGCUUUUUUCAAUUUAUAGACUUUAUGCUCACUGCCUAAUUUCACAUAUCUAGGAGGUUGUUCGAUAAAUACCUCUUCUUGUAGCUCCCUAUGCAAGAAUGCUGAUUUCACGUCCAGUUGAAAAACAGGCCAUGAAUUUUGUGCUGCAAGAGCAAUAAUCAAUCUGAUCGUUUCAAGUCUUGCAACGAGAGAAAAUACUUCUUUAUAAUCCGCGCCGAACUCUUGCUUGUAGCCUUUGGCGACUAGGAGUGCCUUGUAUUUAUCAAUUUCACCAUUUUCCUUCAAUUUUGUCUUGUAAACCCACUUGACUCCUAUUGUCCUCUGCCCCAUUGGAAGUUCAGUCAACUCCCAAGUAUUAUUUUUUUCAAUGGAUGCAAUUUCUUCGUCCAUGGAUUUUAGCCAUUUUUGUUCUUUGACAGCUUCUUUAAAAGUUGUAGGAUCACAUUCUGAAAACAAGGCAAAGUGUAUGAGUGGAUUCUCAAGAGUGUUAAAUCUUGUUACCUCAUAAUCUGACAUCCAUGCAGGCCUUCUUCUAUCACGUUGAGAACGUGAAUCUGUAGCUUCAACUUGUUCAUUAAGUUCAUUUGUUGCUGGUGGAGUUUCUACUGAGACUCUAUUUUGCGGCAGGUCAGGAGCAGAGACUGUUGAAGGCUGAAGUUGCUGUGAAUUUUCUUCAAUUUCACCAUCGAAAUCUGCUGGAAUUUGCUGCCCAAUAGAACUGCAUCUCCACAUCCAUGUCUUCUCUUCAUAAAAAAUGACAUCACGACUAAUGACAAUUUUCUUGAUGAUGGGAUCAUAUAAUUUGUAGGCCUUUGAAUGAUCACUAACACUAAGAAAACUGCACUUUACACCUUUGUCAUCUAAUUUUCUUCUUUUCUCAUCUGGUAUGUGGACAUAUGCUAUACAUCCAAAUACCCGAAAGUGAUCUACUGCCGGCUUACAUCCACUCCAUGCUUCUUCAGGAGUUAUAUUUUGAACAGCUAUUGUGGGGCUUCUGUUCAAAAUAUAAACACUCCAAACAACUGCUUCAGGCCAAAAACUUUUGGGAAGACCACUCCUCCGCAGAAGGCUUCGUACCAUAUUAAGAAUUGUACGAUUUUUCCUCUCGCAUACACCAUUUUGCUGAGGUGUGUAGGCUGUUGUCAAUUGUCUUCUAAUUCCAUGAUUUUUGCAAAAGCUUCCAAAUUCUUGAGAGUUGAACUCUCCACCACGAUCAGUACGCAAUAUUUUAAUUUGGCUGUCAGCUUCUCUUUCAACUAAUGCUUUAAACAUUUAAAAGGCUGUGAAAACUUCCGAUUUUUCUUGCAAGAAAUAAACCCAGGUUUUUCAACUAAAAUCAUCAAUAAUUGAGAUAAAAUAUCGUUUACCUCCAUUUGAUGUUGGCUUGAUUGGCCCACAUAAGUCUGAAUGCACUAGCUCCAGCACUUUCUUUGCCCUCCGGGAUUUUCCUUUUGGAAAAUUAUCUCGAUGUUGCUUACUGACAAUACACUCUUCGCAAAGCUGUGAAGGUUGCUCAAAUUUCUAGACUUCACGGAUAACCAGCUCUCUGGUUCAGUGUCUUCCUUCGUCUUCAACAUGUCUUCAAUAUUAGACAUUCGUUUGACUAAUAACAGACUCUGGUGAGCUUCCGAAAAAUAUUUGCAACUAUAUUCCUUAUUUGAAAGCCCUUUCUUUAGACAAAAACAUGUUUCAUGGCAAAAUUCCUUAUGCUUUAUCAAAGUGCAAACAACUGCAACAAUUAAAUUUGCAGUUCAAUAAUUUAUCCGGUGCAAUACCGAAAGAAAUCGGCAACUUGACUAUGCUCAAAGGGAUAUAUCUCGGCUACAACAAACUCCACGGUAUGCUCAUAAUACUAUACAAAUAUUAUCUUUCUUGAAUACUUUAGAUAAGAUCUUGUAUGUGAGAUUUUUUUGCAUCUAUAUUAAUUUUCCAGGUGAGAUACCGCACGAAAUCGCUAAUCUUCGAAAUCUAGAGGCUUUAGCGCUUGGAAUGAACAACCUAGUUGGUGUGGUAUCAGCUCCAAUAUUCAACAUGUCAACAUUGAAGAUAAUUAUCCUCAUAAAUAACUCCCUCUUCGGAAGUCUUCCAUCAAGAAUAGGCCUUUCACUUCCAACUGUUGAGCAUCUUAACUUGGAACUUAAUAGAUUUUCUGGAACCAUUCCUAGUUCCAUCACCAAUGCUUCUAAGCUCACCCUUCUAAAGUUGGGAGGAAACACAUUUUCGGGCCUUAUUCCGGACACAAUUGGUAAUUUAAGAAACCUUGAGUGGCUCGGCUUGGCUUAUAACAACUUGACAUCUUCAACCUCAAAAUUGAGCUUUCUUUCCUCUUUGGCAAAUUGCAUGAAAUUAAGAUCCUUAAACUUAAUAGGCAAUCCACUUGACGGCUUCCUUCCAAGUUCAAUAGGUAAUCUUUCUAUGUCCUUGGAAACACUUCUCAUCACCAAUUGCAGUAUUAGUGGCAACAUUCCUCAAGCAAUUUCAACCAAAUAUCUUUUUCAAAAUAAUUAGGGUGUUUUAAGCAAUUUGAAAAAUAAAUGGAGUAAUUAAAAUUAUUUAGUAGGUAAUUAACUUGAACGGUAGAGGGUAAGCGAACAUUUAUCCCAAUUAUAUUAUGAGAAAUCCUUUUCCGAUUAGAAUUAGGAAACCGAGGUAUACUGAUUUUUUUGUUUUUUUAAUUUCCCUAUGCGAAAACGGAUUAGAGAAUAAGAAAACAAUCCUAGUGAUAUUAUUGUUAGGUUUAAAACACUGCAUAGAUAGUAAAAAGCGAACUAGUCUGUAGAGUAAUUUGUUAAUUGCUAUCGCCUCUCCAUGCAUGGUGAAUAAUUUGUUGCAUGCAAACUUUUUAUGUAUAAGAAAAAAAUUCUGUAGUUUAAGAAAAACAAAAAGGCAUGUUGAAUAGAUUACAAUAGUUUAAGGAAAAAAAUUAUUCAAUUGGGAAUUUUUUUUUCUUUAAUUUUUGUUGUACUUGAUUGAGAUUUCUCCUUAUUCCUUACAGUUUUAAGUUUGGAUACCGUAGGAUUAGUAAUUUCGUACUUCCUUUGCAAGCUGAGUAUAAGGAAGAAAUUCUUUUAAGAAAUUAAAAAAGAUAAAAAAAAGGCAUACCAGUAGGCAAUUAUAAAUAACCACAAAUAAAUAUAAACAAAAUGUUUAUGAAGUAAAUUAAACAUGCACAUAUUAUUUUCUUUUAUUUUCUGCUUGGAAACCCAUAAAUACACUAAUCCAGUACUACUAAUUUCAAACAGAAAAAUUUGAACUCUGGGCUGCAGUUUGACUCAAAAUGAUGAUCACUGGCUUCGCACCAUUUAACCGGUAUACAUUUCUACAAACUGAACAAGGCUAUUGAUUAUUAUUAUUAUUUUAAUUUGUUUAUAAAUUACUACUUUAAUUUUCACUUUUUAUUGGGUUGUUUAACGGAUUGGUGAAGUUGGUGGUCGUUGAUGCACUCACAAUGUACAAUUUUAUUUUAUAAUUUCAAAUUGGUAUUUUAAAAUGCAGGUACAUUGUGUAUACAUAAUUAUUGAUUUUCGAAUGAGGGUGUUUUGAAAUAUUGCUAAAAGACCAAACUUUAAUAAACUAUUUUUGAUCUUUUUUUUCUUCCUAAAGUUUGGGUGAUAUGCGCAUUUUAAAUUCAUGUGUAACAAAAGUUAAUGUAUGUAUAAAAAUUCUUUUAUUUUACUGAGCAAAAUAGGCAAGCGAAAAAGUUUUGGCAAAUGAGUUGCAACUGAAUUCAAAACCAAUACAAUGCGAGCAUAGGAAAGAGGUCAGUGUUCAGGAUUUGAAUUUAGUAUUAAGCUGAAUUUUAUGGUAAGCUCUUUUAUAGUACUGUAAUUAGUAAGCUAAGCCCCGGAUUUGCUUUUGCUUUUGCUUUUACUUCAAGUGAAAGAAAGAGGAAACCUUUUGUUUUUUCUUUGGUUUUCAACUAUGUUACCUAUACAGAGAGUCAAGAUACCUGCCAUAAGUGAUGGUGUUAAAAAGAUUAAGCAGAGCACACAAUCUUACUGUCGUCUAGACCAUCCAGUGAUGACUCUAGUCUUUUGGUUACGUUAGUUUUAGUUGAAAGAAGGGCCAAUUUAACAAAGACUAGAUUUGAUGGCUCACUAUGUUUAAUGUAAUGCUAAUUCUCAGGGAAUCUAAUGUUAUAACUUAUAAGAUGAUCUCCUAUGUUGAAUAACAGUAACACAUUACUGUGAUUGAGAGAACACAGUUACAAUAAACUCUUCCUUUACUCAUUGCGGAGAUUUAAUAGCAAACAGAGAAUAGAAUGAAGCAGAGGAAUCUCAUUGCCAGUAAAAUUGACCCUCUUUAUUAUUAUAUGGCACAGGUGUGGAGGAAGAACAAGUUACUUGCAGUUUUUAUUGUAAAAUAUACAGGUAUGACCAUGAUCAUUAUAGUUAGGUUUUGAUGAUUUCAGAUGCUUUUUUUUUUUAAAAAAAAAUUGUGACAUCUUUGAUUUACGGUAGUUUUGCAGAAAAAAAUAUCUAAAAAUUAAGAGGGAUGAGUUAACUGACGAUUACAAUCAUUACAACAAUGCUGAUGAGUGAUACAUCACUUGAAAUUUACUUGUCAGUUGCUGAAAUGAUGGAAAAAAACAAUAAACGAUAACAAUAAUAAUGUUCCCUUGCUGAAAUUCAAUUUUGACUUUCGACUCUUGGCUUUUAUGGAAAGUAAAAUGACUUGUACAUUAUACUCAUACAAUCCACUCUACAUAAUGAUAUCAUUUUAAUAAGGCAAUGGCUGAUGAUCUCCAUUGAAAAACUACUUCAAUUUUUUUGCUUUAUUUAACUUUUUGGUUGUUGAAAAUAACCUUAAUUAUCAAAUAUUUGGAGAAAGACAAAGGGUGCUUGCAGAAGUGGCAAUAUAUAUAUAUAUAUAAAAGGAGAAGUUGAAGAGAAAGGGUGCUUGCAGAAGUGGGUGUCAAAGAUAAAUCGGUCCAUAAGAAUUAUUACGGUUAUUUUUUGGCAAUAUAAAAAUUUUUUAGCAAAUAAAAAUUAAUUUUUUUCCAAUUUACUAAAAAAUUAAUUAAAAACUUCUGCGAUGGCAUUUUUUAUGGGUGCAUAUACCCUCCCUUUAAAAGAAAAAAUAAUAAUUAAUACUUAAUAUAGUAUUAAAUACGAAAAUAUCAAUAUUUGACUACUCAAAUUUAUAUCAAUAGGUCCUUAAAAUUUAAAAUUGAAGAUACAAGAGGAAAUAUAUAUAAAUUUAAUUCUCAUCGGAAAGGAUCCUCUUAUAAUUUUAUAUAUUUGAGCUUUGAAAGAUUUUUUGAAACAAAUGUACUUUUAUUUAUGUACAAUCAAUAUUUACUUAUUCAUUAUAUAUUUAUUUACUAACUAUCAAUCAUGUUAAUAUAUUUAGUCAGAAAAAUCAUAUCAAGAAAAAAUCAUGAUCCCACGCACAGAUAAAUACGUUAAUUUCUAUACUAUUCACUUACCUGUGUAAUCAAUUAUCUAAAAUGCAAGUUUGUGGCUACGGAAAACUCUCCAAAGAAAGAAGAUAAUAACAAUUGAGCAUUGAUAGCAAAACUAAUGCAUCAUUUUCUUCUUGACUUGAUGAGAUGACGCCAUGAUGUAAAAACAAGUACCUAAAUUGACCGGCAUUGAGUGAUGUGAAUACUACCAGCCGGUUCAUCUCUUCCAGUCUUGCUUAGUUACAAUCACAAACACCACGAGAUCGACAUUUGCAUUAUAUAUAUCUUCAGCAGUCGAAACACCUUGCAUUACCAAUAAACCAGUAACAAACAAAGCAAUCUUUCAUGGAGAGAAACCUUAGUCUCAGUAUGAUCACUGUGUCAUUAACCCACUGCCUGCUUCUUUGCUUGGUUGUUGCAGCAGCAGCAGCAGCAAGCAGCAAUAUUCCCACAGACCAACAAGCUCUUCUUGCCCUGAAAGAUCAUAUAAUUUAUGAUCCGACCAACCUUUUAGCCCAUAAUUGGACCUCGAAUACCUCUGUUUGUACCUGGAUUGGCAUCACUUGUGAUGUCAAUAGCCAUAGAGUCACAACCUUAGAUAUUUCUCAAUUCAAUCUACAAGGCACCAUCCCUCCUCAACUUGGAAACCUCUCUUCACUCACAACACUUAAUCUUAGUCAUAAUAAGCUUUCUGGAAGCAUUCCCCCUCCAUCUACACCAUGCAUACGCUAAAAUUUCUAGACUCCACUGAUAACCAGCUCUCUGGUUCAGUGUCUUCCUUCGUCUUCAACAUGACUUCAAUAUUCGACAUUCGUUUGACCAAUAACAGACUUUCCGGUGAGCUUCCGAAAAAUAUUUGCAAUUACCUUCCUCAUUUGAAAGCCCUUUUUUUGGACAAAAACAUGUUUCAUGGAAAAAUUCCUUCUGCUUUAUCAAAGUGCAAACAACUGCAACAAUUAAAUUUGCAUUCCAAUAAUUUAUCCGGGGCAAUACCAAAAGAAAUCGGCAACUUGACUAUGCUCAAAGGGAUAGACCUCGGCUACAACAAACUCCACGGUAUGUUCAUAAUACUAUCUAAAUAUUUUAAUUUAUCACUUGUUAAUUUUCUUGAAUACCUUAGAUAAGAUCUUGUAAGUGAGAUUUUUUGCAUCUAUGUUAAUUUACCAGGUGAGAUACCACACGAAAUCGCUAAUCUUCGAAAUCUAGAGGCUUUAGUGCUUGGAAUGAACAACCUAGUUGGUAUGGUAUCAGCUACAAUCUUCAACAUGUCAACAGUGAAGGUGAUUAUCCUCAUAAAUAACUCUCUCUCUGGAAGUCUUCCAUCAAGAAUGGACCUUUCACUUCCAACUAUUGAGCAUCUUAACUUGGCACUUAAUAGAUUUUCUGGAACCAUUCCUAGUUCUAUCACCAAUGCUUCUAAGCUCACCUUUCUAGAGUUGGGAGGAAACACAUUUUCGGGCUUUAUUCCAAACACAUUUGGUAAUUUAAGAAACCUUGAGCUGCUCGACUUGGCUAAUAACUACUUGACAUCUUCAACCUCAAAAUUGAGCUUCCUUUCCUCUUUGGCAAAUUGCAAGAAAUUAAGAACCUUAAGAUUAAGUGGCAAUCCACUUGACGGCGUCCUUCCAAGUUCAAUAGGAAAUCUUUCUAAGUCUUUGGAAACACUUGUCAUCGUCAAUUGCAGUAUUAGUGGCAACAUUCCUCGAGCAAUUGGCAAUUUAAGCAACUUGUUGGCCUUAGUAUUAGAAGCCAAUAAAUUGACUGGACCAAUUCCAAUUACAUUCGGCCGACUACAGAAACUCCAAGGCUUAGAUCUUGCAUUCAAUAAGUUGGUAGGUUCAUUCCCAGAUGAGCUUUGCCAUCUAGCUAGGCUGGCUGAAUUGGUCUUAUUUGGCAAUAAGCUUUCAGGAUCUAUACCUUCAUGCCUAAGUAAUCUCACUUCUCUAAGAUCUCUCUACUUAGGGUCCAAUAGGUUUACUUCUGUUAUUCCCUCAACUUUCUGGAGCCUAAAAGACAUCUUGUUCUUUGACUUUUCAUCAAAUUUCUUGGUUGGUCCUCUUUCUUUAGACAUAGGAAAUUUGAAGGUGCUUGUAAGAAUAAAUUUAUCAAAAAAUAACUUAUCCGGUGAUAUCCCAGCCACAAUUGGAGGACUGAAAGAUCUUCAAUUUAUGGACGUAGCAUAUAAUAGAUUGGAAGGCCCAAUUCCUGAAUCAUUUGGUGACUUGACAAGUUUGGAGGUUUUGAAUUUGUCAAAAAAUAAAAUCUCUGGGUCUAUUCCAACAUCCAUGGAGAAACUCUUUUACCUCCGAGAGUUAAAUCUCUCUUUCAAUGAACUAGAAGGUGAGAUUCCCAGUGGAGGAAUUUUUGCCAACUUCACAGCUGAGUCAUUUAUGGGAAAUGAGUUAUUGUGUGGUUUACCAAGUCUUCAAGUCCAACCAUGCAAAGUUAGCAAGCCGAGGACAGAACAUAAAUCAAGGAAAAAGAUACUUCUCAUUGUGAUUGUUUUGCCAUUGAGUAUUGCUCUAACAAUAGCAAUCACACUAGCUCUCAAAUCUAAGCUGAUCGAAUGUGGAAAAAGAAGCACAGUGUUGUCAAAUGAUAGUGUCUUGUCAUCACAAGCAACACUAAGAAGAUUUUCAUACUUAGAACUUUUACAAGCAACAGAUAAUUUUGCUGAAAACAACGUAAUUGGCAUUGGAGGUUUUGGUUCUGUUUAUAGAGCAAGACUUGAAGAUGGGAUGAAGAUUGCAAUAAAAGUGUUUCACCAGCAAUGUGCAAGCGCAUUGAAGAGUUUUGAGGCUGAAUGUGAAGUGUUAAAAAAUAUUCGCCAUCGAAAUCUUCUCAAAGUUAUCAGCAGUUAUUCAAACAAUGACUUCAAAGCAUUAGUCCUAGAAUACAUGUCCAACGGGAGCUUGGGGGAUUGGCUGCAUUCUAGCAAUUAUAUGCUGAAUAUAUUUCAAAGGUUGAACAUAAUGAUUGACGUUGCAUCAGCUUUAGAAUAUCUCCACUUCGAUCAUUCAACUCCUAUCAUUCACUGUGACUUAAAGCCUAGUAAUGUAUUGUUGGACGAAAAUAUGGUUGCUCAUUUGAGUGAUUUUGGCAUAGCAAAGCUUUUAAGUGGAGAGGAUGAGUAUUUGAUGCGAACAAAAACCCUUGCCACUAUAGGUUAUAUGGCACCAGGUUUGCUUCAAACAAUUGUUUUUUUUUAAGUUCAUUUUAAAUUUUCCAAAUCAUUGAUUUUUACGAUCCUCACAUCAAAAUUUUCUUGAUUAUUUAUCUAAUUGUGAAAUUAAUUUUAUUCAUAGAGUACGGCAUAGAAGGAGAAGUAUCUACAAAAAGUGAUGUUUACAGCUAUGGGAUUAUGUUGAUGGAAACUUUUACUAAGAAAAACCCCACAGAUGAAAUUUUUGUUGGAGAAUUGAGCUUAAAGCGUUGGGUUAAUGACUUGCUUCCUACUUCAUUAGUGGAAGUUGUGGACAAAACUCUGCUAAGUGGAGAGGAAAAACAUUCUGCAGUAAAGGAGCAAUGUCUGUUGUCUAUCUUUAGUUUGGCUCUGGAGUGUACAAUGGAAUCACCGGAAAAGAGGAUUAAUGCAAAAGAUGUUGUUACCAGAUUACUCAAGAUAAGAGACACAUUGAGUAAAAGGAUAGGAAACUGAAGUUAAUUUCGUUUGCUUUCAUUGAUAGUUAAUUCAAAUUCAUGUAAUAAGUGUAAGAAUCUUAUAUCCUUUCCUUUGAUUUUUUUUUUUUUUUGAGAAAACUGUUGUAGUCAUCUUGUUUCACUGCCCCCAAUGCUUUGGACACCUACUGGUAGGUUUGUACGUGUCCUCAACUUUUUUUAGGAGCACAAAAUUCGAGUCCCAUGGAGACUCAAACAUUCCUUUCCCACAUCCCGAGCACGCUAAGUUCGAGUGAAAGAGAUUAAUUUACGGAAACUAAAGCCAAGAGAAUAAAGGACAACACUUAUGUGAAGCGACAUAAAUGUAUUGAUAGCACAAUGUCAAAUUCAUACAGAGAUCUAGUAUACUAUUUACAGCCGGUAAGGGCUAAGAAUUGAUGUAGCUAGAAUACAAAGACGAUAAGGUAUGUUGUGCACUAUUGUUUUAUUCUACGAUCAAUCUUGACCCUUGAUGCUUGGCUCUCAAUCUUGUCCAUUGAUCUUCUUUGAUUUUGUACACUUCAAGACCUUUCAGUAUCAUUCCUUGUUGUUGGUGUCUUCCGUGCUGUAGAAUUCAUAUACAAGCCUUCCCGCCGACUUGCGAAGUAUUCGUUCAUUGAUGCAUUUUUAUCAAACAGUUGGCCGACUUGCCAAGUAUCAUGCCUUGUUAUAGGUAGGCUUGGUAGGAUUAUGGGUCGGUCGGUAGAUGUACAUGUGUUAAAGCUUUUGAAUUUAUGCCAAUUGAAAAUAAAAAAGAAUCUACAUAAAUUUUCAACGAGGCUAUUACCACAAUAAGCAUUUGGAUGAAUUAUUAUUGAAUCCUUUCUGAGAAGUAGGACAUGUCAGACAUCAAAGCACUGAGAUAUCUUCAAAUAGUGGUAACCCCCACGCAACAAGGCACAAUAAAUUAUACAGAUAAAAUCCUUCACUCUUUCGUAAUCAUCAGUGUAGGCACGGUGAUGCGUCAGACAGAUAUGGGUCGGAUCCACUCCAGCUCCAUAUCAAGAUUCAUAAACCAUGACAAAAAUAGAGAAUCAUAGGUGUUGCAGAUAGUGAUGGUUGUUGAUGCACUCGUGAUUUAAAAUUUUAUUUUAUAUCUUCAAGUUCGCAUUUUAAGUGUCCUUUUUUUUAAUUUUUUAUUGUGAUCAUUAUAACUUGUCAAAUCUAUUUUUAAAUAAUUUUUUAAAAAUAUUUUAUUAACAAUGAUAUGAAAAUAUUCGAACACCUUUUCAUAGUAAAGUGAAUUAUUAUCCGACGAUCCAACUCAUGUUUUCAAAUUGUAAAUUGCAAAUCGUGUGUUUGCUCCAUUACAGAGUUUCAUCAAUUUGAAAUAGAGAAUCAUUUGUGUUCUAGAUUAAUCGAGGGUCUAUAUCCAAAUCUAAAAAUUGACUAACUUGGUUUCUAUUAAAUUCUUAAUCCUAACAAGAAAAAUAGAAGAUUAAAAAUGACUAAUUUGGUUUCUAUUAAUUUGAGUAACGAUCGAAUUACCUAAUUUAUUAAGAUUUAUCAAAAUCCUAUGUCAAAAUCCAUUAAUGAUAUAGGUUCAAUGACGAAAUAGUCACUUGUUAUUAUUUUUGACUUCAUAAAUAGAUGAACGGAUGUUAUUUUUGGAUUCUGGAGAAUCGAAAAUAUCAGGAUAGGUGAUAAAUGGAAUUAAGUUGUAGAUAAGAUAGAAAUGGAUUUGGAGAGAGAUUGGAAUCCUGGGUAAUCCGGAGUACGUUGUUGUGUUGAAUGCUCGUUGACUUCACGUUGACUGAAACAUUAUUGGAAGAAGUGAGCAAGCUUAUUUUCUUCUCUCAUUUUUUAAAUUUGUCUUAAGUUUAUUGAUGUGAGGCCUUUGAGAUUGUAAGUUUCAAAUCUGAGAAGAAUAACCACACACCCAUUAUCCUAUUACUCUUAUUUUAUCACAUGAAGAGAAUUCGAAGUUUGAUAAAUUUGUGAGGAUUGUGAGGGUUGAUGCAAUAUAAUUUAGAUGCAAAGUGUUUACAAGUACGAUGCUUCAUAAGUGUUCUUGAAUCAUUAUAAACUCACGUUAUUUUUAUAAUGAUUGUUUCAUCUGCACAUGGAUAUAAUCAUAUGUUGAGAUUUUUUCCUAAAUUAUGGUCUUAUUUGGUAUUGAGGUGUUAGAUCUUUUAAGUUACAAUUACUAUUGGAAAAAAAAGUGCAACUAUGAAAUAAAAGUUAAUAUUGUGUACUAAAUAUAAUUGUUAAAUAAUAAUUUUGACAAAAUUAGUGAAGAUAUAUAGGUUUUUUUUUAAUCAUCUAAGUGUAAAAUCAAAUCAACUUAACUUCUAAACUAUAUAGCAGCUACUGUUUACCAAAUACUUUAGUACUGUAACUUUUAAGUUAUAGCUGCCUAACCUCAGUCUCAAACAAUGGCUAUAAAGAUCAAAGAUUUCCUCAUAAAAAUUAUACGUCUUGUGAUUGCUUAUUUAAUUUAUAUUUUUUUAUUUAUCUUUAUUAAUUACAGUCAUCUUUUAAUAAAUUACAAUUGCAGGAAGUUGAUGUUCGAAGUGCUUAUGUCGACUCAAAGUUGUUGGGAAUUAAUGCAUGUAUUGAUUUAUUGGGAGUGUUUAAAUGAUUUUGUGAUUUACUUGAUUGAUUGAUUGAAUAAUGUUUGAUUGCUUCAUAUCCGUUCUAGAAAGUUUAUUUCUUUGUGAAAUUUCAAUGAAAUAUGUUUUUUUAAAUUAUAAGGGUUUUUUAAGUAAUUUUAAAAAUAAAUGAACUAAUAAGGAUUAAUUAUUAGGUAAUUAACUUGAACUAUACAGGGUAAGCGAACAUGUAUCCUAAUUAUAUCAUGAUAAAUCCUUUUCCGAUCAGAAUUAGGAAACCAUAAGUAUAUUGAUUUUUUUUUCCAAUUCUCCUUUGCGAAAACGGAUUACAGAAUUAGAAAACAAUCCUAAUGAUAUUAUUGUUAGGUUUAAAACACUGCAUAGAUAGUAAAAAGCUAACUAGUUCGUAGAGUAAUUUGUUAAUUGCUAUCGCCUCUGCCUGCGCGGUGAAUAAUUUGUUGCAUGCAAAUUUUUUAUUUUAUGCAAAUCGUACUGAACAUUGGAAUUGAUGUAUAAGCAAAAAUACAAGAGUAUUUAUGUCAAUACAAAUUUUUUUUUUCCAUUUUAAAUAAACACAACGCGAUGUUUAUCUGCUCCGCGUUUUUGCAAUCUGUUUAUUCGUUGUUUAUUUGCUUCUUAAGGCCUCAAACUUUGAUAACCAAAAAUUUCACCAAACUAUGAAAAAUAUUCUGCAGGUUAGUUUUUAUUUUCGGAAUAAUUAUUUGAGAAUACUAAAACACAAUAUAAAAUAAGAAAAUAGGGGGUUAAAAUUUGAAAAAAAAACAAAAGGGCAUGUUGGAUAGAUUACUGUAGUUUAAGAAAAAAAUUAUUCAGUUGGGAAUUUUUUUUCUUUAAUUUUUGUUUUACUUAAUUGAGAUUUCUCCUUAAUCCUUACAGUUUUAAAUUUGGAUAACAUAGGAUUAGUAAUUUAGUACUUCCUUUGCAAGCCGAGGUUAAUGAUGAAAUUCUUUUAAGAAAAAAGAUAAAAGAGCAUACCAAUAGUCAAUUAUAAAUAACCACAAAUAAAUACAAACAAAAUGUUUAUGAAGUAAAUUAAAAAUGUGCAUAUUAUUUUUUUUUUAUUUCUUACUAAUCUUUGUAUUUGCUGCUUGAAAAACCAUAAAUACACAGAUGACCAUUGGCUUCGCACCAUUUAAUUGGGAUACAUUUCUACGUACAAACUGAACAAGGCUAUUGAUUUUUAUUAUUAUUUUUAUUUAUUUAUAAAUUACUAUUUCAAUUUUCACUUUUUAUUGGGUUGUUUAAUGGAUUAGUGAGGCUGGUGGUCGUUGAUGCACUCACAAGGUACAAUUUUGUUUUCCAAUUUCAAAUUCGUAUUUUAAAAUGCAGCACAUUAUGUAUACAUAAUUAUUGAUUUUCAUAUGUGGGUGUUUUGAAAUAUUGCUAAAAGACCAAACUUUAAUAAACUAUUUUUGAUCCUUUUUUGUUUCUUUUUUCCUAAAGUUUGAGUGAUAUCCGCAUUUUUAAAAGCUAAUGUAUGCAAAAAAUUCUUUUAUUUUUCUGGGGAAAAUAGGCAAGAGAAAACGUUUUGGCAAAUGAGUUGCAACUGAAUUCAAAACCAAUACGAUGCGAGCAUAGGAAAGAGGUCAGUGUUUUGGAUUUGAAUUUAGUAUUGAGCUGAAUUUUAUGUUUAACACAUGAUUCUAUUAUAGUACUGCGAUUAAUAAGCUCAGCCCCGGAUUUGCUUUUGCUUUUGCUUUUACUUCAAGUGAAAGAAAGAGGAAACCUUUUGUUUUUUCUUUGGUUUUUGACUAUGUUACCUAUACAGAGAGUCAAGAUAUCAGCCAUAAGUGAUGGUGUUAAAAAGAUUAAGCAGCGCACACAAUCUUACUGCUGUCUAGACCAUCCAAUGAUGACUCCAGUCUUUUGGUUACAUUAGCUUUAGUUGAAAUAAGGGCCAAUUUAGCAAACACUAGCUUUGGCGGCUUACUAUGUUUAAUGUAAUGCUUAUUCUCAAGGAAUCUAAUGUUAUAAGAUGAUUGAAUGAUCUUCUAUGAUUGUGAGUAGUAUAGGAUAAUUGAAAAGAGCCUGGCUCCUAUGAUAAAUAACAGUAACACAGUACUGUGAUUGAAAAAGUUCAGUUACAAAAACUUAGUUACAGUAAACUCUUCAUUUAUUCAUUGCGGAGAUUGAAUGGCAAAAAGAGAAUAGAAUGAAGCAGAGGAAUCUCAUUGCCAAUAAAAUUGACCCUCUUUAAUGUUAUAUGGCACAGGUAUGUUUACAUCAAGAACAAGUUACUUACAGUUUUUAUUGUAGUUAAGUUUUGAUGAUUUCAGAUGCUUUUUUUUUUUAAUUGUGACACCUUUGAUUUAUAAUAAUAUUGCAAAUAUAUAUAUAUAUAUAUAUUAGUAGUUUUUUGGUCCGAAAUUUUAAAGUGUGAGAAAGUAUGAGAAAGCUUUAAAACCGCACGGUGUUAAAGGCUUACAGUUUUAAGCAUUUUAAUCCAUGCGGUUUUAAAGUUUUACUGGAUUUUUCCGCACUUUAAAAUUCCAGACUGAAACAUUUCUGUAUAUAUAUACAUAUAAAUAUAUAAAUUAAGAGGGAUGAGUUAACUGAAGAUUAUAAUCAUUACAACAAUGCUGAUGAGUGAUACAUCACUUGAAAUUUACUUAUCAGUUGCUGAAAUGAUGAAAAAAAAACAAUAAACAAUAACAGUGAUAAUGUUCUCUUGCUAAAAUGACUUGUAUAUUAUACAAUCCACUCUACUUAAUGAUAUCGUUUUAAUAAAUGUUUGAUGAUCUCCAUUUAAAAACUACUUCAAUUUUUUUCUUCAUUUAACUUUUUGGUUGUUGAAAAUAACCUUAAUUAUCAAAUAAUUGGAGAAAGAGUAAAGAACAUUUAACAAAUUUAUGUGUAAAAAAAAAAAGGAGAAGUUGAAGAGAAAGGGUGCUUGCAGAAGUAGGUGUCAAAGAUAAAUCGGUCCAUAGGAAUUAUUUGUUGAGAUAUAAUUAAUAAUCUAGUAAAUUGAGCAAGAAGUUUGAAGGGUUAUUUGGUUUGUUUUUCAACAUGAAGUAAAGGGUAGAAUUGAUGUUUGCAAUGUAGCUUUGGAAAUGUAAAGCAUGAUUAAUGUAAUCUCUAGAGUUGUCUAUAAUGCAUAUAAAUAUAGAACUCUGGUUGUAUGAAAAGUAAGAGAGAAACGAAAAAAUGAAUUAAGCAAUAAAGUUUCAGAAAUUUCCAGCAAAAUACUCUGUUCUUAAAUAAAAAUUUUUCUGCACUUCCGCUUGCACCCAACAAAUUUGGUAUCAGAGCUAUUCCAAAACACCCUCAAAAUGACAUCAAACUUCUCCCUGUUUUGAGCUGGAAUAAGAGCAGAAAGCUGUGGGAAAAGGCACUAUUGCUGUCCAUACAAAGGAAGGUACUGAUUUCCUUAUUGUUUGCCUUUAUGUUGAUGCUGCAACAACAAUUUAUUGUGACAACAUGUCAGCCAUUGCUCUAACAAAGAACCCCGUAUUUCAUGCUAAAUCUAAGCACAUUGAGCUGCGUUAUCACUACAUCCGUGACUUAGUAAACAAAGGAGAAGUUAAUAUGGAGUUUAUCAGCACUAAUGAGCAGCCAUCAGAUUUUCUGACCAAAGCAAUCAACAUUGAGAAGUUUGAAAAAUUCAAGAAGCAAUUGAAGAUUACUAAUUAAGAGGGGGUGUUGAGAUAUAAUUAAUAAUCUAGUAAAUUGAGCAAGAAGUUUGAAGGGUUAUUUGGUUUGUUUUUCAACAUGAAGUAAAGGGUAGAAUUGAUGUUUGCAAUGUAGCUUUGGAAAUGUAAAGCAUGAUUAAUGUAAUCUCUAGAGUUGUCUAUAAUGCAUAUAAAUAUAGAACUCUGGUUGUAUGAAAAGUAAGAGAGAAACGAAAAAAUGAAUUAAGCAAUAAAGUUUCAGAAAUUUCCAGCAAAAUACUCUGUUCUUAAAUAAAAAUUUUUCUGCACUUCCGCUUGCACCCAACAUUAUUUUGGUUAUUUUUUAGCAAUAUAAAAAUUUUUUAGCAAGUAAAAAUUAAUUUUUUUCCAAUUUACUAAAAAAUUAACUAAAAACUUCUGCGAUAGCAUUUUUUAUGGGUGCAUAUACCUCCCUUUAAAAAAUAUAUAAUAAUUAAUGCUUAAUAUAGUAUUAAAUACGAAAAUAUCAAUAUUUGACUACUCAAAUUUAUAUCAUUAGGUCCUUAAAAUUUAAAAUUGAAGAUACAAAAGGAAAUAUAUAUAAAUUUCAUUCUCAUGGGAAAGGAUCAUCUUAUAAUCUUAUAAUAUUUGAGUUUUGAAAUAUUUUUUUGAAACAAAUGUACUUUUAUUUGUGUACAAUCAAUAUGUACUUAUUUAUUAUAUUUUUAUUUAUUAACUAUCAAUCAUGUGAGUAUAUUUAGUCAGAAAAAUUAUAUCAAGAGAGAACCCUAAUUUCACGUAAAGACAAAUACAAGACAAAUAUGGCAAUUUCUAUACUAUUCACUUUCCUGUAGAAUCAAUUAUCUAAAAUGCAAGUUUGUGGCUUCAAAAAACUCGCCAAAGAAAGAAGAUAAUUACAAUUGAGCAUUGAUAGCAAAUCUAAUGCAUCCAAUUCUUCUUAACUUGAUGAGUGACGUGAAUACUAGCAGUCUGUAACGCCCAAAUUUUUAUUAUUUUAUUUAUUUUUUAAUGGAAUUUAUAAAUGACAUUUUUGCCCUUAUAAAAACGGUUAUUCAUGGAAUAAUUUUUAGGAAAGGGUUAUUUUUCCAAAUUCAAUAGGGUUUCUUAAGACUCCCUAUAAAUUCAUAUUUUUCUCCUUCCAUAACCCUAAAAGCACGACGUUUCUUCUUCUUCUAUGCUGCUCAUUACGCUCUUACCCAAACCCUAGGAUUCAAACCUUUGGUUAAGAGAGAAUCAAAGCGAUUGGUAAGUUUAUUCCCCUUAUUCUCCACAAGAUUCCCAAUCACUCUAUCUAGGGUUUAUAUUGGCACGAUUUUAGAUUGUUAUAGAUCAUAAUGCAUGAUUUAGAAUGUGUUUAGGCUUUGUUUAGAGUUUUGAUUUAUUAUGAGUUUAGUUAAUCAACCUUGACGUAUUAAGCACAUAGAAUAGUUCCAUAGAAUAUUAUGUUAUUCUGAGUUUUAGAUUAAGAGUUAAAAUUCUGAGCAUCGGACCUGUACGGGUACGAAUUAAAAAAACCAGGUUCUUAGAAUAAGUUAUUAAUUGUCAUAUAUUGUAUUUGUUUAAGGCGUUGGAGGUGAUUGAGGCUCUUAGAGGGUUAGAGGUGUGUUAAUUCAAAUUCUUUUGUCAAGUUAAGUAACUUUAUUCCUAAUGUACUGGAUAUAUAUAUAUGAUUAUUUUGAUAUUAUUAUAAGUAUACGAAUUUUUUUACUACUUAGAAGAUUAAUGGAUUUUCAUAACAAAAUCAGUUUGUGUAAAUGUUUUCAAACCUAAAUUCUUUUUAAUAAAUUAUUUUGUAAAGGCUUUUAAAUAUGUAAGUUAUUUUAUGACAUGACUACCUUUUAUAAUUUUGUCUAUGAAAUAUUUGCAAGCCUAAAUUGUGGUUAUGGACUUUCAUGAAACUGAUACAAAUGUUUUGUACCUAUGUAUGAUUUCAAUUAUUUAUGAUUGUACGGGGGCCACCUCUUGGGACUAUAUGGGGGCCACCUCUUGAAAGCCAAAGCAUCGCAAAGUGCCACAUAUAAGUCAUUAUGUUUUGGCUCAUUGUCCAUAGUUAUUCUGAUUCUGAUUCUGAUCGUAUAAUACGAUAUAUGUCUGUUCUGGACCAGUACUGGGUUUUUGUUUUGAGUGUGCACACGAUAUUCUGAUUCUGUUUUUGGCCGAGUCACCAGGACUAUAGGUGACACUAUGUGACAUGAGCUAACCUUUUGUUUUAUGUGAAUGUGAUAUAUGAUUUGCUUUUGUAAGUAACUAUACUUUUGAUAUUCUGAGUUACAAUGAAUUUAAAUUAUUUUAUAGUGAUAUAUCGUUUUAUGAAAUUUAUGGAUUAUGAUAUAUGUUUUAAUUAAAAGAAGGCUUGCAAUAUUUUUGGUAUCGAUAGGCCUAGUGUGUUAGGAAUAGUUUUACUUACCGAGUUGACGGCUCACCCCUCGUCAUUACUUUUUGCAGAUUAAAUUUCUUUUGAGAGGUGCCCUUAGCUUUGGAGUUAGUAAUUUUCUGUUUCCGUUUGCCAUUUGAAUAAGAUGAGGAAUAGACUCAUGUUUCUAUUUAGUUUAUUUCUGUUAUGGACGUGUAAUUUGGAGUUUGAGACUUUUGUUAUUUUUUUUAUGUCCUCGGGAGAGAUUAUUUAGUAUUAGACGUUUGAAUUUGUGGAUUUAUUCGAAUAAGAAUUUGAGGUAUUUCAGUUUGAAACUUAUGAGUAAAGAUUAUGAUUUGUAAGUAACCUCCUUCUUCACGUGCUCCGCACGUGUUAGAUUUGGGGUGUUACAAUUGUGGUAUCAGAGCAUUAGGUUUGGGAUUCUGUAGACUUUAUUUGAGACUAGAUUUCUUAAGCACAAUCAAUUAGUUCAAUGGUAUUGCUUGCCAUGAGGUUAUCAGAAAGAGUAGAUCUUUAAGGCGAGGAGUAAUUUUGGUCUUUUUGAUUUUCUAGUUGCUUGUGACUUUGUAAUAACUCCUUGAUAUAGGAUUUUGGUAUUAACGUAGAAUGAAAUAUUUGUUUGCUCUUGUUGUCAAUCACUAAUGUUUCUCAGUUAUACUACUUACUCAGUACUUUGCGCACUAGCAAGGCCUUUAACUAUGAAUUAUUUACCGUUUUAUUUAUUUAUUUAUUUUUAUUCUUCGUGUUAUAGUCAAAAGAUGUUGCGUAGGGGAGGUGCUAGGCAUGCCUCUAGCUCGAGAGAUGUUUUAGGAAUCGCUGAUGACGUUGACCCAACCUUGCGUGAGAUGGCUAACGAAGGGAAUCCUAUGAUGCGCGCAAUGGUUAGAUUGAUGGAACAACAAAGUAAGUUGAUUCAAGAUAUGGCUAGAGGUAAAGUUGGGGCACAGGAGAAUGUGCCAGUUGAAAGACAAGGUGGUGGAAGAGAUCAGGGAGGUAUGAUGAGCUUAGAGCGGUUUAGGAAAUUGGGACCACCUACCUUUCAGGGGACUGCCGAUCCUAUGGUUGCAGAGGCAUGGUUAAGACAGAUGGAGAAAAUAUUUAUGGCUAUGGGUUGUAAUGAUGAUCAUAGGGUGAUAUUGGCCUCAUUCGUCCUUUAGGGCGAGGCAGACCACUGGUGGGAUGCCAAAUCCCGUCUUUUGAGGGCCGGGUUACAAGAUGCACCUAUUACUUGGGAGUUAUUUCUGGAGGCUUUUCAUGAAAAAUAUUUUCCUGAACGAGUUCGACAUCAGAUGGAGGUUGACUUCCUGAAAUUGACUCAAGGAACAAAGUUUGUUGCGGAGUAUGAGGAGCAAUUUACUGCUCUAUCUCAUUUUUCUCCUACCUUAGUUGCUAAUGAGGGUAGUAAGUGUAGGAAAUUCUUGGAAGGGUUACAUCCAAACAUCAAAAGACGGUUGACCAUCCUUAAGCUUAAUAAUUAUGCCGAUUUGGUGGAUCGUGCGAUUAUUGCAGAGAGGGAUAUAAUUCAAUCUCAAGUUGCACGAUCUAAUCGACAUAAUAACCAGCCAAUAAAACAUGAUAGUAAUGGUAGCGAAGGUGAACAUAAGGACUCUAAUGGUGGGUCUAUUCAAGAGAACAAACCAUUCUGUAAUCGUUGUGACAAGUACCAUAAUGGCACGUGCUAUUUAAAGAUAGAAGCUUGUUUUGGCUGUGGAAAGAUGGGGCAUAAGGUUAUAGAUUGCCCAAAAAAGCGCAGUGGUAACAUAGAUUCUGCCGAGAACCAAAGGAAAAAGCCAUGUGUCUUCGCCAUGGUGGAGCAAGAUAUUAAGAAACCGAAUAACGAAGCCUCAGGUGCAUUACCUAUUUUCCAUAGAAAGCCUUGAAUUUUUGAGUAAUUGGUAUUGUGCUUUUCCUCCAUCCUUUCUGAUUGGAUGCAUCGUAGCUAGAGUUUUUAGCCUAAUAAUUUCUUUUUUCAUCCAUUGAAUUUCUAUGGUACAUUAGUAGGAUAUGACGUGUGAUUUUAUAAGGCCAUUAGGAUUAACUUAUGGUUGGAUGGAGUAGGGACUAAUAUGAUAUUUAGUAGGAUAUGUGAUGAAGAUUGCAAUAAAAGUGUUUCACCAGCAAUGUGCGAGCGCAUUGAACAGUUUUGAAGUUGAAUGUGAAGUGAUAAAAAAUAUUCGCCAUCGAAACCUUAUCAAUGUUAUUGGCAGUUGUUCGAACGAUGACUUCAAAUCAUUAGUCCUAGAAUACAUGUCCAACGGGAGCUUGGAGGAUUGGCUGCAUUCUAGCAAUUAUGUGCUUAAUAUUUUUCGCAGGUUGAACAUAAUGAUUGACGUUGCAUCAGCUUUAAAAUAUCUCCACUUCGAUCAUUCAACUCGUAUCAUUCAUUGUGACUUAAAGCCUAAUAAUGUGUUGUUGGGUGAAAAUAUGGUUGCUCAUUUGAGUGAUUUUGGCAUAGCAAAGCUUUUAAGUGGAAGAUGAGUCUACGAUGCGAACAAAAACCCUUGCCACUAUAGGUUAUACGGCACCAGGUUUGCUUGAAACAACUUUUUUUUUUAGUUUAUUUUAAAAUUUCCAAAUUAUUGAUUUUUACGAUCCUCAUAUCAAAAUGUUAUUGAUUAUUUAUCUAAUUAUGAAAUAAUUUAAUUCAUAGAGUAUGGCAUAGAAGGAGAAAUAUCUGCAAAAAGUGAUGUUUACAGCUAUGGGAUUAUGUUGAUGGAAACUUUUACCAAGAAAAAACCCACAGAUGAGAUUUUUGUUGGAGAAUUGAGCUUAAAGCGUUGGGUUAAUGACUUGCUUCCUAAUUCAUUAGUGGAAGUUGUGGACAAAAUUCUGAUAAUUGGAGAGGAAAAACAUUUUGCCGCAAAGGAGCAAUGUCUGUUCUCUAUCUUUAUUUUGGCUCUGGAGUGUACAAUGGAAUCACCGGAAAAGAGGAUCAAUACAAAAGAUAUUGUUACCAGAUUACUCAAGAUAAGAGACACAUUGAGUAAAAGGAUAGGAAAUUUAAGUUAAUUUUGUUUGCUUUCAUUGAUAGUUACUUUGAAUUCAUGUAAUAAGUGUAAGAAUCGUUUAUCUUUUCUUUUGAUAUUUUUUUCUUGAGAAAACUGUUGUAGUCAUCUUUUUUCAAUGGGCAGAGUUGAUUUAGUUCUUCCAAGAAAUGCUAUUGUUGAUCUUUGUUAUAUACUUUUGUCUUUUUUUGCAUGCAUUUAGGUAGAAUAGUGGUCUAGCUGCAGGCUAACAAGUCAAGCUACGCUAAAAGGGUAUGAUUUAAUUUAUUAAACCUAACUUCAAGUUCAAGAAUUGUAUCUCAUUGCCACCAAUGCUUUAGACACCUAUUGGUAGGUUUGUGUCCUCAACUUUGUUUAGAGCAAAAGUUCCAGUCCCAUGGAGGCUCAAAUAUUCCUCUCCUACGUCCCGAACACACUAAAUUCAUCAGCCUCUUGAACCCUCUCCUGAGGGCGCCUUCUGUCCUCUGUUUUCUGUUUCCAUACACAAAUAGCAAAAAGAAUUCAGAAUGACAACUGGGACAUAUAUAAGAGUGAAAUAAUUAAAAAAAAUUAUGCUUUUUUGUUUGUCGUGUUAAAAUCGUAAGGUAUCUAAGUACUAUGAAAGAGAUUAGUUUACGAAAACUGAAGCCAAGGGUUCAUAAAAAAGUGCAAAGAGAAUAAAGGACAACGCUUAUGUAAAGCGACAUAAUUGUAUUGGUAGCACAAUGUCACGUUCAUACAGAGAUCAAGUACAUUAUUUACAGCUGGUAAGGGCUAAGAAUUGAUGUAGCUAGAAUACAAAUAUGAUAAGGUAUGUUGUGCACUAUUGUUUUAUUCUACAAUCAAUCUUGACCCUUGAUGCUUGGCUCUCAAUCUUGUCCAUUGAUCUUCUCUGAUCUCGAAAACUUCAAGACCUUUCAAUCUCAUGCCUUAUUAUUGGUAUGUUCUAUGCUGUUAAUUUCAAAUACUAGCUUUUCCGCCAACUUGCCAAUUAUUUGUUCAUUGGUGCGUUCUGUCAAACAGUGUGGAUACUUAUACCAAACGCUUUCUGUUUUAACUCCCCCUUUCAAGCUCAACUAUCUGGGAAGACACUAAUAAGCUUGUUUCUCAAGUAUAUGUAUCUGAAAAUUAAAUUUUCAAAAUUAUAUUCGGACUCUACAUUUUCUAAUGAACAUUGGUUUGGCUCAUAAGCUUAUUAUACUUGGGCUUGGUAGGAUUAUCGGUCGGUAGAUGAACAAGUGUUAGAGCUUUCGAAUUUAUGCCAAUUAAAAAAAAAUCUAUAUAAAUUUUCCACUAGGCUAUUACCACAAUAAACAUUUGGAUGAACUAUUAUUGAAACCUUAUUGAGAAGUAGGACAUGUCGCAUACCAAUGCACUGACAUAUCUUCAAAUAGUGGUAACUCCACACAACAUGGCACAAUAAAUUAGAGUUAUAUAGAUAAAAUCUUUCACUCUUUGGUAAUCAUCAAUGUCGGCAUGGCAAUGCGUCCGACAAAAUUCAUAAAUCAAAACAAAAAUAGAGAAUCAUAUUUGUUUCAGAUUGUAGUGAUGGUUGUUCAUAAUUCACAAUUUUAUUUAAUAUCUUCAAAUUCGCAUUUUAAAAUGCACAAAUGUUUGUGUAUACAUAAUUAGUAAUCGAUUCUCAAGCUUGGACAUUUAAAAGCACUGCUAAAAGACAAAAUUUUAAUUCACUAUUUUUUGUCUUUUAAUUUUCUUUAAGUUUUAAUGAUUCCGCAUUUUAAAAUCCUGUGGAACGUACAUGUAAAAUUCUUUUAUCUUUUAGAGGAAAAUGGGCAAGAGAAGAAGAUUUGGCAAAGGAAUUGCAACCGCAUUUGGAGCUAGUUUUAAUUUUGUCUUUUAAUUCUUUUACACUUGGCUUUUGUUAUUGAUGUCAACUUCGAUGUGUGUGCGUGUGCGACUGAAUUCAACUUACAUGCUAUUGAUGCAGCCACCAAAAAGGGGUGGUCCAUCAUCAAUCAACAAGGUUUAUUAUUAUUUCCAUAUUGAUUUUCUUAAUUAUAAAUAAUACUAAUGUUAUUUCAUAGUUAUAAAUAUAUUAGAAUUAAUCGAAAUCAUUUUUUAGUGUGGCAUGGCUAAAACUACCUUUUUUUUUUAUAAGUAAUUACUACUUUCACAUUAAGAAAAAUACUCCUAUUUUUAAGGAAAAGUCAAGUACCUGUAGUUGUGAAGACUCAAGCUCACUCCCUUAUGAUAAAUCUUCAUAUUAAUUACGUAAAUAUCCUCUAAAAUUUUAAAUUAGCUAUUCAAAAUUUGAUGUUAUACGGGUAUUUCAUUUAUUUGAGUAGGGGUUAGGGGUCAAUUGGAUACAAAUUCAAAAUUAUCCUUACUUGAGAAGGUGAUAAAAAUUGGGGAUUUAGUUUGGAUGUCAUUAGCUACAAAUAUUAAACUCAUACAUUUAAUUCAAAAUUAGAGGGCUGAUAUGUGCGCAUCAUCGUCCACGUUAUAGUGACACUGCGUCACCAUUCCACAACCUCUCCAAUGAAAAAUUGACAUGCUUCUUGUGCGCAUCUAAUCAGAAUCUUGAAAAUUAAUCACAAAAUUGUACUUUUAUUAUAAAAAGAAUAAAGAAACUCCAAGAAAAAAAAAAAGACUUACAUAAAUAGAUUGAAAAAUCUAGAUUUCAAGUUGUCUAUAUUAGCUUGAUAUUUUUAUUAAUAGUCAUCCUCCCAAAAAAAUUCCAUCAAAAUAUAUUUUAAUUUUAUGUUAAUUCAUAAACAUGAAAAAAUCAUUUUAGAAUUAAUUAAAACAUAAUUUAUUGUUGCUCAAAAAAGGUAGAACUUAGUUAUCAGAAAAAAGUGUCUAAAAUAUAUGUUAAAAAAAAAUCAUGGUUGGUUGGACUGAUUGAAUUUUUUUUUUCUUUUUUAAGAAUUAAGACAAUUGGAUGGAUUGAGUAAUAAUAAUACAUAUUUAUUUGGCAAAUGGCAGGGAGGCUUUCGUCUGAUGCAGAUUGAUUAGAGAGAAAAUAUAACAAUUUUAAGCUCGUCAGAUUCGAAGCUGCUUACCUGUCGUGUGGGGAUCACUUCCGUGUCUUAUUUUUCUAGAAAAAUCUGGACCAUUGGAUUUACCAUUAGUCAAUAGAGAAAUGUUGAUCUUGAUUCUUGAUCAAGAUCGAAGUUUGAUUCUAACUAACACGAUAUCAGAUUGCGAAGCAAGCAAAUUGAAAGUCACUUGUUCUAUGGAAGAAACACAAGUUCUAAUAAAACAUUCUCAUAGUAAAGUGAAUUACCAUCCAACGAUCCAACUCAUGUUUUCAAAUUGUAAAUUGCAAAUCGUGUGUUUGCUCCAUUACAGAGUUUCUUCAAUCUGAAAUAGCGAAUCAUUUGUGUUCUAGAUUAAUCGUGGGUCUAUAUCCAAAUCUAAAAAUUGACUAACUUGAUUUCUAUUAAAUUCUUAAUCCUAACAAGAAAAAUUGAAGAUUAAAAACGACUAAUUUGGUACCAUACCACUAUUGUAACAUAGGUAGAUCCUCUAUUAAUUGGAGUAAAGAUUGAAUUAUCUCAUUUAUUAAGGUUUAUCAAAAUCUUGUGUCAAAAUCUAUUAAUGAUAUAGGUUCAAGGAUGAAAAAGUCACUGCAUUACUUUUGAGUUCCCAAAUAGAUGAAUGGAUGUUAUUUUUAGAUUCCGGAGAGUCGAAAAUAUUAAGAUAGGUGCUAAAUCGAAUUAAGUUGUAGAUACGAUAGAAAUGGAUUUGGAGAGAUUGGAAUCCUAGGUAAUCCGGUGCACGUUGUCGUGUUAAAUUCUCGUUGACUUCACGUUGACUGAAGCAUUAUUGGAAGAAACAAGUUUAUUGAUGUGAGGCCUUUGAGGUUGUAAGUGUUAAAUCUGAGAAGAAUACCCACACACCCAUUAUCCUAUUACUCUUAUAUCACAUGAAGAGAAUUCAACAUUUGAUUCACACGGAAAAAAUUUGUGAGGAAUGUGAGGGUUGAUGGAAUAUAAUUUAGAUACAAAGUGUUUACCAGUGCGAUGCUUCGCAAGUGUUCUUGAAUCAAUAUAAACUCACAUUAUUUUCAUAGUGAUUGUUUCAUCUGCACGUUAAUAUAAUCACAUGUCGAGAUUUUUUUCCUUAAAUUAUGGUCUUAUUUAGUAUUGAGGUGUUAUAUCUUUUAAGGUACAAUUAUUGUUGGAAAAAAGUUACAACUAUCAAAUAAAAUUAAUACUAUGUGCUAAAUAUAAUUGUUAAAUAAUAAUUUUGACAAAAUUAGUGAAGUUAUAUAGAUUUUUUUCAUCAUCCAAGUAUAAAAUCAAAUCAACUUAACUUCUAAGUUAUAUAUCGGCUACUGUUUAUCAUAUGUUUUAGUUUUGUAACUUUUAAAUUAUAGUUACCCAACCUCAAUUCUAAACAAGACCUAUAAAGAUCAAAGAUUUCCUCAUUAAAUUAUAUGUCUUGUGAUUGCUUAUUUAAUUUAUAUUUUUGUUAUUUAUCUUUAUUAAUUAUAAUCAUCUUUUUAUAAAUUAAAAUUGAAGGAAGUUGAUUGAUGUUGUUGACACACACACGCACGCGCACGCACACACUCACAAAGAUAUAUUGGAAGUGCUUACGUCGACUCGAAGUUGUUGGGAAUUAAUGCAUGUAUUGAUUUAUUGGGAGUGUUUAAAUGAUUUUGUGAUUUACUUGAUUUAUUGAUUGAAUAUUGUUUGAUUGCUUCAUAUCCAUUCUAGAAAGUUUAUUUCUUUGUGAAAGUUCAACGAAAUAUGUUUUUUUUUUUAAAUAAGGGUGUUCUAAAUAAUUUUAAAAAAUAUAUGCUUGUCUUCCCAAAAUAGCCUUUGAAUACACAAGUAAAUGUCUAGCCUUUGGUGAGGAUAGUUUGGUCAUUGCAUUUUACAAGUAAGAUGAGUGGUGGAGAAAAAUGAGGAGUGCACAUAACUCUUCAGCAAAUCCCACCAACAAUUCCAUUUUCUUAAUUAAUUAAUCUCCUUUUUUAUCCCCAAACAAAUCCUAAUGAUACUAUUAUCAGGUUUAAAACAGUACACAAAUAGUGAAAAGCUAACUAGUCUGUAGAGUAAUUUGCUAAUUGCUAUCUCCUCUCUAUGCUCGCUGAAUAAUUUGUUGCAUGCAAACUUUUUAUUUUAUGCAAAUCAUACGUACUGUAACAUUGGAAUUGAUGUAUAAGCAAAAAUACAAUAAUAUUUAUGUCAAUACAAAUAGUUUUUUUUCCCUUUUUAAAUAAACACAACGCGAUGUUGCUCUGCUCUACAUUUUUGCUAUCUCUUUAUUAUUAUUAUUUUUUUUUGGGCUUCUUAAAGCCUCAAACUUUGAUAACCAAAACUUCAUCGACCUAUGAAAAAAUCUGCAGAUUAGUUUUUAUUAUCGGAAUAAUUGUUUGAGAAUACUAAAACAAAAUAUAAAAUAAGAAAAUACGGGGUUAAAUUUGGGGAAAACAAAAAGGCAUGUUGGAUAGAUUACUAUAGUUUAAGGGGAAAAAAAAAUUCAAUUGGAAAUUUUUUUCUUUAAUUUUUGUUUUACUUGAUUGAGAUUUCUCCUUAGUCCUUACAGUUUUAAGUUUGGAUGCCGUAGGGUUAGUAAUUUAGUAUUUCCCUUGCAAGCUGAGCUUAAGGAUGAAAUUUCUUUUAAGAAAUUAAAAAAGAUUAAAAAAAGCAUACCAAUAGGUAAUUAUAAAUAACCAUAAAUAAACAUAAACAAAAUGUUUAUGAAGUAAAUUACACAUGCACAUAUUAUUUUUUUGUUAUAUUUCUUACUUGUCUAUUUUAUUUGCUGCUUGAUAACCCGUAAAUACUAAUCUAGUACUGCUAAUUUCAGACACAAAAUGUUUAACUCUAGGCUGCAGUUUUACUCAAAAUGAUGACCACUGGCUUCGCACCAUUUAACCGGCAUACAUUUCUACAAAUUGAACAAGGCUAUUGAUUUUCAUUAUUAUUUUUUAUUUAUUUAUAAAUUACUAUUUUAAUUUUCACUUUUUAUUGGGUUGUUUACAGAUUAGUGAAGUUGGUGGUCGUGAUGCACUCACAAGGUACAAUUUUAUUUUAUAAUUUCAAAUUUGUAUUUUAAAAUGCAGGUACAUUAUGUAUACAUAAUUAUUGAUUUUCAUAUGUGGGUGUUUUGAAAUAUUGCUAAAAGACCAAACUUUAAUAAACUAUUUUUUAUCUUUUUUUUUCCUAAAGUUUGAGUGAUAUCCGCAUUUUAAAUUCAUGUGGAACAAAAGCUAAUGUAUGCUCAAAAUUCUUUUAUUUUUUCCGAGAAGAAUGGGUAAGAGAAGAAGAUUUUUCUGUUGAAAAAGAAAAACUAAUACGAUGCAAGCAUAGGAAAGAGGUCAGUGUUUUGGAUUAGAAUUUAGUAUUGAGCUGAAUUUUAUACUAAACUCUUUUAUAGUACUGCGAUUAAUAAACUCAUGAUUUGCUUUUGCUUUUACUUCAAGUGAAAGAAAGAGGAAACCGUUUGAUUUUUGUUUGAUUCUUGACUAUAGAUGUUACCUAUAUAGAGAGUUGAGGUAGCUGCCUUAAGUGAUGGUUAUAAAAAGAUUAAGCAGCGCACACAAUCUUACUGUCGUCCAGACCAUCCAGCUAUGAUGACUCUAGUUUUUUGGUUACAUUAACUUUAGUGGAAAGGAGGGCCAAUUUAACAAAGACUAGAUUUGGUGGCUUACUAUAAUGCUUAUUCUCAGGGAAUCUAAUGUUAUAAGAUGAUUUAAUGAUCUUCUAUGAUUGUGAGUAGUAUAGUAUAAUUGAAAAGAGCUUGGGCUCCUAUGAUGAAUAUUUAAUAGUAACACAGUACUGUUAUUGAAAAAAACACAGUUACAAUAAACUCUUCAUUUAUUCAUUGUGGAGAUUGAAUGGCAAACAGAGAAUAAAAUGAAGCAGAGGAAUCUCAUUGCCAGUAAAAUUGACCCUCUUUAAUGUUAUAUGGCACAGGUGUGUGUACAGCAAGAUCAAGUUACUUGCAGUUUUUAUUGUAAAAUAUAUAGGUUAUGACCAUGAUCAUUGUAGUUAGGUUUUGAUGAUUUUAGAUGCUUUUUUUAUUUUUUUUAAAAUUGUGACACCUUUGAUUUAUGGUAGCUUUGCAGAAGAAAAAUAUAUAUAUAUAAAUUAGGAGGGAUGAGUUAACUAACGAUUGCAAUCAUUACAGUAAUGUUGAUGAGUGAUACAUCAUUUGAAAUUUACUUGUCAGUUACUGAAAUGAUGAAAAAAAACAAUAAACAAUAGCAGUAAUAUUUUUAUGGAAAAUCUUGGUUUUUAUGGAAAUACUCUUGCUGAAAUUCUAAUUUUGACUUUCAACUCUUGGUUUUUAUGGAAAGUAAAAUGACUUGUUUGUUAUAUUCAUACAAUCCACUCUACAUAAUGAUUUCAUUUUAAUAAAUGCUUGAUGAUCUCCACUGAAAAACUACUUCAAUUCUUUUGUUUUAUUUAACUUUUUGGUUGUUGAAAAUAGCCUUAAUUUUCAAAUAAUUGGAGAAAGAGUAAAGAACAUUUAACAAAUUUAUGUGCCAAAAAUAAAGGAGAAAUUGAAGAGAAAGGGUGCUUGCAGAAGUGGGUGCAAAGAUAAAUCAGUCCAUAAGAAUUAUUGUGGUUAUUAAGUUUUUGGCAAUAUAAAAAUUUUUCAGCAAAUAAAAAUUGAUUUUUUCCGAUUUACUAAAAAAUUAAUUAAAAACUUCGGUGAUAGCAUUUUUUAUGGGUGCAUGUACCCUCCCUUUAAAAAAAAUAUAAUAAUUAAUACUUAAUAUAGUAUUAAAUACGAAAAUAUCAAUAUUUGACUACACAAAUUUAUAUCAUUAGGUCCUUAAAAUUUAAAAUUGAAGACACAAAAUGAAAUAUAUAUAAAUUUCAUUCUCACAGGAAAGGAUCCUCUUAUAAUCUUAAAAUAUUUGAGCUUUGAAAGAUUUUUUAAAACAAAUGUACUUUUAUUUUUGUACAAUCAAUAUUUACUUAUUUAUUAUAUUUUUAUUCAUUAACUAUCAAUCAUGUGAGUAUAUUUACUCAGAAAUAUCAUAUCAAGGAAGAAUCUUGAUCCCACGCACACACAAAUAUGUUAAUUUCUAUACGCUUCACUUACCUGUAGAAUCAAUUAUCUAAAAUGCAAGUUUGUGGCCACAAAAAAAGCCAAAGAAAGAAGAUAAUAACAAUUGACUUGUAUAUUAUACUCAUACAAUCCACUCGACAUAAUGAUAUCAUUUUAAUAAGGCAAUGGCUGAUGAUCUCCAUUGAAAAACCAAUUCAAUUUUUUUGCUUCAUUUAACUUUUUGGUUGUUGAAAAUAACCUUAAUUAUCAAAUAAUUGGAGAAAGAGUAAAGAACAUUUAACAAAUUUAUGUGCAAAAAAAAAAAAAAAAAAAGGAGAAGUUGAAGGGAAAGGGUGCUUGCAGAAGUGGGUGUCAAAGAAAAAUCUGUCCAUAAGAAUUAUUGCGGUUAUUUUUUGGCAAUAUAAAAUUUUUAUAGCAAGUAAAAAUUAAUUUUUUCCAAUUUACUAAAAAAUUAACUAAAAACUUCUGCGACAACAUUUUUUAUGGGUGCAUAUACCCGCCCUUUAAAAAAAAAAAUAAUUAAUGCUUAAGUUAGUAUUAAAUACGAAAAUAUCAAUAUUUGACUACUCAAAUUUAUAUCAUUAGGUCCUUAAAAUUUAAAAUUGAAGAUACUAAAGGAAAUAUAUAUAAAUUUCAUUCUCAUGGAAAGGAUUCUCUUAUAAUCUUAUAAUAUUUGAGUUUUGAAAUUUUUUUGAAACAAAUGUAAUUUUAUUUGUGUACAAUCAAUAUUUACUUAUUUAUUAUAUUUUAAUUUAUUAACUAUCAAUCAUGUAAGUAUAUUUAGUCAGAAAAAUUAUAUCGAGAGAGAAUCCUAAUUUCACGCAAACACAAAUACAAGACAAAUAUGUUAAUUUCUAUACUAUUCACUUUCCUGUAGAAUCAAUUAUCUAAAAUGCAAGUUUGUGGCUAUAGAAAACUCGCCAAAGAAAGAAGAUAAUAACAAUUGAGCAUUGAUAGCAAAACUAAUGCAUCAUUUUCUUCUUGACUUGAUGAGAUGGUGCCAUUACAAAACAAUAAUUACCUUAAUUGACGGGCACUGAGUGAUGUGAAUACUACCAGCCAGUUCAUCUCUUCCAGUCUUGCUUAAUCACAAUCACAAACACCACGAGAUUGACAUUUGCAUUAUAUAUAUCUUCAGCAAUCGAAACACCUUGCAUUACCAAAUUAACCGGUAACAAACAAAGCAACCUUUCAUGGAGAGAAACUUUAGUCUCAGUAUGAUCACUGUGUCAUUAACCCACUUCCUGCUUCUUUGCUUGGUUGUUGCAGCAGCAGCAGCAGCAGCAAGCAACAAUAUUACCACAGACCAACAAGCUCUUCUUGCCCUGAAAGAUCAUAUAACUUAUGAUCCAACCAAACUUUUUGCCCAUAAUUGGACCUCGAAUACCUCUGUUUGCACCUGGAUUGGCCUCAGUUGUGAUGUCAAUAGCCAUAGAGUCACAGCCUUAGAUAUUUCUCAAUUCAAUAUACAAGGCACCAUCCCUCCUCAACUUGGAAACCUCUCUUCACUCACAACACUUAAUCUUAGUCGUAAUAAGCUUUCUGGAAGCAUUCCCCCCUCCAUCUACACCAUGCAUACGCUAAAAUUUCUAGACUUCACUGAUAACCUGCUCUCUGGUUCAGUGUCUUCCUCCGUCUUCAACAUGUCUUCAAUAUUAGACAUUCGUUUGACCAAUAACAGACUUUCUGGUGAGCUUCCGAAAAAUAUUUGCAACUAUCUUCCUUACUUGAAAGCCCUUUUUCUGGACAAAAACAAGUUGCAUGGCAAAAUUCCUUCAGCUUUAUCAAAUUGCAAACAACUGCAACAAUUGCAUUUGCAGUUCAAUAAUUUAUCCGGUGCAAUACCGAAAGAAAUCGGCAACUUGACUAUGCUCAAAUGGAUAGAUCUCGGCUACAACAAACUCCACGGUAUGUUUCAUAAUGCUAUCUAAAUAUUUUAAUUUAUCACUUGUUUAUUUUAAUUUCUCACUUGUUAUUUUUCUUGAAUACUUUAGAUAAGAUCUAGUAAGUGAGAUUUUUUGCAUCUAUGUUAAUUUACCAGGUGAGAUACCCCCCGAAAUCGCUAAUCUUCGAAAUCUAGAGGCUUUGGUGCUUGGAAUGAACAACCUAGUGGGUGUGUUACCAGCUACAAUCUUCAACAUGUCAACACUGAAGGUAGUUAUCCUCAUUAAUAACUCUCUCUUCGGAAGUCUCCCAUCAAGAAUAGACCUUUCACUUCCAACUAUUGAGCACCUUAACUUGGCACUUAAUAGAUUUUCUGGAACCAUUCCUAGUUCCAUCACCAAUGCUUCUAAGCUCACCUUUCUAGAGUUGGGAGGAAACACAUUUUCGGGCUUUAUUCCGAACACAAUUGGUAAUUUAAGAAACCUUGAGUGGCUCAGCUUGGGUAAUAACUACUUGACAUCUUCAACCUCAAAAUUGAGCUUUCUUUCCUCUUUGGCAAAUUGCAAGAAAUUAAGAGACAUAGGCUUAACAGGCAAUCCACUCGACGGUAUCCUUCCAAGUUCAAUAGGUAAUCUUUCCAUGUCUUUGAAAACACUUUACAUCGGCAAUUGCAGUAUUAGUGGCAACAUUCCUCAAUCAAUUGGCAAUUUAAGCAACUUAUUGGCCUUAGUAUUAGAAGGCAAUAAAUUGACCGGACCAAUCCCAACUACAUUCGGCCAACUGCAGAAACUCCAAGGCUUAUUUCUUACAUUCAAUAAGUUGGUAGGUUCAUUCCCAGAUGAGCUUUUCCAUCUAGCUAGGCUGGAUAAAUUGGUAUUAUUGGGAAAUAAGCUUUCAGGAUCUAUGCCUUCAUGCUUAAGUAACCUCACUUCUCUGAGAUCUCUCUACUUAGGGUCCAAUAGGUUUACUUCUGUUAUUCCCUCAACUUUCUGGAGCCUAAAAGACAUCUUGUUCUUUGACUUUUCAUCAAAUUUCUUGGUUGGUACUCUUUCUUUCGACAUAGGUAAUUUGAAGGUGCUUCUAGGAAUAAGUUUAUCAGAAAAUAACUUAUCGGGUGAUAUGCCAGCCACAAUUGGAGGGAUAAAAAAACCUUCAAAUUAUGGACCUAGCAUAUAAUAGAUUGGAAGGGCAAAUUCCUGAAUCAUUUGGUGACUUGACAAGUUUGGAGGUUUUGAAUUUGUCAAAUAAUAAAAUCUCUGGGUCUAUUCCAAAAUCCAUGGAGAAACUCUUUUACCUCCGAGAGUUAAAUCUCUCUUUCAAUGAACUAGAAGGUGAGAUUCCUAGUGGAGGAAUUUUUGCCAACUUCACAGCUGAGUCAUUUAUGGGAAAUGAGUUAUUGUGUGGUUUACCAAAUCUUCAAGUCCAACCAUGCAAAGUUAGCAAGCCGAGGACAGAACAUAAAUCAAGGAAAAAGAUACUUCUCAUUGUGAUUGUUUUGCCAUUGAGUAUUGCUCUAACAAUAGCAAUCACUCUACCUCUCAAAUCUAAGCUGAUCGAAUGUGGAAAAAGAAGCACAGUGUUGUCAAAUGAUAGUGUCUUGUCAUCACAAGCAACACUAAGAAGAUUUUCAUACUUAGAACUUUUACAAGCAACAGAUAAUUUUGCUGAAAACAACGUAAUUGGCAUAGGAGGUUUUGGUUCUGUUUACGGUGGAAGACUUGAAGAUGGGAUGAAGAUUGCAAUAAAAGUGUUUCACCAGCAAUGUGCAAGCGCAUUGAAGAGUUUUGAGGCUGAAUGUGAAGUGUUAAAAAAUAUUCGCCAUCGAAACCUUAUUAAAGUUAUCAGCAGUUAUUCAAACAAUGACUUCAAAGCAUUAGUUCUAGAAUACAUGUCCAACGGGAGCUUAGGGGACUGGCUGCAUUCUAGCAAUUAUGUGCUGAAUAUAUUUCAGAGGUUGAACAUAAUGAUUGAUGUUGCAUCAGCUUUAGAACAUCUCCACUUCGAUCAUUCGACUCCUAUUAUUCAUUGUGACUUAAAGCCUAGUAAUGUAUUGUUGGACGGAAAUAUGGUUGCUCAUUUGAGUGAUUUUGGCAUAGCAAAGCUUUUAAGUGGAGAGGAUGAGUCUAUGAUGCGAACAAAAACCCUUGCCACUAUAGGUUAUAUGGCACCAGGUUUGCUUCAAACAACUUUUUUUUUUUAGUUCAUUUUAAAUUUUGCAACUUAUUGAUUUUUACGAUCCUCACAUCAAAAUGUUAUUGAUUAUUUAUCUAAUUUUGAAAUUAAUUUGAUUCAUAGAGUACGGCAUAGAAGGAGAAGUAUCUACAAAAAGUGAUGUUUACAGCUAUGGGAUUAUGUUGAUGGAAACUUUUACCAAGAAAAAACCCACAGAUGAAAUUUUUGUUGGAGAAUUGAGCUUGAAGCGUUGGGUUAAUGACUUGCUUCCUACUUCAUUAGUGGAAGUUGUGGACAAAACUCUGCUAAGUGGAGAGGAAAAACAUUCUGCAGCAAAGGAGCAAUGUCUGUUGUCUAUCUUUAGUUUGGCUCUGGAGUGUACAAUGGAAUCACCGGAAAAGAGGAUUAAUGCAAAAGAUAUUGUUACAAGAUUACUCAAGAUAAGAGACACAUUGAGUAAAAGGAUAGGAAAUUUAAGUUAAUUUCGUUUGCUUUCAUUGAUAGUUAAUUCGAAUUCAUGUAAUAAGUCUAAGAAUCUUAUAUCUUCAAAUUCGCAUUUUAAAAUGCACAAAUGUUUGUGUAUACAUAAUUAGUAAUCGAUUCUCAAGCUUUGGACAUUUAAAAGCACUGCUAAAAGACAAAAUUUUAAUUCACUAUUUUUUUGUCUUUUAAUUUUCUUUAAGUUUUAAUGAUUCCGCAUUUUAAAAUCCUGUGGAACGUGCAUGUAAAAUUCUUUUAUCUUUUAGAGGAAAAUGGGCAAGAGAAGAAGAUUUGGCAAAGGAAUUGCAACCGCAUUUGGAGCUAGUUUUAAUUUUGUCUUUUAAUUCUUUUACACUUGGCUUUUGUUAUUGAUGUUAACUUCGAUGUGUGUGCGUGUGCGACUGAAUUCAACUUACAUGCUAUUGAUGCAGCCACCAAAAAGGGGUGGUCCAUCAUCAAUCAACAAGGUUUAUUAUUAUUAAUUUCCAUAUUGAUUUUCUUAAUUAUAAAUAAUACUAAUGCUAUUUCAUAGUUAUAAAUAUAUUAGAAUUAAUCGAAAUCAUUUUUUAGUGUGGCAUGGCUAAAACUACCUUUUUUUUAUUAUAAGUAAUUACUACUUUCACAUUAAGAAAAAUACUCCUAUUUUUAAGGAAAAGUCAAGUACCUGUAGUUGUGAAGACUCGAGCUCACUCCCUUAUGAUAAAUCUUCAUAUUAAUUACGUAAAUAUCCUCUAAAAUUUUAAAUUAGCUAUUCAAAAUUUGAUGUUAUACGGGUAUUUCAUUUAUUUGAGUAGGGGUUAGGGGUCAAUUGGAUACAAAUUCAAAAUUAUCCUUACUUGAGAAGGUGAUAAAAAUUGGGGAUUUAGUUUGGAUGUCAUUAGCUACAAAUAUUAAACUCAUACAUUUAAUUCAAAAUUAGAGGGCUGAUAUAUGCGCAUCAUCGUCCACGUUAUAGUGACACUGCGUCACCAUUCCACAACCUCUCCAAUGAAAAAUUGACAUGCUUCUUGUGCGCAUCUAAUCAGAAUCUUGAAAAUUAAUCACAAAAUUGUACUUUUAUUAUAAAAAGAAUAAAGAAACUCCAAGAAAAAAAAAAGACUUACAUAAAUAGAUUGAAAAAUCUAGAUUUCAAGUUGUCUAUAUUAGCUUGAUAUUUUUAUUAAUAGUCAUCCUCCCAAAAAAAUUCCAUCAAAAUAUAUUUUAAUUUUAUGUUAAUUCAUAAACUUGAAAAAAUCAUUUUAGAAUUAAUUAAAACAUAAUUUAUUGUUGCUCAAAAAAGGUAGAACUUAGUUAUCAGAAAAAAGUGUCUAAAAUAUAUGUUAAAAAAAAAUCAUGGUUGGUUGGACUGAUUGAAUUUUUUUUUCUUUUUUAAGAAUUAAGACAAUUGGAUGGAUUGAGUAAUAAUAAUACAUAUUUAUUUGGCAAAUGGCAGGGAGGCUUUCGUCUGAUGCAGAUUGAUUAGAGAGAAAAUAUAACAAUUUUAAGCUCGUCAGAUUCGAAGCUGCUUACCUGUCGUGUGGGGAUCACUUCCGUGUCUUAUUUUUCUAGAAAAAUCUGGACCAUUGGAUUUACCAUUAGUCAAUAGAGAAAUGUUGAUCUUGAUUCUUGAUCAAGAUCGAAGUUUGAUUCUAACUAACACGAUAUCAGAUUGCGAAGCAAGCAAAUUGAAAGUCACUUGUUCUAUGGAAGAAACACAAGUUCUAAUAAAACAUUCUCAUAGUAAAGUGAAUUACCAUCCAACGAUCCAACUCAUGUUUUCAAAUUGUAAAUUGCAAAUCGUGUGUUUGCUCCAUUACAGAGUUUCUUCAAUCUGAAAUAGCGAAUCAUUUGUGUUCUAGAUUAAUCGUGGGUCUAUAUCCAAAUCUAAAAAUUGACUAACUUGAUUUCUAUUAAAUUCUUAAUCCUAACAAGAAAAAUUGAAGAUUAAAAACGACUAAUUUGGUACCAUACCACUAUUGUAACAUAGGUAGAUCCUCUAUUAAUUGGAGUAAAGAUUGAAUUAUCUCAUUUAUUAAGGUUUAUCAAAAUCUUGUGUCAAAAUCUAUUAAUGAUAUAGGUUCAAGGAUGAAAAAGUCACUGCAUUACUUUUGAGUUCCCAAAUAGAUGAAUGGAUGUUAUUUUUAGAUUCCGGAGAGUCGAAAAUAUUAAGAUAGGUGCUAAAUCGAAUUAAGUUGUAGAUACGAUAGAAAUGGAUUUGGAGAGAUUGGAAUCCUAGGUAAUCCGGUGCACGUUGUCGUGUUAAAUUCUCGUUGACUUCACGUUGACUGAAGCAUUAUUGGAAGAAACAAGUUUAUUGAUGUGAGGCCUUUGAGGUUGUAAGUGUUAAAUAUGAGAAGAAUACCCACACACCCAUUAUCCUAUUACUCUUAUAUCACAUGAAGAGAAUUCAACAUUUGAUUCACACGGAAAAAAUUUGUGAGGAUUGUGAGGGUUGAUGGAAUAUAAUUUAGAUACAAAGUGUUUUACCAGUGCGAUGCUUCGCAAGUGUUCUUGAAUCAAUAUAAACUCACGUUAUUUUCAUAGUGAUUGUUUCAUGUGCACGUGGAUAUAAUCACAUGUCGAGAUUUUUUUCCUUAAAUUAUGGUCUUAUUUAGUAUUAAGGUGUUAUAUCUUUUAAGGUACAAUUAUUGUUGGAAAAAAGUUGCAUCUAUCAAAUAAAAUUAGUACUAUGUGCUAAAUAUAAUUGUUAAAUAAUAAUUUUGACAAAAUUAGUGAAGUUAUAUAGAUUUUUUUUCAUCAUACAAGCAUAAAAUCAAAUCAACUUAACUUCUAAGUUAUAUAUCGGCUACUUAGGGAUGGCAAUGGAUUGGAUCUGACCCAAGAUCCACGUGAUCCAAAUCUAAUCGGAUCGGAUUUGGGUCAGUUUAAAAUGAAUUUGGAUCGGAUUUGGAUAUUGAUGUGCGGAUCUAAGACGGAUCUGGAGCAGGUCUGGAUCUAUCUUAGUAUCUAAAUCCAUAUCCAUAUCCACCCAUCUUUUAAUUUAAUUUUAUUUUAAAAGUUUCUUAACAAUUGUGGAAUUAUAAUGAUAAUGAAUUUUAUUCAUAGCAUAUUAGUGGUAUUUACCAUGCAUUUAAACUCUUUAAAAUUAAAGGUUAGUUUUGUAAAUUUAAAGACUAGCCAGGCCCAAAGCAUGUACAUGCAAUAUUCAAAUUGCAAGCCAAGUAAUACAACCUGGCAAUUUAUUUUAUUAUAUUGGCCAAAUAAUUUUUAAGGAAUAUAGGUAUUCAUAUAUUUUGUCAAAUAUGGUCAUAAUAAAAAUAAUAAAGGACUGAAUAUAAAUCAUAUUUUAUUUAUAUGUCAUUAUCUAAUAUUAUAAGAAUGAGGGUGGGUGUGUUGUAGAUAUUAGAAUGAUGAAUGAGACAAUAGAAUAUUAGAUUGAUCUUACUCCUGCAAUUACUUUUAAAGGAUAUUUUAUUAUCUUAUUUGUUGUUUUGGUGUAAAAGUAUAAGUUACAAUAUUUAUUAUAUUUUUGAGAAAAAUUAUAUAAUUUAUUUGUUAUCAAUACAUUUUAACCUUCAAUUUUCAUUCUAAAAAAUUAUUACUUUUUAAUUGAUGAGUUUUAGAAUUCAUGACAGAUCUAGAGCAGAUUUGGAUUUUAAUUUUUUUUUUCAGAUUUGGAGCAGAUAUAAAUAUUUAUUUCUUUUAUGGAUAUGGAUAUGGAGCGAAAAAUAUAGAUUCAUGAUGGAUCUGGAGCAGAUACGGAUCUUGAUUUUUAUUAUGGAUUUGGAUCUGGAGCAGAGUAGAUCCAACCCAUAUCUGCCCCAUUGCCAUCCCUACGGCUACUGUUAAUCAUAUGUUUUAGUUCUGUAACUUUUAAGUUAUAGUUACCCAAUCUCAAUUCUAAACCAGACCUAUAAAGAUCAAAGAUUUCCUCAUUAAAUUAUAUGUCUUGUGAUUGCUUAUUUAAUUUAUAUUUUUUUUUAUUUAUCUUUAUUAAUUAUAAUCAUCUUUUUAUAAAUUAAAAUUGAAGGAAGUUGAUUGAUGUUGUUGACACACGCACACACGCACACACUCACAAAGAUAUAUUGGAAGUGCUUACGUCGACUCGAAGUUGUUGGGAAUUAAUGCAUGUAUUGAUUUAUUGGGAGUGUUUAAAUGAUUUUUUGAUUUACUUGAUUUAUUGAUUGAAUAUUGUUUGAUUGCUUCAUAUCCAUUCUAGAAAGUUUAUUUCUUUGUGAAAUUUCAACGAAAUAUGUUUUUUUUUUUAAAUAAGGGUGUUCUAAAUAAUUUAAAAAUAUAUAUGGACUAAUUAGAAUUAAUUAUUAGGUAAUUAACUCAAUCUGUAUAGGGUGAAACAACAUUUAUCCUAAUUAUAUCAUGAUAAAUACUUUUCCUAUUAGAAUUAGGAAAUCAUAGGUUUAUUGAAUUGUUUUUUUUUUUCCUUUGCGGAAACGGAUUAGAGAAUUAGAAAACAAUCAUGUUGAUGUCAAAAUCUGAUCUAGUCGGUUAGCGACUUAAUAUCAUAUUACUGCACCAACAUUAAAUUUAUUGGGUGGAGAAUCGACUGGUCAAUUGUCAAGAUGUCCUGCAAUCACUAGCGAUUAACCUACGAAUACCUAAAAUCACAGAAGACGGUAAGAGGCACCGGAAGUUUUUUCGGCGUGAACCUUCCGACGCUCAAGUCAGUUUAUAGGUUUACCAUAAUAAAAAUAAAUAAUUUCUAUUUAAAAAAAAAUAGAGUUCAAAAGCUCAAAAAUAAAACCCAAUCCCAAUAUGAAAAUGAAUUUUUUUUUUUUUUUUUCUAGCUUGGCCGAAUCCUUCUGCCUCCUAAAGAAACAUAACAGAGAAGCAGGUAGCCAUGUUCCCUAGGUAACGCCCCACUCCCCUCUUUUAUUCCUCCCCCUCUCUUCCGUUUCCUUCUUUUGCUCACUAUCCUUCAUAAUUUUUUAUGCUUGUCUUCCCAAAAUAGCCUUUUAAUACACAAGUAAAUGUCUAGGCUUUGGUGAGGAUAGUUUGGUCAUUGCAUUUUACAAGUAAGAUGAGUGGUGGAGAAAAAUGAGGAGUGCACAUAUAACGCUUCAGCAAAUCCCACCAGCAAUUCCAUUUUCUUAAUUAAUUAAUCUCUUCAGCAAAUCCCACCAACUCUUCAGCAAAUCCUAAUGAUAUUAUUAUCAGGUUUAAAACAGUACACAAAUAGUGAAAAGCUAACUAGUCUGUAGAGUAAUUUGCUAAUUGCUAUCUCCUCUCUCCGCGCGCUGAAUAAUUUGUUGCAUGCAAACUUUUUAUUUUAUGCAAAUCGUACGUACUGUAACAUUGGAAUUGAUGUAAAAGCAAAAAUACAAGAAUAUUUAUGUCAAUAAAAAUAGUUUUUUUGGCCUUUUUAAAUAAACACAACGCGAUAUUGCUCUGCUCUACAUUUUUGCUAUCUCUUUAUUCUUCUUUUUUUUUUUGGGCUUCUUAAAGCCUCAAACUUUGAUAACCAAAACUUCAUCGACCUAUGAAAAAAUCUGCAGAUUAGUUUUUAUUAUCGGAAUAAUCAUUUGAGAAUACUAAAACAAAAUAUAAAUAAGAAAAUAGGAGGUUAAAUUAGAGGGGGGAAAAAAGGUAUGUUGGAUAGAUUACUAUAGUUUAAGAAAAAAAAAUCCAAUUGGGAAUUUUUUUCUUUAAUUUUUGUUUUACUUGAUUGAGAUUUCUCCUUGGUCCUUACAGUUUUAAGUUUGGAUGCCGUAGGGUUAGUAAUUUAGUACUUCCUUUGCAAGCUGAGUGCAAGAAUGAAAAUCUUUAAAGAAAUAAAAAAAAAAAAAAAAAGCAUACCAAUAGGUAAUUAUAAAUAACCAUACAUAAACAUAAACAAAAUGAGGUAAUUAUUAAUAUUAUUUUUUGUUUUAUUUCUUACUUGUCUAUUUUAUUUGCUGCUUGAUAACCCGUAAAUACUAAUCUAGUACUGCUAAUUUCAGACACAAAAUUUUUAACUCUAGGCUGCAGUUUUACUCAAAAUGAUGACCACUGGCUUCGCACCAUUUAACCGGCAUACAUUUCUACAAAUUGAACAAGGCUAUUGAUUUUCAUUAUUAUUUUUUAUUUUUUUAUAAAUUACUAUUUUAAUUUUCACUUUUCAUUGGGUUGUUUAACGGAUUAGUGAAGUUGGUGGUCGUGAUGCACUCACAAGGUACAAUUUUAUUUUAUAAUUUCAAAUUUGUAUUUUAAAAUGCAGGUACAUUAUGUAUACAUAAUUAUUGAUUUUCGUAUGUGGGUGUUUUGAAAUAUUGCUAAAAGACCAAACUUUAAUAAACUAUUUUUCAUCUUUUUUUUUUCCUAAAGUUUAAGUGAUAUCCGCAUUUUAAAUUCAUGUGGAACAAAAGCUAAUGUAUGCACAAAAUCCUUUUAUUUUUUCCGAGAAAAAUGGUUAAGAGAAGAAGAUUUUUCUCUUGAAAAAGAAAAACUAAUACGAUGCAAGCAUAGGAAAGAGGUCAGUGUUUUGGAUUAGAAUUUAGUAUUGAGCUGAAUUUUAUACUAAACUCUUUUAUAGUACUGCGAUUAAUAAACUCAUGAUUUGCUUUUGCUUUUACCUCAAGUGAAAGAAAGAGGAAACCUUUUGUUUUUUGUUUGAUUCUUGACUAUAGGUGUUACCUAUAUAGAGAGUUGAGGUAGCUGCCUUAAGUGAUGGUGAUAAAAAGAUUAAGCAGCGCACACAAUCUUACUGUCGUCCAGACCAUCCAGCUGUGAUGACUCUUGUUUUUUGGUUACAUUAGCUUUAGUGGAACGGAGGGCCAAUUUAACAAAGACUAGAUUUGGUGGCUUACUAUAAUGCUUAUUCUCAGGGAAUCUAAUGUUAUAAGAUGAUUUAAUGAUCUUCUAUGAUUGUGAGUAGUAUAGUAUAAUUGAAAAGAGCUUGGGCUCCUAUGAUGAAUAUUUAAUAGUAACACAGUACUGUUAUUGAAAAAAACACAGUUACAAUAAACUCUUCAUUUAUUCAUUGUGGAGAUUGAAUGGCAAACAGAGAAUAAAAUGAAGCAGAGGAAUCUCAUUGCCAGUAAAAUUGACCCUCUUUAAUGUUAUAUGGCACAGGUGUGUGUACAGCAAGAUCAAGUUACUUGCAGUUUUUAUUGUAAAAUAUAUAGGUUAUGACCAUGAUCAUUGUAGUUAGGUUUUGAUGAUUUUAGAUGCUUUUUUUAUUUUUUUUAAAAUUGUGACACCUUUGAUUUAUGGUAGUUUUGCAGAAGAAAAAAAUAUAUAUAAAAAUUAGGAGGGAUGAGUUAACUAACGAUUGCAAUCAUUACAGUAAUGUUGAUGAGUGAUACAUCAUUUGAAAUUUACUUGUCAGUUGCUGAAAUGAUGAAAAAAAACAGUAAACAAUAGCAGUAAUAUUUUUUGGCAAUAUAAAAAAUUAUUGCGGUUAUUUUUUGGCAAUAUAAAAAAAUUUUAGCAAAUAAAAAUUAAUUUUUUUCCGAUUAACUAAAAAAUUAAUUAAAAACUUCUGCGAUGGCAUUUUUUAUGGGUGCAUAUACCCUCCCUUUAAAAGAAAAAAUAAUAAUUAAUACUUAAUAUAGUAUUAAAUACGAAAAUAUCAAUAUUUGACUACACAAAUUUAAUAGUCUUGUGUAAUUAGUGAGUGAGAGAUUGGGUGUAUUGGAGUUUUGGGUAGUGAGCCAAAAUAUUACAAUACUUGUAAUCUUUAUUUCACUAGUGAAAUAUUUUCCUUCUGUUUUUGCCCGUGGACGUAGGCUAAAAGCCGAACCACGUAAUUUCUGGUGUCCUCUAUUGUACUUGUUCUUUAUUUGCUUCCAAUUUUAUUUUAACUGCGCGUCUGCUUCACCCAUCAAUUUCCUAACAAAUCUUGAUCCCAUGCACACGCAAAUAUGUUAAUUUCUAUACGCUUCACUUACCUGUAGAAUCAAUUAUCUAAAAUGCAAGUUUGUGGCCACAAAAAAAGCCAAAGAAAGAAGAUAAUAACAAUUGACUUGUAUAUUAUACUCAUACAAUCCACUCGACAUAAUGAUAUCAUUUUAAUAAGGCAAUGGCUGAUGAUCUCCAUUGAAAAACUAAUUCAAUUUUUUUGCUUCAUUUAACUUUUUGGUUGUUGAAAAUAACCUUAAUUAUCAAAUAAUUGGAGAAAGAGUAAAGAACAUUUAACAAAUUUAUGUGCAAAAAAAAAAAAAAAGAAGUUGAAGAGAAAGGGUGCUUGCAGAAGUGGGUGUCAAAGAAACAUCGGUCCAUAAGAAUUAUUGCGGUUAUUUUUUGGCAAUAUAAAAUAUUUAUAGCAAGUAAAAAUUAAAUUUUUUCCGAUUUACUAAAAAAUUAACUAAAAACUUCUGCCACAACAUUUUUUAUGGGUACAUAUACCCUCCCUUUAAAAAAAAAAUAAUAAUUAAUGCUUAAUAUAGUAUUAAAUACCAAAAUAUCAAUAUUUGGCUACUCAAAUUUAUAUCAUUAGGUCCUUAAAAUUAAAAAUUGAUGAUACAAAAGGAAAUAUAUAUAAAUUUCAUUCUCAUGGAAAGGAUUCUCUUAUAAUCUUAUAAUAUUUGAGUUUUGAAAUUUUUUGAAGCAAAUGUAAUUUUAUUUGUGUACAAUCAAUAUUUACUUAUUUAUUAUAUUUUAAUUUGUUAACUAUCAAUCAUUUAAGUAUAUUUAGUCAGAAAAAUUAUAUCAAGAGAGAAUCCUAAUUUCACGCAAACACAAAUACAAGAUAAAUAUGUCAAUUUCUAUACUAUCCACUUUCCUGUAGAAUCAAUUAUCUAAAAUGCAAGUUUGUGGCUACCGAAAACUCGCCAAAGAAAGAAGAUAAUAACAAUUGAGCAUUGAUAGCAAAACUAAUGCAUCAUUUUCUUCUUGACUUGAUGAGAUGGUGCCAUUACAAAAAAAAAAGUACCUUAAUUGACGGGCACUGAGUGAUGUGAAUACUACCAGCCAGUUCAUCUCUUCCAGUCUUGCUUAAUCACAAUCACAAACACCACGAGAUUGACAUUUGCAUUAUAUAUAUCUUCAGCAAUCGAAACACCUUGCAUUACCAAAUUAACCGGUAACAAACAAAGCAAUCUUUCAUGGAGAGAAACUUUAGUCUCAGUAUGAUCACUUUGUCAUUAACCCACUACCUGCUUCUUUGCUUGGUUGUUGCAGCAGCAGCAGCCGCAAGCAACAAUAUUACCACAGACCAACAAGCUCUUCUUGCCCUGAAAGAUCAUAUAACUUAUGAUCCAACCAACCUUUUUGCCCAUAAUUGGACCUCGAAUACCUCUGUUUGUACCUGGAUUGGCAUCACUUGUGAUGUCAAUAGCCAUAGAGUCACAGCCUUAGAUAUUUCUCAAUUCAAUCUACAAGGCACCAUCCCUCCUCAACUUGGAAACCUUUCUUCACUUACAACGCUUAAUCUUAGUCAUAACAAGCUUUCUGGAGACGUUCCAUCCUCCAUCUACACCAUGCAUUCGCUAAAAUUUCUUGACUUCACUGAUAACCAGCUCUCUGGUUCAGUGUCUUCCUUCGUCUUCAACAUGUCUUCAAUAUUAGAAAUUCUUUUGACCAAUAACAGAUUUUCUGGUGAGCUUCCGAAAAAUAUUUGCAACUAUCUUCCUUAUUUGAAAGCCCUUUUCUUAAACAAAAACAUGUUUCAUGGCAAAAUUCCUUCUGCUUUAUCAAAGUGCAAACAACUGCAAAAAUUAAAUUUGCAGUUCAAUAAUUUAUCCGGUGCAAUACCGAAAGAAAUCGGCAACUUGACUAUGCUCAAAGGCAUAUAUCUCGAAUACAACAAACUCCACGGUAUGUUCAUAAUACUAUGUAAAUGUUUUAAUUUCUCAAUUGUUAUUUUCUUGAAUACUUUAGACAAGAUCUUGUAAGGGAGAUAUUUUUGGAUCUGUGUUAAUUUGCCAGGUGAGAUACCCCACGAAAUCGCUAAUCUUCGAAAUCUAGAGGAUUUAUUGCUUGGAAUGAACAACCUAGUUGGUGUGUUACCAGCUCCAAUCUUCAACAUGUCAACACUGAAAUUAUUUGACCUCAUAAAUAACUCUCUCUCCGGAAGUCUUCCAUCAAGAAUAGACCUUUCACUUCCAACUGUUGAGUUUUUUGGCUUGGCACUUAAUAGAUUUUCUGGAACCAUUCCUAGUUCCAUCACCAAUGCUUCUAAGCUCACCGUUCUAGCGUUGGGAGAGAACACAUUUUCGGGCUUCAUUCCAAACACAAUUGGUAAUUUAAGAAACCUUGAGUGGCUCAGCUUGGAGAAUAAUUACUUGAAAUCUUCAACCUCAAAAUUGAGCUUUCUUUCCUCUUUGGCAAAUUGCAAGAAAUUAAGAUUCUUAAACUUAGCAGGCAAUCCACUUGACGGCUUCCUUCCAAGUUCAAUAGGUAAUCUUUCUGUGUCUUUGGAAACACUUUUCAUCGGCAAUUGCAGUAUUAGUGGCAACAUUCCUCAAGCAAUUAGCAAUUUAAGCAACUUGUUGACCUUAGUAUUAGAAGGCAAUAAAUUGACUGGACCAAUUCCAAUUACAUUUGGCCGACUACAGAAACUCCAAGGCUUAGAUCUUGCAUUCAAUAAGUUGGUAGGUUCAUUCCCAGAUGAGCUUUGCCAUCUAGCAAGGCUGGAUCAAUUGGUCUUAUUUGGCAAUAAGCUUUCAGGAUCUAUACCUUCAUGCCUAAGUAAUCUCACUUCUCUAAGAUCUCUCUACUUAGGGUCCAAUAGGUUAACUUCUGUUAUUCCCUCAACUUUCUGGAGCCUAAAAUACAUCUUGUUCUUUGACUUUUCAUCAAAUUUCUUGGUUGGUACUCUUUCUUUCGACAUAGGUAAUUUGAAGGUGCUUCUAGGAAUAAAUUUAUCAGAAAAUAACUUAUCGGGUGAUAUGCCAGCCACAAUUGGAGGACUGAAAGAUCUUCAAUUUAUGGACCUAGCAUUUAAUAGAUUGGAAGGCCCAAUUCCUGAAUCAUUUGGUGACUUGACAAGUUUGGAGGUUUUGAAUUUGUCAAAAAAUAAAAUCUCUGGGUCUAUUCCAACAUCCAUGGAGAAACUCAUUUACCUUCGAGAGUUAAAUCUCUCUUUCAAUAAACUUGAAGGUGAGAUUCCUAGUGGAGGAAUUUUUACCAACUUCACAGCUGAGUCAUUUAUGGGAAAUGAGUUAUUGUGUGGUUUACCAAAUCUUCAAGUCCAACCAUGCAAACUUAGCAAGCCUAGGACAGAACAUAAAUCAAGGAAAAAGAUACUUCUCAUUGUGAUUGUUUUGCCAUUGAGUAUUGCUCUAACGAUAGCAAUCACUCUAGCUCUCAAAUCUAAGCUGAUCGAAUGUAGAAAAAGAGGCACAGAGUUAUCAAAUGAUAGUAUCUUGUCAUCAGAAGCAACACUAAGAAGAUUUUUAUACUUAGAACUUUUACAAGCAACAGAUAAUUUUGCUGAAAACAACAUAAUUGGCAGAGGAGGUUUUGGUUCCGUUUAUGGAGCAAGACUUGAAGAUGGGAUGAAGAUUGCAAUAAAAGUGUUUCACCAGCAAUGUGCAAGCGCAUUGAAGAGUUUUGAGGCUGAAUGUGAAGUGUUAAAAAAUAUUCACCAUCGAAACCUUAUCAAAGUUAUCAGCAGUUGCUCGAACGAUGACUUCAAAGCAUUAGUCCUAGAAUACAUGUCCAACGGGAGCUUGGAGGAUUGGCUGCAUUCUAGCAAUUAUGUGCUGAAUAUAUUUCAGAGGUUGAACAUAAUGAUUGACGUUGCAUCAGCUUUAGAAUAUCUCCACUUCGAUCAUUCAACUGCUAUUAUUCAUUGUGACUUAAAGCCUAGUAAUGUAUUGUUGGACGAAAAUAUGGUUGCUCAUUUGAGUGAUUUUGGCAUAGCAAAGCUUUUAAGUGGAGAGGAUGAGUCUACGAUACGAACAAAAACCCUUGCCACUCUAGGUUAUAUGGCACCAGGUUUGCUUCAAACAACUUUCGUUUUUAGUUCAUUUUAAAUUUUCCAACUUAUUGAUUUUUACAAUCCUCACAUCAAAAUGUUAUUGAUUAUUUAUCUAAUUGUGAAAUUAAUUUGAUUCAUAGAGUAUGGCAUAGGAGGAGAAGUAUCUACAAAAAGUGAUGUUUAUAGCUAUGGGAUUAUGUUGAUGGAAACUUUUACCAAGAAAAAACCCACAGAUGAAAUUUUUGUUGGAGAAUUGAGCUUAAAGCGUUGGGUUAAUGACUUGCUUCCUAAUUCAUUAGUGGAAGUUGUGGACAAAACUCUGCUAAGUGGAGAGGAAAAACAUUCUGCAGCAAAGGAGCAAUGUCUGUUGUCUAUCUUUAGUUUGGCUCUGGAGUGUACAAUGGAAUCACCGGAAAAGAGGAUUAAUGCAAAAGAUAUUGUUACCGGAUUACUCAAGAUAAGAGACACAUUGAGUAAAAGGAUAGGAAAUUUAAGUUAAUUUCGUUUGCUUUCAUUGAUAGUUAAUUCGAAUUCAUGUAAUAAGUGUAAGAACCUUAUAUCUUUUACUUUGAUUUUUUUUUUCUUGAGAAAACUGUUGUAGUCAUCUUGUUUCCAUGGGCGGAGUUGAUUUAGUUCUUCCAAGAAAUGCUACUGAUGACAUUUGUUUUAUACUUUCUCUUUUUUUUUGCAUGUGUUUAGGUAGAAUAGUGGUUUGGUUGCACUCUAAGAAGUCUAACUACACUAAAAGAAUAUGAUUUAAUUUAUUAAACAAAACUUCAAGUUCAAGAAAAGUAUCUCAUUGCCCCCAAUGCUUUGGACACCUAUUGGUAGGUUUGUACGUGUCCUCAACUUUUUUUUGGAGCACAAAAUUCGAGUCCCAUAAAGGCUCAAACAUUCCUUUCCUUCAUCCCGAGGGCGCCUUCUGUCCUCUGUUUUCUGUUUCCACACACAAAUAGCAAAAAGAAAUUAGAAUGACAACUGGGACAUAUAUAAGAGUGAAAUAAUUAAAAAAAUUAUGCUUUUUUGUCUGUCGUGUUAAAAUCGUAAGUACCGAAGUACUGUGAAAGAGAUUAAUUUACAGAAACUGAAGCCAAGGGUUCAAAAAAAACUAUUGAUGUAGGUAGAAUGCAAUGUCAUAUUCAUACAGAGAUGAAGUAUAUUAUUUACGGCUGGUAAGGACUAAGAAUUGAUGUAGCUAGAAUGCAAAGAUGAUGAGGUAUGUUGUACACUAUUGUUUUUAUUCUACAAUCAAUCUUGACCCCUGAUGCUUGGCUCUCAAUCUUGUCCAUUGAUCUUCUCUGAUUUUGGAGACUUGAAGACCUUUCAGUAUCAUGCCUUGUUGUUGGUGUCUUCCGUGCUGUAGAAUUCAUAUACAAGUUUUCCCGCCGACUUGCCAAGUAUUUGUUCAUUGAUGCAUUUUAUCAAACAGUUGGCCUGCUCAGAGCAAACAGCUCCUGUUUUAACUCCCCCUCCGUAGCUCAACUAUCUGGGAAGACAAUUAAUUGAGCUUGUUUCACAAUUAUAUGAAUCUGAAAGUUCAAUUAUAUCCUCUAAUGGAGAGAACUCAUUGCCUCAGUAUGAUCACUGUGUCAUCAACCCACUCCCCGCUUCUUUGCUUGGUUGUUGCAGCAAGCAACAAUUUUACCACAGAUCAACAAUAGUUUGUCCAUUUGUUCCAGUGAGGUCGUCAUUAAAAAUUAAUUUUCAUAUUGAUUUUCUUAAUUAUAAAUAAUACUAAUGAUAUUUCAUAGUUAUAAAUAUAUUAGAAUUAAUCGAAAUCAUUUUUUAGUGCGGCAUGGCUAAAACUACCUUUUUUUUUUUUAAGUAAUUACUACUUCAAGGAAAAUACUCCUAUUUUCAAGGAAAAGUCAAGUACCCGUAGUUGUGAAGACUCGAGCUCACCCUCUUAUGAUAAAUCUUCUUAUCAAUUACAUAAAUAUCCUCUAAAUUUUUAGUUAACUAUUCAAAAUUCGAUGUUAUACGGGUAUUUCAUUUAUUUGAGUAGGGGUUCGGGGUCAAUUGGAUACAAAUUCAAAAUUAUCCUUACUUGAGAAGGUGAUAAAAAUUGGGGAUUUAGUUUGGAUGCAUUAGCUACAAAUAUUAAACUCAUACAUCUAAUUCAAAAUUAGAGGGCUGAUAUAUGUGCAUCCUCGUGCACAUUAUAGUGACACGUGUCACCAUCCUACAACCUAUCCAAUGAAAAAUUGACAUGCAUCUUGUGCGCUUCUGAUCAAAAUCCUGAAAAUUAAUCACAAAGUUAUACUUUUAUUAUAAAAAGAAUAAAGAAACUCCAAAAAAAAAAAAAGACUUACAUAUAUAAAUAGUUUGAAUAAUCUAGAUUCCAAGUUGUCUAUAUUAGCUUGAUCUUUUUAUAAAUAGUCAUCUUCGAAAAAAAAUUCCACCAACAUAUAUUUUAAUUUUAUGUUAAUUAAUAAAUAGAAAAAAAUCAUUUUAGAAUUAAUUAAAACAUUAUUUAUUGUUGCCAAAAAAAGGAAGAAUUUAGUGAUAAGAAAAAAGUGUCUCAAAUAUACGUUAAAAAAAUUAAUCAUGGUGGGUUCGAUUGAUUGAAUUUUUUUUUUUAAUCUUUUUCUUUUUUAAGAAUUAAGACAAUUGGAUUGAUUGAGUAAUAAUAAAAUAUAUUUAUUUGGCAAAUGGCAGGUAGGCUUUCUUCUGAUGCAGAUUGAUUAUAGAGAAUAUACAACAAUUUUAAGCUCGUCAGAUUCGGAACCUGCUUAUCUGUCGUGUGGGGAUCACUUCCGUGUCUUAUUUUUCUAGAAAAAUCUGGACCAUUAGGCAGUAGAGAAAUGUUGAUCUUGAUUCCUGAUCAGGAUCGAAGUUUGAUUCUAUCUAACAUGAUAUCAGAUUGCGAAGCAGGCUAGUAUGUAAAUUUCUUUUAUCUUUUAGAGGAAAAUGGGCAAGAGAAGAAGAUUUGGCAAAGGAAUUGCAACCGCAUUUCUAGUAUGUUCUGAUCAGAGAAGCGAAAUCCAUCACGGUCUUUUAUCUUUACCCAUGUGGAGAAAUCAAGGGAUUUCGAAUCAGAGAAGCGAUGGGAUUUAGUUCUGAUCUGGGAUUUUGGAGACUUAGGGAGUGUGCGGUCUUGGACCAACAUUGAUGACGAUGACGCUUCAAAUUCAAUGACUUGAAAGCAGAAAACAAAGACAGACAAAAACAGACAUGCACUACAGCAAGAAAGAUUGACUGAAUCUUGGGUUACUGUGUCUGUGGUCUCAAAUGAAACACAAGUGGGAAGCCUUGCUGCAGUUUCAGCUUUGGUUUGUGUUUGAAGUUUUGAAUGUAAAAAGAGAACCGAGCAUGUGGUUGCCGACAAGAAUGGCCUGAGGUUUCUUAAGCUUCAUUGUAAUGUUACAACUGCUACUAAUUUGGUGGGGUGGGAGGUCGCUGGGUCGCUGUCAGUCCAUUUGCUUCUUUUCUUUCUUUUUGUUAUUUGUUGAGUUUUUUCCAUUUCUACUUUUCUUAAUAUAUAAAUUAUCAUUUUUUUAACAUGCAAAAUAUAUAGAACAUUUUAUGAGUUUAUAAAUAAAAAUUAUAUUAUGGGAUAAUAGUGAAUGAGUUCCUGGUGCUUUGGAGUUCUUUAAAUUAAGGGCCCAGUUUGUCCAUUUGUUUUAGUUAGGUCCUUCUUAAAAAUUGAUUUUCUUAAUUAUAACUAAUACUAAUGAUAUUUCAUAGUUAUAAAUAUAUUAGAAUUAAUCCAAAAUAUUUUUUAGCGUGGCAUGGCUAAAACUACCUUUUUCUAUAAGUAAUCACUACUUUUGCAUUAAGGAAAAUAUUCCUAUUUAAAAAAAAAUUGAAUAUCUAUAGUUGUGAGGACUCGAACUCACUCGCUUAUGAUAAAUCUUUGUUGAUGCGAGAUUCUGGUUACCCACUCGACCACGUCCAGGAUCUCUGCUCAAUCAACUAACUCGACCACGAUCAGGAUCUCUCCUCGUAUGCUUUCUUCUUCAAAAAUUCCUGCGUACACAGAAACAAGUCAGAGCACGCCAGUUGUUUUCCCGGCGUAAACCCUCCGACGCUCAAGUCAGAUAUGAAGGUUUUGUGUUCCUGGGAACGUUAGCCACUAGUCUUAAGCUUUGCUUUUGGUAUCGAUUGCUGAAUGCUCUCUUUAUCUCAAUUUCCGUAUUAAAAGUUAACCCUUUUACCUUCGUUGGCUGCCUUUUUAUAGGCUCCACCUGAGUCCAGAUCCUCCCCUCCAUUCACGCCCGUUACCUUCCCACCUCUCGAAAGUGGAUGCUUUGUUUCCGUAAUCGUGGGUGAUUGCAUGGCCUUCGUGCCUCGAUUCUCAGGCUGGAGAGUACGUCUCGCCAACUGUCGUUGACUGGGUCUCCUCGCCUCAAACCUUAGCAGGAAUGGCUUUAUGCUUCUAACAAGAGACCGGCUUCGCGGAUGGCGUAUUCAUGGACGAGCAGAUAUUCCUGCUUAUGUUCCAAUGCUACCAGACCUCUGCUCAUCACGGCUGGUCUCGUCGAAGUACAUCCCCCAAACACCGGUCCCCCAGUUUCUGGUGUUGGGUAACAUAGUGAGCCAACAGUAGAAACUCGACAGUUCUUGCUCGCGCGAGAUAGGAAAAGACUGCCAAGAGUCGUGUCGCAUUUAAUGGCGGAUGAGGUGAUGUGGCAGAAAUCUACCCCUCCAUUUGAAUUUCAAACCGACGGUUACGAAACCCUAGGGAUUUGUGCCGUUAAAUGCCGGCAGCCCAAGAGUUUGUUCUUCAUUAGGAAAACCCAAAACCCCCAAAAGAGGAACUCGUCUUUUACUCCGUUUCUGUCUCUCCUGCGAAUGAGUCCUUCCUCUCCCUCGGCGUAAAAGCUUCCUUCCUUGUCUCUCUCCGACUAAGUCACAACUUCAGGUACUAUUUCUUUUUUCCUCGGUCGUGGAUAGUUGUAAACAAUUUCUUUUACAUUUUGCUUGGGUAGUGUUUGGUGGUGCAGUUCUGGUUAUAGUUUAGGGAAUGUCGAAAGGUAAGGAGAAAGUCAUUGAGAUUGAUGACGACGAGUUAGACUUCUUGCCUAGUCUGCUCGCCGAUUCUGCUUUCGACACCGGGAUCCCCUUAGAACCCGUUAGACCUAAUGUUGCGACUAGUGCUAGGAGGAUGUCCCCCCAAGUAACCUCCUCAACUGGAAAUAGCGACGACGAGGGUUCUUCUGGUUCGGAAGACACUUUGAGUGAAGAUCAGGGAAAUGAUUCUGGUGAGAUGUCCUCACCAGGAACAUCGUGACCAGAUAGGAGGGGCAUAGUAGGAGGUAGAGCUCUAUCACAGAAUUACACUAUUGAUUUUAUGACGUGCACGACCACAGUAGAUGAGCUAGUUAGUCUCCGGGCUAGAUACGGCAUCCCUGAUGAAAUUUCCCUUAGGAUCCCAGGAAAAAAAGAUACCCCCAGCCGGCCUCCUAGGGGAUAUAUUACUCUGUUUCUAGAGAGUUUUAAACUUGGGCUAAGGUACCCCAUACAACCCUACUUUGCCCGAAUACUCAAUGGGUUGAAUUUAGCUCCUGGUCAACUGAACCCCAAUGGGUGGUGAGUACUUUCUGGUCUGUUCAUAUUGUGAGACAGAUGUUGCCAAAGCGAGCCAACAAUUGACGAGGUGAAGCACCUGUACCAGCUAAAGAGCAGCCCCAAAGAUGUCGGCUGGUAUUACUUCCAGUCUAGUACCAAGACCAGGAAACCCAUAACCGAUCUUCCAACUGGUGGUGGUAGGACUUGGAAGAAAAAAUUCUUUUUUGCUGGGGGUCCCUGGGGUCAAGUUGCACAGAUUGACGAGAAGGAUUACCGUGUCCCACCUCAUUUCGUGGUCCCAGGUUGCCUACUCGCUUAAGAUGUUUUGUCUCCAUAGUCGUUCUCAUUUUGCUGAUUUGUUUCUAAUCCAAAAUCUGUUCGCAUUGCAGGUUCCUGGGGUGUGCACUACCAGCUUAAACCCGAGCCGCUCAAGCGAGUCGAAGCUGUACUGGCCAAUUUCUACACGAACCGAGAGCUGCUAACUACUUUCAAUUUGGUCGAAUCUCGUUUGGUGUCUACCGGCCAUAAAAUGGAGGAUGCUGUGAUCGGGGCUCUGACUCGGAAACGUCCCCAACCUCAUGCUACCAAGCAGGACCAGAAUAAAUAUGCUCCCACUGCGAAGCGGGUGAACAUUGUGCAGCAGGUUCCUCCCUUGAAGACCCUACCACCUCCUUCUGCCAAAGUCGGAGAAACUAGCGGAGCAGCCACCGAUCCCGCUUCCUCUUAUCCUCCAGUCGGGCCGAGAUCUCGUUUAUCUGACAAUCGAGCAAAACAUUUGGUCCCCUAUAUCAACGAGUUCUCUAAACUCGUGAGCAAGAGGGACCUAGAGGACUUUGACGACAGCACCUUGGGUGAGCUGGUGGGGGCCAUGCAAUAUAGCGCUUUCCAUCUCGACUGUAUGGCCACUUACUACAAGGCCAAGGUUGGUCGUUAUGACCGAAAGAUGAAGGAGGACAUUCAAUCGGCCAUGAUCAAAGCUGAUGCUGCCGAGAAGAAAGCAGGGGACUUGAAUCUCGAGAAUUUGAAGUUGAUAGAGCGAGAAUCUCUUGCUCAAGCAAAAGCCAUUACUCUCGAGGAUGAGCUAGCUAAGGUCAAGGAGGAUCUGCAAAGACAGCAGGCUAUGUACGAGGCCCAGCUCGAAUCUCUUCGGGAUUCCCACAAGGUUUAGGUCGAGAACCUGGAGAAGGAAGCUGAUAAUCAAUAUGACCAGGGGCUUCAGCACUCCUAUCAUUGCAUCAUGGCCGUCCUUGGGAAGCAGCAUCCGGAUAUGAAAAUGGACGAGCUUGCUACUGGUGUUGCUCAGCAUAUGGAUGAGGAGGCAGCAAAAGAGGACGCCGAAGAGGUGGAGCCAACUGAGGUUGAGGAGGGAAACACUCCUCCUCGUGCAAUCCUUGCUGAUGUCGCUGAGGCGAGUACCCCCCGAAUGCAACUGGUGAUACCCCCUGCCCCUGAGGUGGACCAGCCAACCAAGGCUGCUCGGCUUACUGACCCGCCGUCCUCUUGAUUGUAUUUUGUGUUGUAGUUGCUUUCUUGAAACGCUAUAUGUUAUGACUAGCAGUUUUUUCUGGUUGUUGAUUAAUAAAUAAGAAUGUUCUCAUUUGCUUUCUCGUCGUAAAUCAUUUUAAGUUUGAGGGUCUACUUGCCUUCUCUUGUACUAGCAGUUCUUGACACGCUUGGCUUCUGGUCUCGCCAUAGAACAUGCUUGUGACUUGGUGAGCCUUUGCAUGCCUUAGAAAUUUUUUCAAUGUUGGGAUUCUGCUCGCCUUCGCUUGGUCGAGCAGAUCUUGGCACGCUUGGCUUUUGGUCUCGCCAUAAAAACAGGCUUUGAAAAUUGGUGAGCCUUUGCAUGCCUUAGAAAUUUUUUCAAUGCUUGGGAUUUUGCUCGCCGUCGCUUGGUCGAGCAGAUCCUGGCACGCUUAGCUUUUGGUCUCGCCAUAAAAUAGGCUUUGAGACUUGGUGAGCCUUUGUAUGCCUUCGAAAUUUUUUCAAUGAUAGGGAUUCUGCUCGUCGUCGCUUGGUCGAGCAGAUCCUGGCACACUUGGCUUCUAGUCUCGCCAUAAAACAGGCUUUGAGACUUGGUGAGCCUUUGCAUGCCUUAGAAAUUUUUUCAAUGCUUGGGAUUCUGCUCGCCGUUGCUUGGUUGAGCAGAUCCUGGCACGCUUGGUUUCUGGUCUCGCCAUAAAACAGGUUUUGAGACUUGGUGAGCCUUUGCAUGCCUUAGAAAUUUUUUGCACAGUUACAAGUGAAUGAAAUUCCUCGACGUUUCAUUAAUUACAGAAUUCAACUUACAUAGGAAUGCAUAGCAACGAGAACAAAUUAAAGUAAUUUUUGAACAUGAGCAAGUCUUACUGGAAAUAUUUCCUGAGGUGCGCUGCGUUCCAUAGGCGUUUCACCUCGUGGCCAUCCGUGCGAACAAGCUUGUAAGCUCCGAGUCCCACUAUCUGCUUGACCCUGUAUAGCCCCUGCCAAUUCGGUCCAAGCACUCCUUGAGUCGAGUCUUUGGUGUUCUGAUUCACUCUCCUUAGCACCCAAUCUCCGACCCUAAACUGCCGUACAUUCACCUUCUGGUUAUAAUACCGAGCAACCCUCUGCUGGUAAAUGGCUAAUCGCUUCGAUGCUUGCUCCCUCUUCUCUACAAGCAAAUUCAGAUUCAAGCACAUCUGCUCGUUGUUAUCUUGCUCAUUGAAAUGAUCUGUCCGGUGCGUGGUCGUUCCUAUCUCGGCUGGUACGACCGCUUCAUGUCCGAAGGCCAAGGCGAACGGUGUUUCUCCAGUUGCUGUUUUGUAGGUUGUCCUGUAUGCCCAUAAAACACAUGAUAGCUCAUCAACCCAUGCUCCAUUUUUUGCUCCAAGCCUGGUUUUCAAAAGCCUCUUGAUCGUCUUGUUGGCUGCUUCUACUUGUCCAUUGGAUUGAGGGUGAGCAAGCGAGCAGUACUUCAACUCUAUCCCGAGGUUCUGGCAGAAAUCCCUGAAACUGUGAUUAUCGAACUGCCUGCCAUUAUCCAUUACCAAGGCAUAGGGGAUCCCGUACCGACAGACCAGGUUUCUCCAUACGAAGUCUGUUGUCUUCUUCUCUGUGAUCUUGCUGAGGGCUUCUACUUCUAUCCACUUCAUGAAGUAGUCUAUUGCUACUAUUCCAUGUGUUGUUGCUCCUCGUCCCCUUGGCAACGGCCCGAUCAGAUCAAUUCCCCACUGAGCAAAUGGCCAAGGGGAGGCUAUAGAGGUGAGCUUCUCUGGUGUUUGGCUGGAGAAACUUGCAAAACUCUGGCAGCUUAAGCAGCUCCUGGUCUUCUCCUGCGCAUCCUGGUGCAUUGUCGGCCAGAAAUAUCCCUGCCUUAGAACCUUAUGGGCAAGGGACCUCCCACCAGAAUGGUUUCCGCAAAUUCCUUCAUGUACUUCUCUCAGUACGUAGUCUGCGUUGUCCUCAUCUAAGCACCGAAGGAACGUGAGUGUAUAUCCUCGCCGAUAUAGCACCCCAUCAAUCAUUGUGUACCUUGAGUCUUGGGCUCUAAUCUUCCGAGCUCGUAGCUUAUCUGGUGGUAACACCCCGUCUCUGAUAUAUGAAAUUAUCGGAUCCAUCCACGAGCCUUUUUGUUCUAUCUGCAUCACCUUCAAAUUCUGCUCGAUGCUAGGGUUGGUUUUCACUUCCAAAGGGACCGUCUUAGGCAUUUUAGGGUCUGCUACAACUGUCAUCCUGGCCAGAAUAUCGGCUCGACUAUUUUGUUCCCUUGGGAUUUGUAUCAACUUAACCGCUUCGAACUUCCUCAUCAUCUGCCUGACUUUCUUCAAGUACUGCUCCAUCUUCUCAUCUCUCGGUUGAAAACUUUCACUGACAUGAUUUGCGACCAGCUGAGAAUAAGUUCUGAUCUUCACCCUAUCUGCUUUCAUUGCCUUAGCCAAUUCCAAACCUGCUAUCAAGGCUUCGUAUUCUGCCUGGUUAUUUGUGGCUGUGAACUCUAACUUUACAGCAUAAGAAAUCUCCUCCCCCUCUGGGUCUUUUAAGACAAUUUCUGCUCCUGAUCCUUGCUCACCUGAUGACCCAUCUACAGACAUCUGCCAUACUCGAGCUUUGCUGCUAUCUGUAGCGGUGUCCAGUUGGUCCAAACAUACUUCAAGCUCCGCGAAUUCUGCUAUGAAAUCGGCCGUUGCCUGAGCCUUUAUUGCUGCUCGGGGUUUGUAAUCUAUGUCGAACUCGCUAAGCUCUAUAGCCCACUUCACGAGCCGACCAGAAGCAUCUGGCUUGUGCAGAGUUUGACGCAAUGGCUGGUUUGUUAUUACCGUGACGGGGAAUGCUUGAAAGUACGGCCUCAGCUUCCGAGCAGCAACCACAAGGGCGAGUGUCCAUUUCUCCACCAAUGGGUAUCUGGUCUCGGCAUCGAGCAGGGUCUUGUUGGUGAAGUAUAUCGGGUACUGAACCCCUUCUUCUUCUCUUACUAGAACAGAACUUGCAGCAUGAUUUGAUACCGCCAAAUAUAAGAACAACCUAUCGUCAUCCCUUAGUGUGGACAGCAAAGGUGCUUGUUGCAAGUACUGCUUCAAGUUCUGGAAGGCUUCUUCACAUUCUGGGGUCCAUUCUGUAUUCUUUCCUCUCCUUAUCACUUGGAAAAAUGGCUGACACUUAUCUGUAGCCUUGGAUAUGAAUCGGCUUAAUGCCGCCAACCUCCCCGUAAGGCUCUGUGUCUCCUUCAGGUUACGAGGUGACCUCAUCUGCACGAUCGCCUGGAUCUUCUCAAGAUUUGCCUCGAUCCUGCUCGAACAUGGGGAUUUGGUUGUAUCCCGAGAAUGCGUCCAUGAAGCUGAGCAAGCCAUGUCCGGCUUUUAAGUCUACAAGCUGGUCAAUCUUUGGUAAUGGAAAGCUGUCUUUCGGGCACGCCUUGUUGAGGCCCGUGAAAUCCACACACAUCCUCCACUUGCCAUUAGCCUUUUUUACUAACACCACAUUCGAUAUCCACUCGGGAUAAUUGACUUCCCGAAUGAACCCUGCUUUCAAGAGCUUCUCCACCUCGCCGUUUAUAGCCUCAUACCUCUCCUGGUUGAAGCACCUCCUUUUCUGCCUUACUGCCCGAGCACCUUUCUUUAUUGCCAGUUUAUGACAUGCGACCUAAGGGUCGAUUCUUGGCAUGUCUUCAUGUGUCCAAGCAAACACAUCUGCAUGAGCCCGCAAGCAUUGCACCAACUCCUGCUUCUGCUAUUCUUUAAGCCUCAACCCAAUUCGGAUCGUUUUUCCCAGAUCCUUUGGUCCUAGGCUCACUGUCUUCAACUCCUCUACAGGUUCUUGUCUACCAGUCUUGGUUCCCACUCGGGUAUCAAGGGAUGUUAUCUGCAUUGCUUCCCUUGCUGACGAGGAGUAAUAGCUUCGUGCGAUUCUCUGGUCUCCUCAUACCACUCCAACUACCCCAUUCACCCGGUACUUGAGAGCUAGAUAAUGGUUGGAUGACACCGCUUUACUCAUCCUCAGAAAUGGUCGACCUAGGAUCAUCUGGUAAGGACCCUCUUCAUCGACUACCAAAAAAUCCAGCAUCAUAGUCCUUUCUGUCGGGGAGCUUCCAAUCGUGAUAGGCAGCUCAACCACGCCCAGGGGGACCAGCUUUCCUCCUCCAAAUCCCUUCAAGGAGGUAUUGGUGUGCUCCAACCUCAGGUCUGUUAUUCUCAUCUCCUCCAGAGUUGACUUAAACAACACAUCAACUGAGCUCCCUGUGUCAACCAGUAUCCGGUCAAACUUCUUGCUGGCGACGGUGGCCUUGAUGACUAAGGCAUCCUUGUGUGGGUAUAGAAUCCCUUAUUCAUCCUCAUCUGUCCACAUGAUUGGCACUUGUCAGACUCUUGCUCGUUUGGCUGCUGGGGUGUUGAAGAACACAUCUUUACUAGUCAUGGCAAAUUUAGCAUAAUUUUUCCUCGAUCUGUUGGAAUCUCCGGCCAACGUUGGACCCCCUAACAAUCACUCUUACUAUAGGCUGCCUGUGGCUCAAGUUCCUGUUACCCUGCUCCUCUUCACAUAUCGGGGCCACCGUCGGAAAAGUCCCAUCGAUAAACUCGUCCAGGUAUCGAUUUCUCACCAAAUCUUUAACCUGGGUCUUAAGGUCUCUUCAUUCUAUUGUGGUAUGGCCAUGAGUACCAUGGAACUUGCAAUAGUGCCCCUAUCCCUUCUGCUGGGUAGCUUUGUUAUUGGGGCUGGGAGGUACAGUAAUCCCCAGUCCUUUAUGGCCUCACAGACUUCGUCCAGUGGGAUAUUCAAGGAAGUAUACUGCCCAUAGUCCUGGUUCUGGUCGAUCAUAUGCACUGCCCUUUCUCUGUUUGUGCCAUUCUGAGUUGGAGGUGGUGGCAGCGCUUCUGGUCUGCUCCCCCUACUACCAUGGGGGUGUGGGUGAAGGUGACCGUAUGUCGCGUCAUGCCUUCUCCUAGGCUCCCUAGCUGGUGAGCGAGAAGGUUGCGCCCUGCUGUGCUGAUACUGUGGUGGCCUCUAAUGAGGUUGGUAAGCGGUUACCCGACCUCUUGUACCACUACCUAAGGCAUGGUGGUCCCUCCUCUUAAUCGGCCCAUUUCCUGGUACGGCUCUCUUCUCUUUCCUCUUUAAUCCUUCCAGCUGGUCUGUCUUAAUCCGUGCCGCCUUUUCCUCCUCUAUUUCUAUGUCUCUCUUAGCCUGCUCGUAAGCAACUGAAUAUGUCUGAAUAACUGGGCUUCUCAAGUUAUAUCACAUCCGUCUUAUCUUCACUCCUUCUUUCAAUCCCCUUAAUGCCUGAGGAUGGUUGAAGGCUCCCAAGUCGAGGACAGCACGGUGGAACCUUUUGAUGAAUUCCCGAAGGGUUUCCUCCUCUCUCUGCUUCAUGCUCGUUAACUCCAUCAUAUCAUCUUCCGGUGCCAUUACCCCACGAAACUGCUCUGCAAAUUCCUGGCACAUCUGCUCGAAGGCUUUAAUGCUCCCUCGAGGAAGUUUCCUGUACCACUCGCGUGCUCGUCCCUCUAGAGAUAGUGGGAACACCCUGCAUCUUUGGGCUUGAGAUAGUCCUUGCACCCCGGUCAUGUUGUUGAAGCGCUCUAUGUGCACCAACGGAUCAGUUCGCCCCAAAUAUCUGAGGUCUGGGAGGCGAAAAUCUCUUGAAAUGACUGCCCUCAUGAUCUCUGCCGAGAGCGGGGUUUCUCCGUCCAGCAUUAUCCUCCAACCAGGUGCUCUACUCCUUCCUUGCAUAUCAUCAAUUACUUGCGCUAGUUUGCGCACUUCCUUCUCUAGCUGCAUUGCACGACCAGGGUCACGUGCUGUAACUUGAUCCCGCUCUUUCUCUACAUCAUGUAAGUAUUGCCUGAGCUCUGUUUCCUCUGCAUUCACCACCCCAUCAUCCUCAUCAAAAAUCUAUCUUCUUGGGGAUUGCUCUUCUUCUCUAUGAAUUCCUCCCCGUAAAGAUAAGUUACCUCUCUCACCACCAAAUCUCCUGGUGGUCUGACUUCUCAUCAUACCAUCGUGCCCUGGUGCCACUCUGCCACCUCUCACCCUUUUCUCAUGGGUUCCCCUUCGUUCACUCCUUAGUUCAUGUAGGAUGGUUGUCAGGGUCUCCAUCUGCUUUUCCAUCCGUUCCAUUCGGUCAUGCAUGGCUUUUUCCCGUGCUUCAAUGGCUAUCUCCCUUAACGUCAUGGAUUCGUUAAGCCUCAUAUCACCUCCUUGUGCACUACUUCCUCCUACAUCCAUUGUUUCUUCUCUUGCUUUGUUUUUCCUUUCUCUGUCAACAGAAGUUUUUUUAUCAGCUCCCUACAGACGGCGCCAAAAUGUUGAUGCGAGAUUCUGGUUACCCACUCGACCACGACCAGGAUCUCUGCUCAAUCAACUAACUCGACCACGAUCAGGAUCUCUCCUCGUAUGCUUUCUUCUUCAAAAAUUCCUGCGUACACAGAAACAAGUCAGAGCACGCUGGUUGUUUUCUCGGCGUAAACCCUCCGAUGCUCAAGUCAAAUAUGAAGGUUUUGUGUUCCUGGGAACAUUAGCCACUAGUCUUAAGCUUUGCUUUUAGUAUCGACUGUUGAAUGCUCUCUUUAUCUCAAUUUCUGUAUUAAAAGUUCUAACCCUUUUACCUUCGUUGGCUGCCUUUUUAUAGGCUCCUCCUGAGUCCAGAUCCUCCCCUCCAUUCACGUCCGUUACCUUCCCACCUCUCGAAAGUGGAUGCUCCGUUUCCGUAAUCGUGGGUGGUUGCAUGGCCUUCGUGCCUCGAUUCUCGGGCUGGAGAGUACGUCUUGCCAACUGUCGUUGAUUGGGUCUCCUCGCUUCAAACCUUAGCAGGACCAUUAUGCUUCUAACAGGAGAUCGGCUUCGCGGAUGGUGUAUUCGUGGACGAGCAGAUAUUCCUGCUUCUGUUCCCAUGCUACCAGACCUCAGCUCAUCACGGCUGGUCUCGUCGAAGUACAUCCCCCAAACAAUCUUCAUAUUAAUUACGAAAAUAUCCUCUAAAUUUUAACUUAACUAUUCAUAAUUCAAUGUCAUUCGGAUAUUUCGUUUAUUUGAGUAGGGAUUAGGGGUCAAUUUGAUACAAAUUCAAAAUUAUCCUCAUUUGCGAAGGUGAUAAAAGUUAGGGAUUUAGUUUGGAUGUCACUAGCCACAAAUAUUAAACGCAUGCAUCUAAUUCAAAAUUAGAGGCAUUAUCGUUAUAUUGACAUGUGUCACCAUCCCACAACCUCUCCAAUGAAAAAUUGACAUGCAUCUUGUGUGCUUCUUAUCAAAAUCCUGAAAAUUAAUCACAAAAGUUAUAUUUUUAUUAUAAAAAGAAGAAAGAAACUCCAUGAGUGAAGAAAAAAAAAAAAGACUUACAUUAAUAGUUUGGAUAAUCUAGAUUUCAAGUUGUCUAUAUUAGCUUGAUAUUUUUAUAAAUAUCAAGAUUUCAAGUUGUCUAUAGUAGCUUGAUAUCUUCUAAAAAAAACUCCAUCAACAUAUAUUUUAAUUUUACGUUAAUUAAUAAAUAGAAAAUCCAUUUUAGAAUUAAUUAAAGCAUUAUUUAUUGUUGCCAAAGAAGGAAGUAUUUAGCGAUAAGAAAAAAGUGUCUCAAAUAUAUGUUUAAAAAAAAAUAAUCAUGGUUGGUUGGACUGAUUGAAUUUUUCUUUUCUUUUUUCUUUUUUAAGAACUAAGACAAUUGGAUUGAUUGAGUAAUAAUAAAAUAUAUUUAUUUGGCAAAUGGCAGGUAGGCUUUCUUCUGGUGCAGAUUGAUUAGAGAGAAUAUAUAACAAUUUUAAGCUCGUAAGAUUCGGAACCUGCUUAUCUGUCGUGUGGGAAUCACUUCCGUGUCUUAUUUUUCUAGAAAAAUCUAGACCAUUGGAUUUACCAUUGGGCAGUAGAGAAAUGUUGAUCUUGAUUCCUGAUCAGGAUCGAAGUUUGAUUCUAUCUAACAUGAUAUCAGAUUGCGAAGCAAGCUAGUUGUGAGUAACUUGUUCUAUUUUGAUGGAAGAAACACAAGUUCUAAUAAAAAAUUCUAAGUAUACAUUUUUUUUUUUAAUUUUUUUAUUGUGAUCAAUAUAACUAGUCAAAUCUAUUUUUAAACAUUUUUUUUAAAUAUUUUGUUAACAAUGAUAUGAAAAUAUUCGAACCCCUCCUCAUAUAGUAAAGUGAAUUACUAUCCAACGAUCCAACUAACGUCUUCAAAUUGUAAAUUGCAAAUCGUGUGUUUGCUCCAUUACAGAGUUUCUUCAAUUUAAAAUAGAGAAUCGUUUGUGUUCUAGAUUAAUCGUGGGUCUAUAUCCAAAUCUAAAAAUUGACUAACUUGAUUUCUAUUAAAUUCUUAACCCUAACAAGAAAAAUAGAAGAUUAAAAAUGACUAAUUUGGUUUCUAUUAAUUUGAGUAACGAUUAAUAUUUAUCAUUCAAUAGUCACUUAUAUUAUCAAAAUCUUGGGUCGAAAAUAUUAGGAUAGGUGAUAAUUGGAAUUAAGUUGUAGAUAAGAUAGAAAUGGAUUUGGAGAGAGAUUGGAAUCCUGGGUAAAUCCGGUACACGUUGGUGUGUUAAAUUCUCGUUGACUUCACGUUGACCGAGGCAUUAUUGGAAGAAACAAGCAAGCUUAUUUUCUUCUCUCAUUUUUAACCUUUGUCUAAAUUUAUUGGUGUGAGGCCUUUGAGAUGGUAAAGUGUUAAAUCUGAGAAGAGUACCCACACUAUUACUCUUAUUUUAUCACGUUUUAUCACAAUAUUACUCUUAUAGUCAAUGUUUGAUUCGCACGAAAAAAAAUUUGCGAGGAUUGUGAGGGUUGAUGCAAUAUAAUUUAGAUGCAAAGUGUUUACAAGUGCGAUGCUUCGUAAGUGUACUCGAAUCAUUAUAAACUCACGUUAUUUUCAUAGUGAUUAUUUCAUUUGCACGUGAAUAUAAUCAUAUAUGUGGAGAAUUUUUUUUCCUAAAUUAUGGUCUUAUUUAGUAUUGAGAUGUUAUAUCUUUUAAAUUAUAAUUAAUAUUAGUAAAAAAACUGCAACUAUAAAAUAAAAGUUAAUAUUAUGUCCUGAAUAUAAUUGUUAAAUAAUAAUUUUGACAAAAUUAGUGAAGACAUACAGAUUUUUUUAUCAUAUAAGUGUAAAAUUCUAUCAACUUAGCUUUUAAGUUAUACAGCAUCUAUUGUUUACCAAAUACUUUAGUGUUGUAACUUUUAAGUUAUAACUGUCUAACCUUUAACCUCAAUCUCAAACGAGGCUUAUAAAGAUCAAGGAUUUCCUCAUAAAAAUUAUUACGUCAUGUGAUUGCUUAUUUAAUUUAUAUUUUCGUCAUUUAUCUUUAUUAAUUAAACAUGCACAUAUUAUUUCCUUUUAUUUUCUGCUUGGUAACCCGUAAAUACUAAUCCAGUACUACUAAUUUCAGACAGAAAAUUUUGAACUCUAGGCUGCAGUUUGACUCAAAAUGAUGGUCACUGGCUUCGCACCAUUUUACCGGUAUACAUUUCUACAAACUGAACAAGGCUAUUGAUUAUUAUUAUUAUUAUUUUAAUUUGUUUAUAAAUUACUAUUUUAAUUUUCACUUUUUAUUGGGUUGUUUAACGGAUUGGUGAAGCUGGUGGUCGUUGAUGCACUCACAAGGUACAAUUUUAUUUUAUAAUUUCAAAUUCGUAUUUUAAAACGCAGGUACAUUAUGUAUAUACAUAAUUAUUGAUUUUCGUAUGAGGGUGUUUUGAAAUAUUGCUAAAAGACCAAACUUUAAUAAACUAUUUUUGAUCUUUUUUUUUUUUCCUAAAGUUUGGGUGAUAUGCGCAUUUUAAAUUCACGUGGAACAAAAGUUAAUGUAUGUAUAAAAAUUCUUUUAUUUUACUGAGCAAAAUAGGCAAGCGAAAAAGUUUUGGCAAAUGAGUUGCAACUGAAUUCAAAACCAAUACAAUGCGAGCAUAGGAAAGAGGCCAGUGUUUAGGAUUUGAAUUUAGGUAGCGUUUACUUUUUGGAUUGGAUUGGGAAUCCUGGGGAGUGGGAAUCCUAGGAUUGAGAGUGUGGAGUGGGAGUGGGAGUAGGUUGUUUACUUACACUGGAAUGGAAGCAUGGAAUGGAGAUCAGAAUCCAAUUUAUGUGUUUACUUUGUCUUGGAUUGGGAGUAAAUAGUUUCAAAUUACAAUUUUAUCCUUAUUUAAAGAAUUAUAAUUUUAAUUACAAAACUAAUAAAAUAUAUAUUUAAUGAAUAAUAUUUAUUUUAUUAUAUUUGUAAAUUUAUUAUAAUUAUUAAUAUUCUUAAUUAUGAACAAUAAAUUAUUAAUUGUAAUUUUAAUAUAAAAUGAAAUGUUAUUUUAUUUAAUAUAAUUAUAUUAAAUUUAUUAUUAUAUAAAAUAAUAAUAUAAUAUUAUUUAGUACAAAAUUAAUAUUUUCUUAGAAUAAAGUAUUUAUUAUUAUUAUUAAAUAAAAUAUAGUACUAUUAUUUUUAAAAUAAAUAUAAUAAUAUUAUAUUUAUUAAUUCUCUAUUAAUAUAAUAAUAUUAUUUUAAAAUAAUUUUAACUUAGAAUCAAUGUAAAUUAUUAUUUAGUUAAAUAUAAUAUUAUUAUUUAAAUAAAUAUAAUAUUAUUAUUUAAAUAAAUAUAAUAUUAUUUAUUUUAUUUUAUUAAUUAUAAAACAUAAAAUAAAAAAAAAAAGGGUAGAAAUGGGAGAGGUGGGAGUGGAUUCCCACUCCCACCUCCCCCAAUGGGAGUCCCACUCCCACUCCCCACUCCAAAAAUGGGUGGGGCCCACGGAGUGGGACUCCCAAUUCCUUCUCAUUUUAAGUAAGUAAACGCUGGAGUGGGAGGAAUCCACACUCCUCACUCCCACUCCAGCAAGUAAACACAACAUUAGUAUUAAGCUGAAUUUUAUGGUAAGCUCUUUUAUAGUACUGUGAUUGAUAAGCUCAGCCCCGGAUUUGCUUUUGCUUUUGCUUUUACUUCAAGUGAAAGAGAGAGGAAACCUUUUGUUUUUUUCUUUGGUUUUCAACUAUGUUACCUAUACAAAGAGUCAAGAUACCUGCCAUAAGUGAUGGUGUUAAAAAGAUUAAGCAGCGCACACAAUCUUACUGUCGUCUAGACCAUCCAGUGAUGACUCUAGUCUUUUGGUUACGUUAGCUUUAGUUGAAAGAAGGGCCAAUUUAACAAAGACUAGAUUUGAUGGCUUACUAUGUUUAAUGUAAUGCUAAUUCUCAGGGAAUCUAAUGUUAUAACUUAUAAGACGAUCUCCUAUGAUGAAUAACAGUAACACAUUACUGUGAUUGAGAAAACUCAGUUACAAUAAACUAUUCAUUUACUCAUUGCGGAGAUUGAAUAGCAAAUAGAGAAUAGAAUGAAGCAGAGGAAUCUCAUUGCCAAUAAAAUUGACCCUCUUUAAUGUUAUAUGGCACAGGUGUGGAGGAAGAACAAGUUACUUGCAGUUUUUAUUGUAAAAUAUACAGGUAUGACCAUGAUCAUUACAGUUGGGUUUUGAUAAUUUCAGAUGCUUUUUAAAAAAAAAAAAAAUUAUGACAUCUUUGAUUUACGGUAGUUUUGCAGAAAAAAAAAUAUAAAAAUUAAGAGGGAUGAGUUAAACUGACGAUUACAAUCAUUCCAGCAAUGCUGAUGAGUGAUACAUCACUUGAAAUUUACUUGUCAGUUGCUGAAAUGAUGAAAAAAAAACAAUAAACGAUAACAGUAAUAAUGUUCCGUUGCUGAAAUUCAAUUUUGACUUUCUACUCUUGGCUUUUAUGGAAAGUAAAAUGACUUGUAUAUUAUCCUCAUACAAUCCACUCUACAUAAUGAUAUCAUUUUAAUAAGGCAAUGGCUGAUGAUCUCCAUUUAAAAACUACAUCAUUUUUUUUGCUUCAUUUAACUUUUUGGUUGUUGAAAAUAACCUUAAUUAUCAAAUAAUUGGAGAAAGAGUAAAGAACAUUUAACAAAUUUAUGUGCAAAAAAAAAAAAGGAGAAGUUGAAGAGAAAGGGUGCUUGCAGAAGUGGGUGUCAAAGAUAAAUCGGUCCAUAAGAAUUAUUGUGGUUAUUUUUUUGGCAAUAUAAGAACUUAUGCGAUAGCAUUUUUUAUGGGUGCAUAUAACCUCCCUUUAAAAAUAUAUAUAAUAAUUACUGCUUAAUAUAGUAUUAAAUACAAAAAUAUCAAUAUUUGACUACUUAAAUUUAUAUCAUUAGGUCCUUAAAAUUUAAAAUGGAAGAUAUGAAAGGAAAUAUAUAUAAAUUUCAUUGUCCUGGUAAAGGGCCCUCUUAUAAUCUUAUAAUAUUUGAACUUUGAUAGAUUUUUUGAAACAAAUGUACUUUUAUUUGUGUACAAUCAAUAUUUACUCAUUUAUUAUAUUUUAAUUUAUUAACUAUUAAUCAUGUAAGUAUACUUAGUCAGAAAAAUUAUAUCAAGAGAAAAUUCUAAUUUCACGCAAAAACAAAUACCAAAACAAAUAUCUCAAUUUCUAUACUAUUCACUUUCCUGUAGAAUCAAUUAUUUAAAAUGCAAGUUUGUGGCUACAGAAAACUCGCCAAAGAAAAAAGAUAAUAACAAUUGAGCAUUGAUAGCAAAACUAAUGCAUCCAAUUCUUCUUGACUUGAUGAGAUGGCGCCAUAACGUAGACACAAGUACCUAAAUUGACCGGCACUGAGUGAUGUGAAUACUACCAGCCAGUUCAUCUCUUCCAGUCUUGCUUAAUCACAAUCACAAACACCACGAGAUCGACAUUUGCAUUAUAUAUAUCUUCUGCAAUCGAAACACCUUGCAUUACCAAAUAAGCCCGUAACAGACAAAGCAAUCUUUCAUGGAGAGAAACCUUAGUCUCAGUAUGAUCACUGUGUCAUUAACCUACUGCCUGCUUCUUUGCUUGGUUGCUGCAGCAGCAGCAGCGGCAAGCAACAAUAUUACCACAGACCAACAAGCUCUUCUUGCCCUGAAAGAUCAUAUAAUUUAUGAUCCUACCAGCCUUUUAGCUCACAAUUGGACCUCGAAUACCUCUGUUUGUACCUGGAUUGGCAUCACUUGUGAUGCCAAUAGCCAUAGAGUCAAAACCUUAGAUAUUUCUCAAUUCAAUCUACAAGGCACCAUCCCUCCUCAACUUGGAAAUCUCUCUUCACUCACAACACUUAAUCUUAGUCAUAACAGGCUUUCUGGAAGUGUUCCCUCCUCCAUCUACACCAUGCAUACGCUAAAAUUUCUUGACUUCACUGAUAACCAGCUCUCUGGUUCAGUGUCUUCCUUCGUCUUCAACAUGUCUUCAAUAUUAGUAAUUCGUUUGACCAAUAACAUAUUUUCUGGUGAGCUUCCGAAAAAUAUUUGCAACUAUCUUCCUUAUUUGAAGGCCCUUUUCUUAAACAAAAACAUGUUUCAUGGCAAAAUUCCUUCUGCUUUAUCAAAGUGCAAACAACUGCAACAAUUAAAUUUGCAGUUCAAUAAUUUAUCCGGUGCAAUACCAAAAGAAAUCGGCAACUUGACUAUGCUCAAAGGGAUAUAUCUCCUCUACAACAAACUCCACGGUAUGUUCACAAUACUAUAUAAAUAUUUUAAUUUAUCACUUAUUAUCUUUCUUGAAUAAUUUAGUUAAGAUCUUGUAAGAGAGAUUUUUUGCAUCUACGUUAAUUUACCAGGUGAGAUACCCCACGAAAUCGCUAAUCUUCCAAAUCUAGAGGCUUUAGCGCUUGGAAUCAACAACGUAGUUGGUGUGUUACCAGCUCCCAUCUUCAACAUGUCAACACUGAAGGUACUUAUCCUCAUAAAUAACUCUCUCUCCGGAAGCCUUCCAUCAAGAGUAGACCUUUCACUUCCAACUGUUGAGCAACUUAACUUGGCACUUAAUAGAUUUUCUGGAACCAUUCCUAGUUCCAUCACCAAUGCUUCUAAGCUCACCUUUCUAGAGUUGGGAGCAAACACAUUUUCGGGGUUUAUUCCAAACACAAUUGGUAAUUUAAGAAACCUUAAGUGGCUCGGCUUGGCUAAUAACUCCUUGACAUCUUCAACCUCAAAAUUGAGCUUUCUUUCCUCUUUGGCAAAUUGCAAGAAAUUAAGAUUCGUAAACGUAAUAGGCAAUCCACUGGACGGCUUCCUUCCAAGUUCAAUAGGUAAUCUUUCUGUGUCUUUGGAAACACUUGGCAUCGGCAAUUGCAGUAUUAGUGGCAACAUUCCUCCAGCAAUUAGCAAUUUAAGCAACUUGUUGACCUUAGUAUUAGACGGCAAUAAAUUGACUGGACCAAUCCCAACUACAUUCGGCCAACUGCAGAAACUCCAAGGCUUAGAUCUUGCAUUCAAUAAGUUGGUAGGUUCAUUCCCAGAUGAGCUUUGCCAUCUGGCAAGGCUGGAUCAAUUGGUCUUAUUUGGCAAUAAGCUUUCAGGAUCUAUACCUUCAUGCUUAAGUAACCUCACUUCUCUAAGAUCUCUCUAUUUAGGGUCCAAUAAGUUUACUUCUGUUUUUCCCUCAACCUUCUGGAGCCUAAAAGACAUCUUGUUCUUUGACUUUUCAUCAAAUUUCUUGGUUGGUCCUCUUUCUUUAGAUAUAGGAAAUUUGAAGGUGCUUCUAGGAAUAAGUUUAUCAAAAAAUAAUUUAUCCGGUGAUAUCCCAGCCACAAUUGGAGGACUGAAAGAUCUUCAAUUUAUGGACCUAGCAUAUAAUAGAUUGGAAGGCCCAAUUCCUAAAUCAUUUGGUGACUUGAUAAGUUUAGAAGUUCUGAAUUUAUCAAAUAAUAAAAUCUCUGGGUCUAUUCCAACAUCCAUGGAGAAACUCUUUUACCUCGGAGAGUUAAAUCUCUCUUUCAAUAAACUAGAAGGUGAGAUUCCUAGUGGAGGAACUUUUGCCAACUUCACAGCUGAGUCAUUUAUGGGAAAUGAGUUUUUGUGUGGUUUACCAAAUCUUCAAGUCCAACCAUGCAAAGUUAGCAAGCCGAGGACAGAACAUAAAUCAAGGAAAAAGAUACUUCUCAUUGUGAUUGUUUUGCCAUUGAGUAUUGCUCUAACAAUAGCAAUCACUCUAGCUCUCAAAUCUAAGCCGAUCGAAUGUGGAGAAAGAAGCACAGUGUUGUCAAAUGAUAGUAUCUUGUCAUCACAAGCAACACUAAGAAGAUUUUCAUACUUAGAACUUUUACAAGCAACAGAUAAUUUUGCUGAAAACAGCAUAAUUGGCAGAGGAGGUUUCGGUUCCGUUUAUGGAGCAAGACUUGAAGAUGGGAUGAAGAUUGCAAUAAAAGUGUUUCACCGGCAAUGUGCAAGCGCAUUGAAGAGUUUUGAGGCUGAAUGUGAAGUGUUAAAAAAAAUUCGCCAUCGAAACCUUAUCAAAGUUAUCAGCAGUUGCUCGAACGAUGACUUCAAAGCAUUAGUCCUAGAAUACAUGUCCAACGGGAGCUUAGGGGAUUGGCUGCAUUCGAGCAAUUACGUGCUGAAUAUUUUUCAAAGGUUGAACAUAAUGAUUGACGUUGCAUCAGCUUUAGAAUACCUCCACUUCGAUCAUUCAACUCCUAUUAUUCAUUGUGACUUAAAGCCUAGUAAUGUAUUGUUGGACGAAAAUAUGGUUGCUCAUUUGAGUGAUUUUGGCAUAGCAAAGCUUUUAAGUGGAGAAGAUGAGUCUACGAUGCGAACAAAAACCCUUGCCACUAUAGGUUAUAUGGCACCAGGUUUGCUUCAAACAACUUUUUUUUUUAAGUUCAUUUUAAAUUUUCUAAAUCAUUGAUUUUUACGAUCCUCAUAUCAAAUUGUUAUUGAUUAUUUAUCUAAUUGUGAAAUUAAUUUGAUUCAUAGAGUAUGGCAUAGGAGGAGAAGUAUCUACAAAAAGCGAUGUUUACAGCUACGGGAUUAUGUUGAUGGAAACUUUUACCAAGAAAAAACCCACAGAUGAAAUUUUUGUUGGAGAAUUGAGCUUAAAGCAUUGGGUUAAUGACUUGCUUCCUAAUUCAUUAGUGGAAGUUGUGGACAAAACUCUGCUAAGUGGAGAGGAAAAACAUUUUGCAUCAAAGGGGCAAUGUCUGUUGUCUAUCUUUAGUUUGGCUCUGGAGUGUACAAUGGAAUCACCGGAAAAGAGGAUUAAUGCAAAAGAUAUUGUUACCGGAUUACUCAAGAUAAGAGACACAUUGAGUAAAAGGAUAGGAAAUUUAAGUUAAUUUCGUUUGCUUUCAUUGAUAGUUAAUUCGAAUUCAUGUAAUAAGUGCAAGAAUCUUAUAUCUUUUCCUUUGAUAUAUUCUUUUUCUUGAGAAAACUGUUGUAGUCAUCUUGUUUCCAUGGGAAGAGUUGAUUUAGUUCUUCCAAAAAAUGCUACUGAUGACCUUUGUUUAAUACUUUCUCUUUUUUUGCACGUGUUUAGGUAGAACAGUGGUUUGGCUGCAGGCUAAUAAGUCAAGCUACGCCAAAAGCGUAUGAUUUAAUUUAUUAAACAUAACUUCAAGUUCAAGAAGUGUUUCUCAUUGCCACCAAUGCUUUGGACACCUGUUGGAAGGUUUGUUGUCCUCAGCUUUUGUUUAGAGCAAAAGUUCGAGUCCCAUAAAGGCUCAAACAUUCCUUUCCUUCAUCCCGAGGGCGCCUUCUGUCCUCUGUUUUCUGUUUCCACACACAAAUAGCAAAAAGAAAUUAGAAUGACAACUGGGACAUAUAUAAGAGUGAAAUAAUUAAAAAAAUUAUGCUUUUUUGUCUGUCGUGUUAAAAUCGUAAGUACCGAAGUACUGUGAAAGAGAUUAAUUUACAGAAACUGAAGCCAAGGGUUCAAAAAAAAACUAUUGAUGUAGCUAGGAUGCAAUGUCAUAUUCAUACAGAGAUGAAGUAUAUUAUUUACGGCUGGUAAAGACUAGGAAUUGAUGUAGCUAGAAUCCAAAGAUGAUAAGGUAUGUUGUGCACUAUUGUUUUAUUCUACGGUCAAUCUUGACCCUUGGUGCUUGGCUCUCAAUCUUGUCCAUUGAUCUUCUCUGAUCUUGGAAACUUCAAGACCUUUCACUCUCAUGCCUUAUUAUUGGUGUCUUCCAUGCUGUAGCUUUCAAAUACAAGCUUUCCCGCCAACUUGCCAAUUAUUUGUCCGUUGGUGCAUUUUAUCAAACAGUUUGGAUACUUAUACCAAACGCCUUCUGUUUUAACUCCCCCCCUCAAGCUCAAGCAUCUGGGAAGACAUUAAUAAGCUUGUUUCUCAAGUAUAUAUAUCUGAAAAUUAAAUUUUAUAAAUUAUAUUCGGACUCUACAUUUUCUAAUGAACAUUGGUUUGGCUUAUAAGCUUAUUAUACUCAGGUUUGGUAGGAGCCAUAUCACAAUGUUAACGCUAACCAGCAGUACUGCCAAAGCUGGCCAACUCAGCCUGCAAGUUCAUAGCAACCAUAGUUACAGUCCUAGUCCGGUACAAAAAUCGUAAAUAUCAUUUACAUUACAAUGGUGUGGGGGGGGGGGGGGGGGUUUGUUGGGUGGCUGGAGAGGGAAUCAACAAAGAUCUAGAACGAAGGGUAGGCUUGUAUCCGUAACCCAUGUCACAGUGUUAAUGCUAACCGUGGACCUUAUUAUAUUAGUUGCUGGACUAUUAUUACUUUUGAAUUGCCAUCUUUGAAUUUACGUUCAUUUCUGCCUCGACAAGAUGUUUGUAAAAAUAUGCUAAUUAUUAAUGUGCCGUGUACAAAUAAGCAUGUUACUGUGCAAGGAUUGUAGUCAUGAUACAGUGGUGCAAAAUGUACAUGCUACUUCUUCUUUUCCUCAGUUAGGAUCACCGUCGUCACCAUUUAAUUCUAAGUCCACCCAUGCGGCCUAUGCAAUUGAAAUCAUGUGACCAUGUAAUUUUAGGUUCUGAUCUUCCUUGUGGGGUUAAACCUCAAAACUGUGACCAUUUUGGGACUUUUAAUCAGUUCCAAUCAUUUUCUGGUUCCCAUUCGUCCACCCAAGCCUUGAUUCCCCCGAUAUAGCAUUGCAAUAUAUAUAGGAAUAUUAAGGUUGUGUACAGUUUUUUUCUUUUCUGUUUUUAAUUUGAUAUAAAUUAUCAAUCAUGAAUCUACAUAAAGUUUCAACUAGGCUACUACCACAAUAAACAUUUGGAUGAACUAUUAUUGAAACCUUAUUGAGAAGUAGGACAUGUCGCAUACCAAUGCACUGACAUAUCUUCAAAUAGUGGUAACUCCACACAACAUGGCACAAUAAAUUAAGAGUUAUAUAGAUAAAAUCUUUCACUCUUUGGUAAUCAUCAAUGUCGGCAUGACAAUGCGUCCCACAAAUAUGGCUCCUUAUCAAAAUUCAUAAAUCAAAACAAAAAUAGAGAAUCAUAUUUGUUCUAGAUUGUAGUGAUGGUUGUUGAUGCACUCACAAUUUACAAUUUUAUUUAAUAUCUUCAAAUUCGCAUUUUAAAAUGCCCAAAUGUUUGUGUAUACAUAAUUAGUAAUCGAUUCUCAAGCAUGGCCAUUUAAAAGCAUUGCUGAAAGACAAAAUUUUAAUUUACUAUUUUUUGUCUUUUAAUUUUCUUUAAGUUUUUAAUGAUUCCGCAUUUUAAAAUCCUGUGGAACGUGUAUGUAAAAUUCUUUUAUCUUUUAGAGGAAAAUGGGCAAGAGAAGAAGAUUUGGCAAAGGAAUUGCAACCGCAUUUGGAGCUAGUUUUAAUUUUGUCUUUUAAUUCUUUUACACUUGGCUUUUGUUAUUGAUGUCAACUUCGAUGUGUGUGAAGACUCGAGCUCACUCCCUUAUGAGCUAGUUUUAUUUUUCUACUUUCACAUUAAGAAAAAUACUCCUAUUUUUAAGGAAAAGUCAAGUACCUGUAGUUGUGAAGACUCGAGCUCACUCCCUUAUGAUAAAUCUUCAUAUUAAUUACGUAAAUAUCCUCUAAAAUUUUAAAUUAGCUAUUCAAAAUUUGAUGUUAUACGGGUAUUUCAUUUAUUUGAGUAGGGGUUGGGGGUCAAUUGGAUACAAAUUCAAAAUUAUCCUUACUUGAGAUGGUGAUAAAAAUUGGGGAUUUAAUUUGGAUGUCAUUAGCUACAAAUAUUAAACUCAUACAUUUAAUUCAAAAUUGGAAAGCUGAUAUAUGCGCAUCAUCCCACAACCUCUCCAAUGAAAAAUUAACACGUUUCUUGUGUGCAUUUGAUCAGAAUCCUGAAAAUUAAUCACAAAAUUGUCCUGGAAAAAAAAAUGCUUACAUAAAUGGUUUGAAAAAUCUAGAUUUCAAGUUGUCUAUAUUAGCUUGAUAUUUUUAUAAAUAGUCAUCCUCUCAAAAAAAUUCCAUCAAAAUAUAUUUUAAUUUUAUGUUAAUUCAUAAACAUGAAAAAAUCAUUUCAGAAUUAAUUAAAACAUAAUUUAUUGUUUCUCAAAAAAGGUAGAACUUAGUGAUAAGAAAAAAGUAUCUCAAAUAUAUGUAAAAAAAAAAAAAUCUUGGUUAGUUGGAAUGAUUGAAUUUGUUUUUUUUUUCUUUUUUAAGAAUUAAGACAAUCGGAUUGAUUGAGUAAUAAUAAUAUAUAUUUAUUUGGCAAAUGGCAGGUAGGCUUUCGUCUCAUGCAGAUUGAUUAGAGAGAAAAUAUAACAAUUUUAAGCUCGUCAGAUUCGAAGCUGCUUUCCUGUCGUGUGGGGAUCACUUCCGUGUCUUAUUUUUCUAGAAAAAUCAGGACCAUUGGAUUUAUGCGAAUCGUACUGAACAUUGGAAUUGAUGUAUAAGAAAAAAAUUCUGUAGUUUAAGAAGAACAAAAAGGCAUGUUGAAUAGAUUACAAUAGUUUAAGGAAAAAAAUUAUUCAAUUGGGAAUUUUUUUUUCUUUAAUUUUUGUUGUACUUGAUUGAGAUUUCUCCUUAGUCCUUAGAGUUUUAAGUUUGGAAACCGUAGGAUCAGUAAUUUCGUACUUCCUUUGCAAGCUGAGUAUAAGGAUGAAAUUCUUUUAAGAAAUUAAAAAAGAUAAAAAAAAAGCAUACCAAUAGGUAAUUAUAAAUAACCACAAAUAAAUAUAAACAAAAUGUUUAUGAAGUAAAUUAAACAUGCUCAUAUUAUUUUCUUUUAUUUUCUGCUUGGAAACCCAUAAAUACACUAAUCCAGUAUUACUAAUUUCAGACAGAAAAUUUUGAAUUUAACCAGUAUACACUAAUCCAGUAUUAUUUUUAUUAUUAUUUUAAUUUGUUUAUAAAUUACUAUUUUAAUUUGUUUAUAAAUUACUAUUUUAAUUUUCACUUUUUAUUGGGUUGUUUAACGGAUUAGUGAAGCUGGUGGUCGUUGAUGCACUCACAAGGUACAAUUUUAUUUUAGAAUUUCAAAUUCGUAAUUUAAAAUGCAGGCACAUUAUGUAUACAUAAUUAUUGAUUUUCAUAUGUGGGUGUUUUGAAAUAUUGCCAAAAGACCAAACUUUAAUAAACUAUUUUUGAUCUUUUUUUUUCCUUUGUACCUAAAGUUUGAGUGAUAUCCGCAUUUUAAAUUCAUGUGGACCAAAAGCUAAUGUAUGCACAAAAUUCUUUUAAUUUUUUCCGAGAAAAAUGGGUAAGAGAAGAAGAUUUUUCUCUUGAAAAAGAAAAAAUAAUACGUUGCAAGCAUAGGAAAGAGGCCAGUGUUUUGGAUUUGAAUUUAGUAUUGGGUUGAAUUUUAUGCUAAGCUCUUUUAUAAUACUUUAUAGAAUAAAAAUGUAAGGGAUAUUUGGCUAGGCAUGUACUUUAUAGAAUAAAAAUGUAAUAAUGUAAGUCAGUGCAAUGAUCUGCUGUCAUAGUAGUUAUAAAUAUUUAUGUGUAAUACAGUAACAUGAUGCUUAAUCAGUUAAAAAAAAAUUGUAUAUCUUUUUUUAUUUUUUUUAUUGUGAUCAAUAUAACUAGUCAAAUUUAUUUUUAAAUAUUUUUUUAAAAAUAUUUUUAUCGUGUGUUUGCUCCAUUACAGGGUUUCUUCAAUUUAAAAUAGAGAAUCAUUUGUGUUCUAGAUUAAUCGUGGGUCUAUAUCCAAAUCCAAAAAUUGACUAACUUGAUUUCUAUUAAGUUCUCAACCCUAACAAGAAAAAUAAAAGAGUAAAAAUGACUAUUUUGGUUUCUAUUAAUUUGAGUAACGCUUAAUAUUUAUCAUACAAUAGUCACUUAUAUUAUCAAAAUCUUGGGUCGAAAAUAUUAGGAUAGGUGAUAAUUGGAAUUAAGUUGUAGAUAAGAUAGCCUUUCAAAAAAAAGAAAAGAAAAAAAGUUGUAGAUAAGAUAGAAAUGGAUUUGGAGAGAGAUUGGAAUCCUGGCUAAUCCGGUGCACGUUGUUGCGUUAAAUUCUCGUUGACUUCACGUUGACCGAAGCAUUAUUGGAAGAAACAAGCAAGCUUAUUUUCUUCUCUCAUUUUUUACUUUUGUCUAAAUUUAUUGAUGUGAGCCCUCUGAGAUGGUAAAGUGUUAAAUCUGAGAAGAGUACCCACACACCCAUUUGUUGGAGGAUUAACAAUUAAAACACACUAUUUUAUUUCUUCAACAACACUCCUCACCAAUUACAACUCUUAUUUUUCACUCUCUACACCUUAGAGAUUUUGCUGCUUCACUUGAUGUUUAAACCAAAAGGGAGAGGGGGUAUUUAUAUAUGAAACAAACUAAUCACAACCAUUCAUUUAUUCAACUAAUAAACACAUCCUCACCAUCCAUUAAAACCUACCACUCACCUACUUCACCAACCACACCUAACACACCUAACACAAAUAAUUCAAACCUCACCAACCAUACCUACUCAUGGAACCUUCCAUGAGUUGGGCUUGAUUUAUUCAUCUUGGAUCAAGUUUAUGAUCCAACACCUCUCCUUAAACUUGAUCCUGUGACACCAAGCAAACUUCUGAAUCUUACAAAGUCUUCUUGUUUGAGUGGUUUAGUGAAGAUAUCAGCUGCUUGAUCUUGUGAUUUUACAUACUUGAUUUGCACUUCUUUUCUUGCAAUACACUCUCUUAUGAAAUGAUAGCGAGUGGCUAUGUGUUUACUUCGAUCAUGAAAGACUGGAUUCUUGGAUAGGGCAAUUGCUGAUUUGUUAUCAACACAAAUCUCAGUUGGCUCUUCUUGUGCCAAACUCAACUCCUUUAGCAAAUUUCUGAGCCAAAUUGCAUGACAAACACUUGAUGUGGCAGCUACAUAUUCAGCUUCACAGGUGGAUAGCGUGACAAUUGGUUGCUUCUUUGACAUCCAUGUGAAAGCAGUAUCUCCUAUGAAGAACACAAAUCCUGUGGUGUUAUUUCGAUCAUCUACAUCUCCACCCCAAUCGCUAUCGCUAUAUCCAACAAGCUUGUAGUCAUUAGAAAAUGAGUAUAGCAAGCCGAAAUUAGUUGUACCUUUGAUGUAGCGAAGGAUUCUUUUUGCAGCUUUAAAAUGGGUGGUCUUUGGAUUCUCCAUGUAUCGGCUCACAAGUCCAACAACAUAAAGGAUAUCUGGUCUUGUGCAUGUCAAAUAACGUAGGCUUCCAACCAAACUUUUAAAGAAUGUUGGAUCUAUAUCUUCGCCUUCAUCAUGUUUGGAUAACUUGACUCCGCAUUCCACUGGCGUGCUUAUAGGCUUACAAUCAUUCAUCUUGAACUUCUUGAGAAUCUCCUCUGCAUAGCUUUCUUGGGAGAUAAAUAUGCUUUCUUCCUUUUGCUUGACUUCAAUGCCGAGGUAAUAUGCCAUCAGUCCGAUGUCAGUCAUCUCGAACUCUUUGAUCAUCACUCUCUUGAACUCUUCAAACAAGCCUGGAUUACUUCCAGUGAAAAUGAGAUCAUCCACAUACAGGCACACAAUCAAAAUAUCUCCAUAUUUUUCUUUGACGUAGAGAGCAUGUUCAUAUGGGCAUUUGGUGAAGCCUUUCUCUUGAAAAUACUUGUCAAUUCUGCUAUUCCAUGCCCUUGGUGCUUGCUUUAACCCAUAAAGAGCUUUCUUCAAUCUCAAAACUUUGUCCUCGUGUCCUUUCACCACAUAGCCUAAUGGUUGUUCGAUGUAAACUUCUUCUUCAAGGAAUCCAUUCAAGAAAGCAGACUUCACAUCCAUUUGAAAAAUCUUCCAUUUGUUCUGAGCAGCCAAAGAAAUAAUAAGUCUAAUAGUUUUAAGUCGAGCUACAGGAGCAAAUACCUCGUCAUAGUCUAUGCCAGCCUUUUGACUAUAGCCUUUUGCAACUAGCCUCGCCUUGUGCCUUUCAAUUUCUCCCUUCGCAUUUCUUUUUGUUUUAUACACCCAUUUGACACCGAUCGCCUUGUGACCUUUUGGAAGAGUAGUAAGCUCCCAAGUAUCAUUCUUCACAAUGGCUUUGAUUUCUUCAUCCAUUGCAAUUCUCCACUUCUCAUCUAGUGCAGCUUCUUGGAAGUUGACUGGCUCACAAUCAGCAAAGAGGCAAAAGAGAGUGAGAUUAUCAUGUCUCUCAGUUACCUCAUAGAGAUCUUGAAGACUCCUUGCACGUUCUUCGGUUCUUUCAUUUAAGAAAGACGGCGGUGAAUCUCCGCAUGUGGUUGGUGCUGGUGAGAUAGGUGGAGUGGCAGGCUCUUGUUGUUCGUCUACUUGUUUUACCUGUGUAUGAUCAUCUUCUUCAAUGGGAAAGAAGUUGAAGUCAUCCACACCAGAGCCAAAAUCUCAUUCUCCUUCUUCAUCAAAAAUUACAUCUCGACUGAUCACAAUCUUUCCGUUGUUUGGAUUGUAAAGCUUGUAUCCUUUGGAGUUGUUGUCGUAGCCGAUGAAGAUGAACAACUCACUUUUGUCAUCCAGCUUGGCUCUACUUUCGUCUGGUACAUGUACAUGGGCAAUGCUUCCGAAAACUCUUAGAUGGGUGAUGCCAGGUUUUCUUCCACUCCAAGCUUCUUGUGGCGUCUUGCCCCACACGCUUCUUGUUGGAGAUCGAUUGGAUAAGUAGAUUGCACAUGCAACUGCUUCAGCCCAAAAUUCUUUAGGUAGCCUCUUACUCUUAAGCAUGCUUCUUGCCAUGUCGAGGAUGGUUCUGUUCUUCCUUUCUGCAACACCAUUUUGUUGGGGGGAUCUUGGAACUGUCAAAGGGCGUCGAAUUCCAUUUGCUUCACAAAACUCUAAAAAUUCUUUGGAAGUGAACUCUCCACCUCGAUCAGAUCUCAUGGCUUUAAUCUGGUAUCCACUUUCUUUUUCAACUGCAGCUUUAAACUUCUUGAAAGCUUCAAAGACUUCUGAUUUUUGCUUCAAAAAAUACACCCAAGUUUUUCUUGAAAAAUCAUCUAUAAAAAGAAUGAAGUAGUUACUUUUACCAAGGGAGUUUGGCUUGAAUGGACCGCACACAUCAGUAUGAAUGAGCUCGAGUGGCUUCUGAGCUCUUGAGUUUGACUCCUUUGGAAAGCUCUUUCUGAACUGCUUGCCAAGUAAACAUCCUUCACAAAGUUGAUCAGGGUGAUUGAUGUAUGGUAAGCCUUUCACCAUGUUCUUCUUAGAGAGUAGCUCCAGUCCUCUAAAGUUGAGAUGCUCAUAUCGAAGAUGCCAAGUCCAGGAUUGAUCUUUGUGACAGGCUUUGAGACAUUUUGCAACAUCAUUUUGAAUAUUUAAAGGAAACAUUCUAUUCUUUGACAUUCUCACUUUUGUAUUUAGAUUUCCUUUUUCAUCUCUUAGAAAAAGACUAUAAUCUUUUAAGUGAAUAUCAUAGCCCUUUUUCUAAAAGUUGACCUAAACUAAGAAUGUUGCUUUUCAUAUUGGACACAUAGUAAACAUUCGAAAUUAUUUGGUGGCUACCAUCUUUUGCACGAAAAAGAAUGUUACCUCUACCCUUCACUGGUACUUUUGAAUCAUCUCCAAAAGUGACACUGCCAUUCACAAAUUCACUUAGUUGCACGAACAUGCUUCUGUUUCCACUCAUAUGAUUGCUAGCACCUGUGUCAAGAUACCAUGUAUUUUCUUGACCUCCAUUUGUGUCAUUGCGUGCUAGUAAAAGUGUGUCAUCUUCACCAUUUUUCUCUUCAGCAUAGUUCACUCUCUCUUUAAUUCUGGUGCUUGGAGCUCUGCAUUCUGAAGCAUAAUGCCCAAACUUUUGACAAUUAUAGCACUGUACUUGGGAUUUGUCAUACCUCGAUCUUGAAUUGCCUCUGCCUUGUUCUCUGGUUGAGCUUUCUCCUUUGGCAUAAUUGGAGUUGUUGUUGUUGAAAUUCCAACCUCGUCCAUGACCACGACCUCUACCUCGUCCUCGACCUCUACCUCGGACAUAGUGCCUUCUCUCAUUGUCGGAGCUUUCUUCUCUUUUCUUUGGAUUGACUUCCAUCUUGAGAAGUUGUUCUUCGAUUCCUUGCUUCUUUUUUUGUUUUUCUUCAUAGGCUUGCAACCUUCCUUGAAGUUGCUCGAUCGUCAUAUCCUCCAGAUCUCUUGUUUCUUCAAUUGUCAUAACAAUAUGAUCAAACUUCGAGUCUACUGAUCGAAGUAUCUUUUCAAUGAUCCUUACCUCUUUUAACUCCUCGCCAUUUCUUUUUAAUUCAUUGGAAACGGUCACAACUCGAGUAAAGUAGUCAGAAAUUGACUCCGACACCUUCAUGUGUAAGGACUCAAAUUCUCCUCGUAAUGUUUGGAGACGAACCUUCUUAACUUGCUCUGCUCCUUUGUAAGAGGUCUUUAGUUUCUCCCAUGCUUCUUUUGAGGAGGUUGUACCAGCAAUCUUUUCAAAAGCAUCUUCAUCUAAUGAUUGAAAGAUGAGAUACUUUGCUUUAUUCUCUUUCUUCUUCAAGUCUUUUAAAUUCUCCUUCUGCGCCGCAGUUAAAGUGGCUUCAUUUUCUGGCACAAUAAAGCCUUUCUCCACGACAUCCCAUACGUCAUGUGCACUCAAUAGAGCCUUCAUUUUAAUACUCCAAUUGUCAAACUUACUUCCUUUUAAUUGUGGAACUUGAAAUGACAUCAUCAUACCACCGUUUGCCAUAACUCACAAAUUGAGUGAGAAUUUGGAGAUUCUGAAUGCACAGAUGGAUCCGGCACGUCGAAAAACCUUGGGAAGGACUCGAGUCAACUUUCGGUCAACGGUCAACGUCGGUCAACGGUCAACACCGGCUUGGUAGUCUCGGUUCGGUCCGGAUUGGUUCAGCUCGAGUUGGCUCGGUUCGACUUGAUUCGGUUCAGCUCGGCUCGGCUUGGUUCAGUUCGGCUCAGCUUGGUUCAACUCGGUGAGUCGACUCAGCUUCAGGACAUAAAACUUCCGGCGGCAGGUGUGGGCGCGUACGGUCUCGGAUCGGGAUGAUUUUUGCGGCGUCACGUUCCUCUCGUCGAGAUCUUCGAUUUGAUAUGCUAUAUGACUAUAUAUAGCAUCAAACACUAGCUCUGAUACCACUUUGUUGGAGGAUUAACAAUUAAAACACACAAAAAACACACUAUUUUAUUUCUUCAACAACACUCCUCACCAAUUACAACUCUUAUUUUUCACUCUCUACACCUUAGAGAUUUUGCUGCUUCACUUGAUGUUUAAACCAAAGGGGAGAGGGGGUAUUUAUACAUGAAACAAACUAAUCACAACCAUUAAUUUAUUCAACUAAUAAACACAUCCUCACCAUCCAUUAAAACCUACUACUCACCUACUUCACCAACCACACCUAACACACCUAACACAAAUAAUUCAAACCUCACCAACCAUACCUACUCAUGGAACCUUCCAUGAGUUGGGCUUGAUUUAUUCAUCUUGGAUCAAGUUUAUGAUCCAACACCAUUAUCCUAUUACUCUUAUUUUAUCACAUGCAGAGACGUCAACGUUUGAUUCGCACGGAAAAAAAUUUGCGAGGAUUGUGAGGGUUGAUUCAAUAUAAUUUAGAUGCAAAGUGUUUACAAGUGCGAUGCUUCGUAAGUGCACCCGAAUCAUUAUAAACUCACCUUAUUUUCAUAGUGAUUAUUUCAUCUGCAUGUGAAUAUAAUCAUAUGUGGAGAUUUUUUUUUUCCCUAAACGAUGAUCUUCUCUAGUAUUGAGGUGUUAUAUCUUUUAAAUUAUAAUUAUUAUUAGUAAAAAACUGCAACUAUGAAAAAUAAAUUUAAUAUUAUGUCCUGAAUAUAAUUGUUAAAUAAUAAUUUUGACAAAAUUAAUGAAUAUAUACAGAUUUUUUUAUCAUAUAAAUGUAAAAUUAUAUCAACUUAGCUUCUAAGCUAUACAACGGUUACUAUUUACUAAAUACUUUAGUGUCGUAGUUUUUAAGAUAUAUUUAUCCACCCUCAAUCCCAAACAUAACCUGUAAGGAUAAAAAAUUUCAUCCUAAAAAUUAUACGUCUUGUGACUUAUUUAAUUUAUAUUUUUGUUAUUUAUAUUUAUUAAUUAUAGUCAUCUUUUAAUAAAUUACAAUUGAAGGAAGGUGGUUGAUGUUGUCGAGACACACACACAAAGAUAUAUUGGAAGUGCUUAUGUCCACUCGAAGUUGUGGGGAGUUAAUGCAUGUAUUGAUUUAUUGGGAGUGUUAAUGCAUGUAUUGAUUGAUUGAGUGAUUGAAUACUGUUUGAUUGCUUCAUAUCAAUUCUAGAAAGUUUAUUUCUUUGUGAAAUUUCAACGAAACGUGUUUUUUAGAAUAAUAAGGGUGUUUUAAGUAAUUUUAAAAAAUGAAUGGACUAAUUAGAAUUAAUUAUUAGGUAAUUAACUCGAAUUGUAGAGGGUAAGCAAACAUUUAUCCUAAUUAUAUUAUGAUAAAUCCUUUUCCAAUUAGAAUUAGGAAACCAUAGAUAUACUGAAUUUUUUUUUAUUUCCCUUCGCGAAAACGGAUCAGAGAAUUAGAAAACAAUCCUAGUGAUACUAUUGUUAGGUUUAAAACACUGCAUAGAUGGUAAAAACAUUGGAAUUGAUGUAGAUUAAUUUGUUAAUUGCUAUCGUACUGAACAUUGUUUUAUGCAAAUUAAUUUGAGAAUUAGAAAAAAGUUUGUUGCAUGCAAACUUUUUGUUUUAUGCAAAUCGUACUGAACAUUGGGACUGAUGUUUAAGAAAAAAAUUCUGUAGUUAAAGAAAAACAAAAAGGCAUGUUGAAUAGAUUACGAUAGUUUAUUCAAUUGGGAAUUUUUUUUCUUUAAUUUUUGUUGUACUUGAUUGAGAUUUCUCUUUAGUCCUUUCGUACUUCCUUUGUAAGCUGAGUAUAAGGAUGAAAUUCUUUUAAGAAAUUAAAAAAGAAAAAAAAGCAUGCCACUACGCAAUUAUAAAUAACCACAAAUAAAUAUAAACAAAAUGUUUAUGAAGUAAAUUAAACAUGCACAUAUUAUUUUCUUUUAUUUGCUGCUUGGAAACCCAUAAAUGCACUAAUCCAAUAUUACAAUUAAUUUCAAACAGAAAAAAUUGAACUCUAGGCUGCAGUUUGACUCAAAAUGAUGACCACUGGCUUCGCACCAUUCAACCGGUAUACAUUUCUACAAACCGAACAACGCUAUUGAUUUUUAUUUUUUUUUUUAAUUUGUCUAUAAAUUACUAUUUUAAUUUUCACUUUUUAUUGGGUUGUUUAACGGAUUAGUGAAGCUGGUGGUCGUUGAUGCACUCAUAAGGUACAAUUUUAUUUUAGAAUUUCAAAUUCGUAUUUUAAAAUGCAGGCACAUUAUGUAUACAUAAUUAUUGAUUUUCAUAUGUGGGUGUUUUGAAAUAUUGCCAAAAGACCAAACUUUAAUAAACUAUUUUUGAUUUUUUUUUUCCUUUUUACCUAAAGUUGGAGUGAUAUCCGCAUUUUAAAUUCAUGUGGAACAAAGCUAAUGUAAGCACAAAAUUCUUUUAUUUUUUCCGAGAAAAAUGGGUAAGAGAAGAAGAUUUUUCUCUUGAAAAAUGAAAAAAAAUACAAUGCAAGCAUAGGAAAGAGGUCAGUGUUUUGGAUUUGAAUUUAGUAUUGAGCUGAAUUUUAUGCUAAGCUCUUUUAUAGUACUGCGAUUAAUAAGCUAGCUCAGGAUUUGCUUUUGCUUUUACUUCAAGUAAAAGAAAGAGGAAGCCUUUUGUUUUUUUGUUUGAUUUUUGACUAUAUAUGUUACCUAUAUAGAGAGUUGAGGUAGCAGCCUUAAGUGAUGGUGAUAAAAAGAUUAAGCAGUGCACACAAUCUUACUGUCAUCCAGACCAUCCAGUGAUGGCUCUAGUUUUUUUGUUACGUUAGCUUUAGUGGAAAGAAGGGCCAAUUUAACAAAGACUAGAUUUGGUGGCUUACUAUGUUUAAUGUAAUGCUUAUUCUCAGCGCACACAAUCUUACUAUGUUUAAUGUAAUGGUUAUGUUGAAUGAUCUUCUAUGAUUGUGAGUAGUAUAGUAUAAUUGAAAAGGGCCUGGGCUCCUAUGAUGAAUAACAGUAACACAUUACUGUGAUUGAGAAAACUCAGUUCCAAUAAACUCUUCAUUUACUCAUUGCGGAGAUCGAAUGGCAAACAGAGAAUAGAAUGAAGCAGAAGAAUCUCAUUGUUAGGUUUUGAUGAUUUCAGAUGCUUUUUUUUUAAAAAAAAAUUGUGACAUCUUUGAUUUACGGCAGUUUUGCAGAAAAAAAAAACAUAUAAAAAUUAAGAGGGAUGAGUUAACUGACGAUUACAAUCAUUACAGCAAUGCUGAUGAGUGAUAUAUCACUUGAAAUUUACUUGUCAGUUGCUGAAAUGAUGAAAAAAAACCAACAAACGAUAACAGUAAUAAUGUUCCCUUGCUGAAAUUCAAUUUUGACUUUCGACUCUUGGCUUUUAUGGAGAGUAAAAUGACUUGUAUAUUAUACUCAUACAAUCCACUCUACAUAAUGAUAUCGUUUUAAUAAGGCAAUGGCUGAUGAUCUCCAUUUAAAAACUACAUCAAUUUUUUUGCUUCAUUUAACUUUUUGGUUGUUGAAAAUAACCUUAAUUAUCAAAUAAUUGGAGAAAGAGUUAAGAACAUUUAACAAAUUUAUGUGCAAAAAAAAAAAAAAAAGGAAGAAGUUGAAGAGAAAGGGUGCUUGCAGAAGUGGGUGUCAAAGAUAAAUCGGUCCAUAAGAAUUAUUGUGGUUAUUUUUUGGCAAUAUAAAAAUUUUUUAGCAAGUAAAAAUAAUUUUUUUUCCGAUUUACUAAAAAAUUAACUAAAAACUUCUGCGAUGUCAUUUUUUAUGGGUGCAUAUACCCUCCCUUUAAAAAAUUUAUAAUAAUUACUGCUUAAUAUAGUAUUAAAUACGAAAAAUAUCAAUAUUUGACUACUCAAAUUUAUAUCAUUAGGUCCUUAAAAUUUAAAAUGGAAGAUAUGAAAGGAAAUAUAUAUAAAUUUCAUUGUCCUGGGAAAGGACCCUCUUAUUAUCUUAUAAUAUUUGAAAUUUGAUAGAUUUUUUGAAACAAAUGUACUUUUAUUUGUGUACAAUCAAUAUUUACUCAUUUAUUAUAUUUUAAUUUAUUAACUAUCAAUCAUGUAAGUAUACUUAGUCAAAAAAAUUAUAUCAAGAGAGAAUUCUAAUUUCACGCAAAAACAAAUACCAAAACAAAUAUCUCAAUUUCUAUACUAUUCACUUUCCUGUAGAAUCAAUUAUUUAAAAUGCAAGUUUGUGGCUACAGAAAACUCGCCAAAGAAAGAAGAUAAUAACAAUUGAGCAUUGAUGGCAAAACUAAUGCAUCCAAUUCUUCUUGACUUGAUGAGAUGGCGCCAUAACGUAGAAACAAGUACCUAAAUUGACCGGCACUGAGUGGUGUGAAUACUACCAGCCAGUUCAUCUCUUCCAGUCUUGCUUAAUCACAAUCACAAACACCACGAGAUCGACAUUUGCAUUAUAUAUAUCUUCUGCAAUCGAAACACCUUGCAUUACCAAAUAAGCCCGUAACAGACAAAGCAAUCUUUCAUGGAGAGAAACCUUAGUCUCAGUAUGAUCACUGUGUCAUUAACGUACUGCCUGCUUCUUUGCUUGGUUGCUGCAGCAGCAGCAGCGGCAAGCAACAAUAUUACCACAGACCAACAAGCUCUUCUUGCCCUGAAAGAUCAUAUAAUUUAUGAUCCGACCAGCCUUUUAGCUCACAAUUGGACCUCGAAUACCUCUGUUUGUACCUGGAUUGGCAUCACUUGUGAUGCCAAUAGCCAUAGAGUCACAACCUUAGAUAUUUCUCAAUUCAAUCUACAAGGCACCAUCCCUCCUCAACUUGGGAACCUCUCUUCACUCACAACACUUAAUCUUAGUCAUAACAAGCUUUCUGGAAACGUUCCCUCCUCCAUCUACACCAUGCAUACGCUAGAAUUUCUUGACUUCACUGAUAACCAGCUCUCUGGUUCAGUGACUUCCUUCGUCUUGAACAUGUCUUCAAUAUUAGACAUUCGUUUGACCAAUAACAGACUUUCUGGUGAGCUUCCGAAAAAUAUUUAGAGCUAUCUUCCUCAUUUGAAAGCCCUUUUUUUGGACAAAAACAUGUUUCAUAGCAAACUUCCUUCUGCUUUAUCAAAGUGCAAACAACUGCAACAAUUAAAUUUGAAGUUCAAUAAUUUAUCCGGUGCAAUACCAAAAGAAAUCGGCAACUUGACUAUGCUCAAAGGGAUAGACCUCGGCUACAACAAACUCCACGGUAUGUUCAUAAUACUAUACAAAUAUUAUCUUUCUUGAAUACUUUAGAUAAGAUCUUGUAUGUGAGAUUUUUUUGCAUCUAUAUUAAUUUUCCAGGUGAGAUACCGCACGAAAUCGCUAAUCUUCCAAAUCUAGAGGCUUUAGCGCUUGGAAUGAACAACCUAGUUGGUGUGUUACCAGCUCCAAUCUUCAACAUGUCAACACUGAAUGUACUUAUCCUCAUAAAUAACUCUCUCUCCGGUAGUCUUCCAUCAAGAAUGGACCUUUCACUUCCAACUAUUGAGCAUCUUAACUUUGCACUUAAUAGAUUUUCUGGAACAAUUCCUAGUUCCAUAACCAAUGCUUCUAAGCUCACAUUUCUAGAGUUGGGAGGAAACACAUUUUCGGGCUUUAUUCCAAACACAAUUGGUAAUUUAAGAAACCUUGAGUUGUUCGGCUUGGUUUUUAACUACUUGACAUCUUCGAGCUCAAAAUUGAGCUUUCUUUCCUCUUUGGCAAAUUGCAAGAAAUUAAGAGUCAUAGGCUUAACAGGCAAUCCACUCAACGGCAUCCUUCCAAGUUCAGUAGGUAAUCUUUCUAUGUCUUUGAAAACACUUCACAUCGCCAAUUGCAGUAUUAGUGGCAACAUUCCUCCAGCAAUUAGCAAUUUAAGCAACUUGUUGGCCUUAGUAUUAGAAGGCAAUAAAUUGACUGGACCAAUCCCAACUACAUUCGGCCAACUACAGAAACUCCAAGGCUUAGAUCUCGCAUUCAAUAAGUUGGUAGGUUCAUUCCCAGAUGAGCUUUGCCAUCUAGCUAGGCUGGAUGAAUUGGUCUUAUUUGGCAAUAAGCUUUCAGGAUCUAUACCUUCAUGCUUAAGUAACCUCACUUCUCUGAGAUCUCUCCACUUAGGGUCCAAUAGGUUUACUUAUGUCAUUCCCUCAACUUUCUGGAGCCUAAAAGACAUCUUGUUCUUUGACUUUUCAUCAAAUUUCUUGGUUGGUCCUCUUUCUUUAGACAUAGGAAAUUUGAAGGUGCUUCUAGGAAUAAAUUUAUCAGAAAAUAACUUAUCGGGUGAUAUGCCAGCCACAAUUGGAGGACUAAAAAACCUUCAAAUUAUGGACCUAACAUAUAAUAGACUGGAAGGGCAAAUUCCUGAAUCAUUUGGUGACUUGACAAGUUUGGAGGUUUUGAAUUUGUCAAAUAAUAAAAUCUCUGGGUCUAUUCCAAAAUCCAUGGAGAAACUCUUUUACCUUCGAGAGUUAAAUCUCUCUUUCAAUGAACUAGAAGGUGAGAUUCCUAGUGGAGAAAUUUUUACCAACUUCACAGUUGAGUCAUUUAUGGGAAAUGAGUUAUUGUGUGGUUUACCAAAUCUUCAAGUCCAACCAUGCAAACUUAGCAAGCCAAGGACAGAACAUAAAUCAAGGAAAAAGAUACUUCUCAUUGUGAUUGUUUUGCCAUUGAGUAUUGCUCUAACAAUAGCAAUCACUCUACCUCUCAAAUCUAAGCUGACCAAAUGUGGAAAAAGAUGCACAGUGUUGUCAAAUGAUAGUGUCUUGUCAUCACAAGCAACACUAAGAAGAUUUUCAUACUUAGAACUUUUACAAGCAACAGAUAAUUUUGCUGAAAACAACGUAAUUGGCAUAGGUGGUUUUGGUUCUGUUUAUAGAGCAAGACUUGAAGAUGGGAUGAAGAUUGCAAUAAAAGUGUUUCACCAGCAAUGUGCAAGCGCAUUGAAGAGUUUUGAGGCUGAAUGUGAAGUGUUAAAAAAUAUUCGCCAUCGAAAUCUUAUCAAAGUUAUCAGCAGUUAUUCAAACAAUGACUUCAAAGCAUUAGUCCUAGAAUACAUGUCCAACAGGAGCUUGGGGGAUUGGUUGCAUUCCAGCAAUUAUAUGCUGAAUAUAUUUCAAAGGUUGAACAUAAUGAUUGACGUUGCAUCAGCUUUGGAAUAUCUCCACUUCGAUCAUUUACCUCCUAUUAUUCAUUGUGACUUAAAGCCUAGUAAUGUAUUGUUGGAUGAAAAUAUGGUUGCUCAUUUGAGUGAUUUUGGCAUAGCAAAGCUUUUAAUUGGGGAGGAUGUGUAUGUCAUGCGAACAAAAACCCUUGCCACUAUAGGUUACAUCGCACCAGGUUUGCUUCAAACAACUUUUUUUUAGUUCAUUUUAAAUUUUCUAAAUCAUUGAUUUUUACGAUCCUCAUAUCAAAUUGUUAUUGAUUAUUUAUCUAAUUGUGAAAUUAAUUUGAUUCAUAGAGUAUGGCAUAGAAGGAGAAAUAUCUACAAAAAGUGAUGUUUACAGCUAUGGGAUUAUGUCGAUGGAAACUUUUACCAAGAAAAAACCCACAGAUGAAAUUUUUGUUGGAGAAUUGAGCUUAAAGCGUUGGGUUGAUGACUUGCUUCCUGAUUCAUUAGUGGAAGUUGUGGACAAAACUCUAGUAAGUGGAGAGGAAAAACAUUUUGCCGCAAAGGAGCAAUGUCUGUUGUCUAUCUUUAGUUUGGCUCUGGAGUGUACAAUGGAAUCACUGAAAAAGAGGAUCAAUGCAAAAGAUAUUGUUACCAGAUUACUCAAGAUAAGAGACACAUUGAGUAAAAGGAUAGGAAAUUUAAGUUAAUAUCGUUUGCUUUCAUUGAUAGUUAUUUUGAAUUCAUGUAAUAAGUGUACGAACCUUAUAUCUUUUCCUUUGAUAUUUUUUUCCUUGAGAAAACUAUUGUAGUCAUCUUAUUUCCAUGGGCAGAGUUGAUUUAGUUCUUCCAAGAAAUGCUACUGAUGACCUUUGUUUUAUACUUUCUCUUUUUUUGCAUGUGUUUAGGUAGAACAGUGGUUUGGCUGCAGGCUAAGAAGACUAACUACACUAAAAGAAUAUGAUUUAAUUUAUUAAACAAAACUUCAAGAAAAGUAUUUCACUGCCCCCAAUGCUUUGGACACCUACUGGUGGGUUUGUACGUGUCCUCAACUUUUUUUUGGAGCACAAAAUUCGAGUCCCAUGGAGACUCAAACAUUCCUUUCCCACAUCUCGAGCACGCUAAAUUUAUCAGACUGACAACUGGGACAUAUACAAGAGUGAAAUGUUUAGAGCACUCUAAGUUCGAGUGAAAGAGAUUAAUUUACAGAAAAUAAAGCCAAGGGUUCAGAAAAAAGUGCAAAGAGAAUAAAGGAACGUCUGAGCUAUUUAAAGCUUCAUGGAAAGUUGAAGGCUCUCCAUAUUUUGUUAGAAGAUAGUAUGCAACAUUGAUCUCUGUGACAUACUCCGAGUGCCACGUUGGCGGUCGUCUCUCACGAGUUGACCGACGAAUUUCUUGAGCCUCGGACUCGACUAGUUCUUGUUCCUCGUGCUCUGGUGCUGCUUCAGAAGAAUUUGAAUCUUUUGAAUUAUUUUUCACAUAUACCGGUACAGUCUCUGACUUUUCUUUUACAGUGCUAUCAUCCUCAUCUUUCCUUUGCAAUUGAUCUUCUAUAAAAAUAACAUCUCUGCUGAUGACGAUCUUGUGGGCAGUGGGAUCCCACAGACGAUACCCUUUUACUCCAUCAGCAUAUCCCAAGAAGAUACAUCUUCUAGAUUUUGCAUCCAGUUUUGUUUUUUCUUGAGCAUUGUACAUCACGUACACAGGACAUCCAAAUGUAUGUAGGUAGGAAUAAUCAGCUGGCUUUCCAGUCUAUAUCUCCAUCGCUGUCUUCAGCCCAAUUACUGUAGAUGGUGAUCGAUUUACUAUAUAACAGGCAGUUUUGGCUGCUUCUACCCAAAAUGAAUUGGGUAGACCAGCAGUCCUCAACAUAGCUCUUAUCCGUUCUGUAAUAGUUCUAUUCAUCCGCUCUGCCACUCUAUUUUGUUGAGGAGUGUAUGCCACCGUGAACUGUCUCUGAAUACCUUCUUGCUUACAGAAAACAAGAAACUCGCCGUCUAUAUACUCUCCACCAUUAUCUGUCCUCAAGCACUUGAUCUUUUUACCAGAUUCAAGUUCUACCGUGCUUUUAAACACUGGAAAUACAUCUGACUUUUUCUUAAUUGGAUACACCCAACAUCUUCUGGAAUAAUCAUUAAUGAAAGUCACCAUGUACUUUGCACCUCCCAUGGAUAUAUCCGGUGAUUCCCAAAUAUCAAAAUGAAUCAAGUCUAUAAUGCAUUUACUUCUAGCAAUAGAUCUACUGAAUUUUAAUUUAUGCUGCUUACUUGUAACACAAUGCUCGCAAAAUGGUAAACUUACCGAUUUGAGCCCCGGAAGCAAUUUUCGCUCAAAGAGAAUCUUCAAUCCUUGUUCUGACAUGUGGCCAAGUUUGAGAUGCCACAUCAUCGUUGACUCUUCUCCAUUUGACGCGACACAUGCAUCAGCCUCUUGUAGUGUUUCUCCUUUAAGCAUGAAUAAAUUAGCACCGAUCUUUUCUGCCUUCAUCAAUACAAACGCACCUUUAACGAUCUUCAUAAUUCCAUUCUCCACAUGAGUUUUGUACCCAUGACUAUCCAUUUGUCCCAAAGGUAAAAGAUUUUUCUUCAGGCCGUUGACAUGUCGUACCUCCCUAAUUGUGCGAAUUGUACCAUCAAACAUUUUUAUUUUGAUAGUACCAAUACCAACGAUCUCCAAGGCAUGAUCAUUACCCAUAUAUACAGAUCCUCCUGAGAUAGGUUCAUAUGUGUGGAACCAUUCUCUCCGAGAGGUCAUGUGUCAGGUAGCUCCUGAGUCUAUAAGUCAGACAUCAGAUAGUCGUUUUCUGCCUUCUAAAACAGUUGUUGCCUCGCUGUAGAGAAUUUCGCCAUCAUCCGAGGUACUUACGACACAACCCUGAGCAUUUGAUGACUUAGGUUCUUUGCCCACUCUUGUCUUCUAAUUACUCCAACACUCUUUCUUGACGUGCCCUUUCUUGCCACAGUUGUAGCAUUUAACAUUCUUCUUACUUCUAGAUUUUGAUCUACCAUGAUUUUGACUCCCAUUGGGGCCACGUUCCGUUGAUCUCCCUCUCGUCACCGAUAGCGCCUCCGCUUGCUGCGAACUUGCUUGUCUGUUUUUCUUAUUUUUUCGUCUGCUUUCCUCAUUUAAUACAGAGGCUGCAACAUCGUCGAAAACUAGACUGUCCACUGGAUUGCUGUUCGUUAGGUUGAUGAUGAGUUGAUCAUACGAAUCUGGUAGACUUUGAAGUAGAAGCUCUGCACGUUCAUUCUCCUCUAUAUUAUGACCCAACGUUGUAAGUUGUGAAAAUAGAGUCUUCAAGGUGUUGAUGUGAUCGGUUACCAUUAUAGAUUCCGCCAUUUGAAGAGUAUAAAGUUUCCUCUUCAAGAAGAUUUUGUUGUGUAGUGACUUGGCCUCGUACAAUUUUGUGAGAGUAUCCUAAAUUUCCUUCGCUGUAUUUUUCUUUGCCACACUGGAUAAUACUCCGUCUGCAAGUGCCAAGUGUAGAUCAGAAAUGGCAUUGCCAUCUAUCUCGUUCCACUUGUCAUCAGUUAUCUCCAUGGGCCUUUCUCCAAUUGCUUCCAAGUAAUUAUUUUUCCUCAAUACAACUUUCAUCUUAAUUUUCCACAACGAAAAAUUAUUUUCGUUAAAUUUCUCAAUUUCAUACUUUGCUGUCAUUUUGUUGAUAAAUAUUGUACACAAACUAGUGUAUCACCUUGAAUAGUUGUGAGUAUGUGUAAGAAUGCACACCAGAAAAGUUCCUAGGAAAGACUGGAGGGGUCACAAUAGUCCCACUUAAAACUCAGACUCCUUAAGCUCUUAUCGCCUUUGUGACAGAACUUUCCUAGACAUGUAUAAAACCACACAAUUGCUUUACUCACACCACUAUUCCCUGCUUUGUACCGCCAAAUUCUUCGAUCGCUCCCACCGUUUCACGUGAAUAGUACUGUAUACGUGAACAGUACCGUGUACGUGAAUAGUAUCCCUUACGUGAACAGUACCCAACUCUAAAAAAUACAAUAAAUAGCUCUGAUACCACUGUUAGGAAAUUGGUGGGUGAAGCAGGACCGCAGCUAAUAUGAAAUUGGAAGAAAAUAAAGAACAAGGACAAAAAGAGGAUACCAGAAAUUACGUGGUUCGGCUUUUAACCUACGUCCACGGGCGAAAACAGAAGGAAAUAUUUUACUCGUAAAAAGGAGUUACAAGUAUUGUAGUAUUUUAGCUCACUUUCCAAAAUCCCAAUACACCCAAACUCUCAAAACACUAAAACAAGAGCUUAUAAUUUCAAGCUCUCUAAACUCUCUCUAAAUACAAGAAAACUCUUCUCAAAAUUGGAUAAGCAAAUGAGGGAAUGAGCCCCUCUAUUUAUAGCCAAAAUCUUGGCUACUAUUCACUUUUUUUUAAAAAUUAUUUAUUAUUGUUCAAAAUUUCAACAUUCAAAGUUUGAUAUUCAAACUUUGAAUAUCUAGAAUUUUGAAUUUGAUAUUCAAAGUUUGAAUAUCUAGAAGUUUGAAUUUGAUAUUCAAAGUUUGAAUAUCAAGACACCCAAUCUUGACACUAAAUUCACCAGACUGACAACUGGGGCAUAUAGAAGAGCGAAAUAACUGGGACAUAUACAAGAGUGAAAUGUUUAGAGCACGCUAAGUUCGAGUGAAAGAGAUUAAUUUACGGAAACUGAAGCCAAGAGAAUAAAGGACAACACUUACGUGAAGCGACAUAAUUGUAUUGAAAGCACAAUGUCAAAUUCAUACGGAGAUCUAGUAUAUUAUUUACAGCUGGUGAGGGCUAAGAAUUGAUGUAGCUAGAAUACAAAGACGAUAAGGUAUGUUGUGCACUAUUGUUUUAUUCUACGAUCAAUCUUGACCCUUGAUGCUUGGCUCUCAAUCUUGUCCAUUGAUCUUCUUUGAUUUUGGACACUUCAAGACCUUUCAGUAUCAUUCCUUGUUGUUGGUGUCUUCCGUGCUGUAGAAUUCAUAUACAAGCCUUCCCGCCGACUUGCCAAGUAUUCGUUCAUUGAUGCAUUUUUAUCAAACAGCUGGGCUACUUAUGCCAAACACCGCCUGGUUUAACUCCCCCUCUCUAGCUCAACUAUCUGGGAAGACAAUUAAUUGAGAUAUGAAUCAGAAAAUUAAAUUUUAAAAAUUGUAUUCGGACUCUACAUUUUGUAAUGAACAUUGGUUUGACUUGUUAUACAUUUAUGCGUACAUAAUUAAUAACCGAUUCUCAAGUGCGGACAUUCAAGAGCACUGCUUAAAGACCAAAUAUUUUGAUUUACUAUUUUUUGUCUUUCAAUUUUCUUUUAAGUUCUGAUGACGUCCGCAUUUUAAAAUCCUGUGGAACAAAGGCCUGACGUGCAUAUAAAAUUCUUUUAUUUUUUCAGAGGAAAAUGGGUUAGAGAAGAAGAUUUGGCAAAAGAAUUGCAACGGCAUUUGAAACUAGUCUUCGUCUUUUAAUUCUUUUAUAUUUGUUUUUGUUAUUGAUGUUAGCUUGGAUGUGAACCCGUGUGACUGAAUUCAACUUAUAUUUGUUUUUGUUAUUGUUAUUAAUUUUAUUUGUUUUUGUUAAAUUGGACCACCAACAAGGGCGGUCCAUUAUCAAAUCAACACGGUUUAAUUAUUAUUAUUUCUACACUUUUUUUAUGAACAAAUAUAAAAUAAAAGGACAUUUACACCCUCAAUUUUAGUGAAAUAGUCAUUAACACCCCUAAAUUUUUAAAAGUAGACAUCAAGAUCAUUUUUUUACCUUAAUACUCUUAUACGGUACCUCUAUUAUUCCCAAAAAUUGAUUCUAAUGUUUUAUAAUAAAUAAAAAUAAAACAUUAAAAUAAAUGUAAUAACAUAUAUAUUUUAAAAUAAUUUCAAUAUUUAAAAAAUAUUUUUAACAUUUUACAAUCUAUUAACUAUAUUUUAUUAUAUUGAAGUAAAUUUUAUAAUAAAUAGAAUCAUAUUAUUAAAAUAAAUGUAUUAAAAUUUAAAUGAUUUUGAAUAUCAUGUACAAUAAUAAUUUUAACAUUACUAAUAUGUCAGAUUUUUUUUUAAGAAUGUAUUUAGUGCAAAUAUUUCUUUCAAAUCUCCACAAUAAAUAAAAGAUUAAAAUAAAUAUAAUAAUUUACAUAUCUAAAUUUAUUAAAAUAUUUUAAUAUUGUUAGUCUACUGCAUAGAUCACAAUAUUUAUAUAAUAUUUGUAUUUAUUAAAAACUUUAAAAUCAAUUCUUUUGAGAAUAAUAGAGGUAAAGGGUAUAAUGGUCAAAAUGGGGACUUUGUACUCCUUUUUGAAAACUUGAAGGUGUUGGUGGCUAUUUUUCCAAACCUUCAGGGUGUAGAUGUCAUUUUUCCACAAAUAUAUGAGAAAAUUAUCAAGAAAUACAGUAUCUGAACUCUGAAGUAACAAGGAUCACCUUUUAUGAAAUCGAUUGCUUUUCAUGAUAGACUGUUACUAUUUUUCUACAAUAGAUUGAAUUUAGUAAAAAAUUGAUUAAGAUGUCUACUCAUGGAGAGUGAAAUUUAUGUUCAAUACUAAUUUCAACAUGCAUGCACCACCGAACGUGUUUCUCACGGAAAAGUUGCUUGGAUUUUUGGGACUUCCUGUUCAAAUAUUCAACACGGCAUGCACCACGCGAUUGAACAUGCAAAAGUAGGGGUCUAUUAUCAUUUCCAGCAUUAUAGAAAUCUUAAUUUUGUUCAUUAUUUAUUUUGAUCAGCACUGUUGAAUCUCCAUGUAUUGCCAAUCACUGGGAAACAACAUAUUCUUAUUAAUUAUAUCCUCUAAUGGAGAGAACUCAUUGUCUCAGUGUAAGAUCACUGUGUCAUUAACCCACAGCCUGCUGAUUUGCUUGGUUGCUGCAGCAAGCAAAAAUAUUACCACAGAUCAAAAAGCUCUUCUUGCCCCAAAAGAUCACAUAACUUAUGCUCCAACCAAUCUUUUGACCGAAAAUUGGACCUCAAAUACCUCUGUUUGUACGGGGAUUAGCAUCACUUGUGAUGUCAAUAGCCGCAGCCUUGGAUAUUUCUCAAUUCAAUCUACAAGGCACCAUUAUUCCAAACACAACUGGUAAUUUAAGAAACCUUAAGUGGCUCGGCUUGGCUUAUAAACUACUUGACAUCUUCAACUUCAAAAUUGAGCUUUCUUUCCUCUUUGGCAAAUUGCAAAAAAUUAAGAAUCUUAGGCUUACUGGAAAUCCACUUGACCGUAUCCUCUCACGUUCAAUAGGUAAUCUUUCUAUGUCUUAGGAAAGAUUUCACGUCGCCAAUUGCAGCAUUAGUGGCAGAAUUCCUCAAGUAAUCAGCAAUUUAAGCAACUUGUUGGCAGUUGUGCAAAAUUUUAAUAUACUCGCAAGUGCACGAAUCUAGAAAUAGAAUAAUGGUAAUGAGGUCAAACCCAUAGGGAUUGUUUUAAAAUGACAAAAGAAUAGCUGCUGGUCUAGAGGUGGCUUACUACAUUCAUACAAGAUCGUUUCUUGUUCUCUAAGAUGUGCAUUAUACUAAUAAUGCUAUACAAACUUAUCCAAAGGUCUAUUAAUUAAUUCAUUAAUCCAACGGCUUGUUAGGUUGUCCUUUCAUCCAUACAGCUGCAUGCUUGUCUUCAUAUACACUGAUCUUAUCCUCUAGAUCUGUUCAGGCUGAGUGAUCUCUCACAUUUGCCAUAUCAGAAGAUUACAUGCCAGUAAUGUCAUGUGAUGACCUGUUGCUUGGUGAUGUCGAAUGCCUGGCCUUUACUUCUCUGAGCAAAUUGAUCAAACAAUUUGUUCAUUUUAUCGAACACCUUCACCAACUAACAUUUUAUUUACUUUGGAUGGUUUUUAAGUGCAUUUAAUGAUUAUUUUUGCUCCAACUUCAGAUAAACCAAACGCCAGUAUAUUAGAAGAAGAAGUUAACUGGCAGCUAACCAGGUCAAAAUAGCGACUCUAUAUAAAAAAAAUAUAUAAAAUAAAAAAAUGGGACUUUAUUUAAUUAAUUGUUGGUCUAAAGCUGUUGGUAUCCGUUGGCCACGUUUCUGAAGAGUCAUCUCAAAUCGAAAUUUUUAACGAACAAAGGACAUUGCUGCUGGCUGCCGCCCGUGAGAUAAAAGUGCUAAAAUCCAAAAUGUUCCACCAUCAUUUAUUCUAAUUUUAAUUUUCCAAUGGAAAAAAUUACAUAAUUAAAAUGGCUUCUAAUAUCAUUUCCACACCUCAAUAUGUGUCACUAUCAUAAAGUUGUUCUCAUGAUUCAUGGAAAAUUUGGAUUACAGCACCUGUACUUUCUGAUGGUUCAUUAUUUAUUCUCAGGAAUCGAGUCUCCUUACAUUACCAAACUAAUAACAAACAGGAAUCUUUUAUCCUUUCACGGUGAGAAAUUACAGUCUUCGUAUGAUCGCAGUGCCAUUAACCCACUGCCUGCUUCUUUACUUGGUUGUUGCAGUAGCAGCAGCAAGCUACAUUACCACAGACCAACAAGCUCUUCUUGCCCUGAAAGCUCAUAUAAGUUAUGAUCCAACUAAUCUUUUGGCUCAAAAUUGGACCUCAAAUACCUCUGUUUGUAACUGGAUAGGCAUUACUUGUAAUGUCAAUAGCCAUAGAGUUACAGCAUUUGGAUGAAUUUUUAUUGAAACCUUUCUGAGAAGUAGGACAUGUCAGACAUCAAAGCACUGAGAUAUCUUCAAAUAGUGGUAACCCCACUCAUCAAGGCACAAUAAAUUAUACAGAUAAAAUCCUCCACUCUUUCGUAAUCAUCGGUGUAGGCACGGUGAUGCGUCGGACAGAUAUGGGUCGGAUCCACUCCAGCUCCAUAUCAAGAUUCAUAAACCAUGACAAAAAUAGAGAAUCAUAGGUGUUGCAGAUAGUGAUGGUUGUUGAUGCACUCGUAAUUUAAAAUUUUAUUUUAUAUCUUCAAGUUCGCAUUUUAAGUGUACAUUUUUUUUUUAUUUUGUGAUCAAUAUAACUUGUCAAAUCUAUUUUUAAAUAAUUUUUUAAAACAUUUUAUUAACAAUGAUAUGAAAAUAUUCGACCCCUUUUCAUAGUAAAGUGAAUUAUUAUCCGACAAUCCAACUCAUGUUUUCAAAUUGUAAAUUGCAAAUCGUGUGUUUGCUCCUGUUAGAGUGCAAUUUAUGCACUAGUUUUGCAUUGUUUACUUCCCUUAAUAUCGAUGUUUUGCACUUAAUAAUAAUGAUUUACUUGUGUUUUACUUUUGUAGGUGCAAUUCUAUUGAUUUGUGAUAAAAUUGAGCUAUAAGAUGAUGUUUAAAGAUGAUUGUUCUCUUGGAGAAAUGAUGAGCGUCAGAAGAACUUUGUUGAUAAGGCGUGAGCGCGUGCUGUCAACUACGGGCCUGCUGUUUUUAGUUUAACGUGUUUUGUAUUUUUGGUUAUUUUUGUAAUUACGAAUUUAAUAUUUCAGAUAUUAGUAUUUUAUUUUAAAUAGAAUUCUAGAGGAGAAGAGAGAGAGAGUAUUUAAGGGAGGAAUCUAUUGUGAAAAAAGGGGAUUUUGGAUUGGAGGAAAAGAAAAGAAACCCUAGAUCUAAUUUUUCUCUUCUCUCUAUGAAGAACUAAACUUAUUUUUCUGGUUGAAGGAUAAUGAAGCUUUGAUUCAUCACUACUGUGAGAUCUUUCUUGUGCUUUAAUUGUUUUAUUGCUUUUUGGGUAUUUGUUUAUUCUCUGAAUUAUUUUCAUGAUUAUGUUUGUUAAUUAGAUAAUUGGCCACUAUUUAAUUAUCAACUUAAUCUAUUGUUAAUUAAAGGAUUUAUCGUAUGAAGAAUUUAAUGUUUGUGACAAAUAACAUAGCAGAGAGUUGUGUUGUGAGAAUAAACAAUCUAAUUUAAAUGAAUCAUCAUAUGUGUUGAUUAGGAUUUAGGUCUCUCUGGUUUUUCAGGCUGUCAAUUGAUUAAAUCCUAUGAUCGUAUCUAGGGUUGUCCAUUGAUUAGGGAAAUAUCCAACGGUCGUACCUUGGUUAUCGACUAAUUAAGGAGAGAUUGGCUAUUAGAGGGUCUCAGUAGCUAUAACCGGUCUAUUCAUAAGUAAUAAUAAUUUAUAUUUGAAUCAAUGAUCAGUAGUCGAAUCAAGCUGAGUUAAUUCCUUCAACCGGAGCUUUCUCCAAUUUGAAUUACAACUUUAAUUUGCAUUCUUGUUAUUUUAAUUUGAUUUUUAUUAUUGUCAACAAUUCCCCCAUUUUACGUUUUACGUUUCAAAAGGAUUUAAAUAAUUACCGAUCUCUGUGGACACGACCCUGCUCAAUCACUAUACACAAUUUAUUUAGAGUAGGAAUUUAUUUUUGUUGGCUUCGACAACCAUCAAAUUUUGGCACUGUUGCCGGGGAUUGGUGUCAUUUAUUUAAUCCUUUUUACGUUUUACUUGGUGUAUGAUUCGUUCUUCUCGUACAGGUACACUUUCGUUUGAUCCUGAAAUUGAGAAGAUAGCUCGCCACCUGAGACAGCAGACGAAGCGAGCUAAGCAACGAUCCUCGUCACCUUUGCUUUCUGAAACAGAUACGGUGCUUGAUUUAGUUGAAUCAUCUAGCGAUUCGGAAGAACAAGUGAUGGAUAGAGUUGCACCUGUAGAAAGAACUCUUAGAGAGUUAGCUGAACCAGACUUGAAUCAACAACCACUCUGCAUUCAAUAUGUAGACUUGGAGGUAAAUUUUGAAUUAAAGUCUGGUCUUAUUCAUUUAUUACCCAAGUUUCGUGGUUUUGCAGGUGAAGAUCCUCAUAAACAUCUUAAGGAGUUUCAUGUUGUGUGUUCAAGUAUGAGGCCACAAGGCGUGACUGAAGAGCAGAUUAAGCUGCGUGCUUUUCCGUUCUCUGUAGAUGGGCUAGCUAAAGACUGGUUGUACUACUUGCCUCCUGGAUCGAUUACAACGUGGAAUGGUUUGAAGAAGCAAUUCCUCGAGAAGUACUUUCCUACUUCAAGAGCUGCCAACAUCAGAAAAGAUAUUUGUGGGAUCAGACAACUUCCUGGGGAGACUUUGUAUGAGUAUUGGGAGCGAUUUAAACAAUUGUGUGCCAGCUGUCCUCAGCAUCAGAUUUCUGAUCAACUUCUUAUUCAAUAUUUUUACGAAGGACUGUCAUUGAUGGAUAGGAGUAUGAUAGAUGCUGCUAGUGGAGGCGUGUUGGUGAACAAGACCCCUACUCAAGCAAGGGAGCUGAUAUCAAAUAUGGCUGCCAAUGCACAACAAUUUGGCAGCAGGCAAGAUCCCACUUCAAGGAAGGUAAAUGAGGUAAAUAUUUCUUCUGUUGAACAACGUUUAGAUAAACUUACUUCUCUUGUGGAAAAGUUUGUUGUAGGUAAUGUGCAACAUAUGAAGACUUGUGGCAUUUGUUACAAUAUGGGUCAUUCAAUUGAUAUGUGUCCUACACUUCAAGAAGAACCCGUUGAACAAGCCAAUGCAAUUCAAGGAUUUCCAGGCAUGCCUCAGAGGAGGUAUGAUCCUUAUGCACAAACAUACAAUCCGGGAUGGAAGGAUCAUCCCAACUUCAGCUAUGGAGUUAGGCCGUCAGGAUUCCCACAACAGUAUCCACCAAGACAACCAGCACCUCCACAGUCAAACUCCAAGUCAGGUAUAUCUCUUGAAGAAAUUGUUAAAUCACUUGCGACUAACACUCAACAAUUUCAGCAGGCAACUACAGCAAGCAUUCAGAAUUUGGAGAACCAAAUGAGUCAAUUGGCGAUUACAGUGAGCCGUCUGGAGUCUCAAGUAUUAGGGAGAUUGCCUUCACAAUCUGAGGUGAAUCCAAAGCAAAACAUUAGUGCUGUCAUCCUUAGAAGUGGGAAGGAGUUGCAAGAGCCUAGUAAGAAAGUGACAAAGCAUGUAGAAGAUGAGUUUGAGAAGAAUGAAUUGAUGCCUCAAUCUCAAGAUGUGGAACCCACCAGAGCGAAACCCCUACCUAUUGUGAUACCUCCUCCUUUUCCAAGCCGGUUUGCAAAAUCCAAGAAGGAGGAACAAGAGAAAGACAUCCUUGAGACAUUUCGCAAGGUUGAGGUAAAUAUUCCUUUAUUAGAUGCUAUAAAACAAAUACCUCGAUAUGCUAAAGUCCUUAAGGAACUGUGCACCUCCAAGAGAAAAUUAAGAGGAGAUGAAAAAGUUCACAUGGGGGAGAAUGUUUCAGCAGUUCUCCAAAAGAAACUACCUCCUAAGUGCAAGGAUCCAUGUAUGUUUACUAUCCCUUGUAAAAUUGGUAGUGUUAGAAUUGAAAAGGCUUUGUUAGAUCUAGGAGCUGCUAUUAAUGUCAUGCCUCGUUCCAUUUAUUCAUCUUUAAAUUUGGUCCAUUAAAAGAAACUGGCGUGAUAAUUCAACUAGCUGAUAGGUCUAAUGCAUAUCCUGAUGGGGUAUUAGAAGAUGUCUUAGUACAAGUUAAUGAGUUGGUUUUUCCUGCUGAUUUUUAUGUACUUGAUAUGGAAGAGGAUAACUCCUCUAAUUCUGUCCCAAUUUUGCUAGGAAGACCUUUUCUUAAGACUGCUAGGACUAAAAUGGAUGUACAUAAAGGGACUCUUACUAUGGAGUUUGAUGGAGAGGUUAUAGAAUUCAAUAUGAAUGAUGCCAUGAAAUAUCAUAGUGAGGAACAUUCGGUAUUUUCUGUAGAUGUUAUUAACCCGAUAGUGCAGGAAGUUAUUUACAAGGAAAAAACGACGACAUUUCAUGAUAGAAUGAUUUUGUGAAAGGAGUUCUCUGUUGGUCAAAAAGUUCUUCUUUUUCAUUCUAAGCUUAAACUUUUUUCGGGUAAAUUACGUUCUUGCUGGGUUGGACCUUUUAUUGUUACUAAUAUUUUUCCUCAUGGUGCAGUUGAGAUUCGGAGUCCGACCUCUGACAAAGUUUCUAAGGUUAAUGGUCAUCGCUUAAAACCUUUUUAUGAAGGUUUUUCGGUGAAUAUUGUGGAGGAUGUGGCUCUCGAGAGUCCCAAUUAUGGAGAUUGAUGCAUAAAUGUGUCUAGCCAAAGACAUAAAACAAAGGCGCUUUUUGGGAGGCAACCCAAAUGAUUUAUUUAUUUUGGUUUUUGUUAUAUCUUCUUUUAAUUUUGAUUCUUUUUUUUUUUAAUGUGUUUGCUUAUUUUGGUCAGAAUAAAAUUUUUGAUAAGGCGUGUCCACGUCUUAACUAAUAAGUACUUCUGUGAUUUUUAAAGUAAAAUGGUUUUAAGGUGUGCCCACGUGCUUAUUAAAAAAGUGCAUCUGAAAUUUUUGUUGUCUCAAAGUGAUUCAUCACAAAAAUAAAAAAAAAAUUAUUUAUUUAUUAUUUUUUUUUCUAUUUAUUUUUUUUUAAAAAAACGAAAAAAAAAGGAGAUUUUCUUUUGUUCUUUCUUUUAUAUAUUUAUUUAUUUAUUUAUAAAAAAAAUUCAAAAAAUCACUGUUAAAAAAAAAAAUUUACUGUUCAUAAAAUCCCUAAUUUUCCAGAACUUGUUUUCUUCUCCAACCGCUUGCAGCACACCAGCAGCAAAGCAGCCCGCCGGAAAACGCACCACCCCGCGCGCGCAGCACCAGCAUCGAGCACCAUCCCGCGAGCGCAGCACCAGCAUUCUGUGUCUCGCAGCCCAGCAGCGCGCAACGAAGUCCCACCAGCGCGCAACGCAGCCUCACCAGCGCGCAACGCAGCCCCAACGCACAGCAAACGAGCACGCCCCGCAACGCAGAUCCGCAGCUCUAGCCCGCCCGCGCAGCGCAAAUCAAUCCAGCCAUCACCAUCGCGCAGCGCAUCGGUCCCGCGCGCGCAACGCAACGCAGCAUCAGCAUCCCACGUCCAGCGAGCAGCAACCCGCGCGCGCAGAUCUAGUCUUCGCCCAGCAGCGCGCAGAACCAGCGUCAGCCUAGCUCUCGCGCGCAACACAGCCCACGCAGCACGCAGAUCUAGUAGCCCCAGCGCGCGCGCACAACACAAUCAGCGCCAUCCCGCGUCCAUCAAGCAAGCUCCAGCCGAGCAGCAAUCGCAACGCAACCAACGUACGACCUAUAUUCCAGCUGGAUAAAUCGAAAUCCGUGAGUGCAAUUAUUGUAACAAUGCCGAAGAGAAAAGCAUCAACUUCCAAGUCAUCUAAAAAGACACCCGUCGCAAAUAAAUCCAAGAUUGCCGGUCCCACUACGGUUCCUUGGAACACAAUUUCAGAUUCACGCCAAGCCGUGAGACAAAGCUCGAAACAUGGAAAAGGCAUGAGUGUUUUGCCACUUGCAGAAUCCAAUCUUGGAGGGUGCCUCGCAUUCGCGACUCAACAAGAGAAAGAGAGGUACAAAGAUAUUUUCACGCACAAAAUACUUCCAGCUAAGUAUAUUCCUUACCUGACUCUUGAAAAAUUGAAUGUUAAGGAUAAUUUUGAUUCUUUGAUAGAUAAGAUUGGGUUGCGUAAGUUUGUUGAUGUUGAUUGUUUGGGUUAUGUUGAGUUGAUUAGGGAGUUUUAUGCUACUUUUCAAUUUAAUAUGUCGAAUGAUUUUACUUUGCAUACCCCGGAUGUCAUAAAGUUUAGGUUAAUGGGACGAAAUUUUUCACACUCUAUCACGGAUUUUAACCUAGCUUUAGGAUUCAUUGAUGAUGAUUAUUCUUCUAGUGAUGCAUAUUUAGGAACAACUUGUGACUUUAGCGAAAAUUUUGAGCCUUAUGGUCUUUGCCGUAAUUUAUCUGUUGAUCACAAUGCUUAUGACCCAAGUAAAUCAAAGAGUUCUUUCUUACGUGAUCCUGUUUUGAAAUGUGUGCAUCGAUUCUUAGCAUAUAAAUUUUUAGGCAAGAAAGAUCACUCAGGAGUUUUCUCUAAAACUGAAUUUUAUUUUAUCUGGUGCAUGUUAAAUGAUGUGAGGCCUAAUUUAGGUUUUUGGUUAGCGGAUUAAUUUCAAAGUGUGCUUAAACGGUAUAUGACUUUAUUUCUUGGUCCAUACAUUACUCUGUUAGCUGUAAACCUACCUAUGUGUGCUUGAUCUUGACAAUAAUGAUUUGCAUCUUGCUUGAUUUUUGGAUAUGUCUGAGUUUGAAAGAACAGGUGUGGUCGAAUUCAAGGAGGGGAGAUUUCAGUUUACUGAACCAGCACCCACUCAACCUCCGAAGAAGCUUUAUGCUAGAAGUGGUGCUACCUCUGAUGACGAGUUUGACGACGACACUGCUGCCCCGCCAACUAUUCCUUCUACAUCCGCACCACCUUUGAGCAUUCAGUUAGAGAAAAUGGAGCACAAGCUGCACAAGAUGGAGCAGAAUUUGGCCGCACACUUCGAGAGUGUGGGAUUUACCCCACCAUUUCCGCCAAGCCCAUAGACGUUAUGUGGAUCAAAGUUCACAAUUCAGGGAAGUUUCUUUUUGCCCUUAAUCUUUUAUCCUUACGCUUUAAUUUUUGUGUGAGCUUUGAUUAUCUUACAUUGGGGACAAUGUAAGUUCUUGGUGUGGGGGAGGGAUUUUUGCAUUAUUGAUGUCUGAAAUUAUUGUUUUCACUCUACUCAUCCUUAAAUGAUUUUGGAGUUAGUAUGCUUUAUAUAUUAUUAAUUUUCUUUUCCUUUCUCUCUCACUACUCUUUUCCCAUCUAUCUCAAAUUAUUUACAUCUAUUUUUUUUUCUAUCAUACUCUUUCAUCACUCACAUUUUAUCUUUCAUUUUUUUUACUACAUACAUCUUUCUCGCUUAUUAUCCUUUUUACCUUUCCUUUUAUAUCUCACUCAUACCUUCUUCUCAUUCUACACCACUAUUGAUGGUUGAUUCGUUUGAAGAGUGUACAGGAUUUGAUGGCAAAUUUACCAACUUUGUGAGGAUUUAAGCCUAUGAGCAACCACUUUGCUCUAAUUAUUUUUUGUUAUGUGAAUAUCAAUCCUAGUUUGUUUAUUCUAGAACUUGCUUUGUUAUGCAUGUUGAAGCCACAUUACGGGAUUUUAUGCAUUAAAAUGAUAAGGGCAAACCCUUUUCUAUUUUUCUAUUCUCCCAUUUUUUUUUCUCUAUCCGAAGACCUUUAUUUGCUAUCUUGGUUUGAGCCUUAACCAUUACCCAUCUAAUUCUCUCCGUCUACUUAACCAUUUUUCUUCUUUUUGAGCCUCAAUUUAAUGAGAUUUUUUUUGGACUCAUUGUGUGGAUAUAUUUUGUUGCUUUUUCUACCUUGUAUUAAAGUUUCUCAAUUAGAUCAACAAGCAUUAUGCUUGAAUUGAAUUGUGCAAGGUUCGUUUCUUUUGUUUGAUUCAAAAACAAAAAAAAAAAGAAAAAGAAAAAGAAAAAGAAAAAUCGAAAAAAAAAGAAAAAAAAUGUUUACAUUCUUGGUGACAUGAGUAGAAAUAAGCAUUUUGAUAUCAUAAGUUCAUUCAAUGAGUUCAUUCUUCUCAUUUUGAUCUCUUUUUCUUUCGUAAACCUUUCUUUUUCAUUCAACCUAUUUAACCCCAUUACAACCCUUUUAAGACCCUUAGAUUUUUGCAUUUUAUUCAUGUUUUGUGGAUUGAGAUGUGAUAUAUGAGCAAGCUUAUGGUAAUAGCAUUCUUUGAUUUGAUUUGAGUGAAUAAAUGACACCCUAAAUACUUUGAGUGCAUGGAGUGAAGUUAUUGAGAGGGCUAUUAAAUAUUGUUGCACUUGAAUUUUGAAUGGAUCUUCUUGGUGGUUGAAUGUUCUUAUUCUAUCUUAUGAAAUUCUAUGCUUUAAAAUCCUUGUCUCUAGAAUGUUGAUCGACUUAAUUUCUUGAGGUAUGCUUGCCUAAAAUUGUUUUUGGAUGAGUUGAGAUGAGAAUUGAGUGGAACUUUGGGAUUAAUCUUGAGUUAUAUGCUUGAGGACAAGCAUCAUCUUGGUGUGGGGGAAUUUGUUAGAGUGCAAUUUAUGCACUAGUUUUGCAUUGUUUACUUCCCUUAAUAUCGAUGUUUUGCACUUAAUAAUAAUGAUUUACUUGUGUUUUACUUUUGUUGGUGCAAUUCUAUUUAUUUGUGAUAAAAUUGAGCUAUAAGAUGAUGUUUAAAGAUGAUUGUUCUCUUGGAGAAAUUAUGAGCAUCAGAAGAACUUUGUUGAUAAGGCGUGGGCGCGUGCUGUCAACUACGGACCUGCAGUUUUUAGUUUAACGUGUUUUGUAUUUUUGGUUAUUUUUGUAAUUAUGAAUUUAAUAUUUCAGAUAUUAGUAUUUUAUUUUAAAUAGAAUUCUAGAGGAGAAGAGAGAGAGAGUAUUUAAGGGAGGAAUCUAUUGUGAAAAAAAGGGAUUUUGGAUUGGAGGAAAAGAAAAGAAACCCUAGAUCUAAUUUUUCUCUUCUCUCUAUGAAGAACUAAACUUAUUUUUCUGGUUGAAGGAUAAUGAAGCUUUGAUUCAUCACUACUGUGAGAUCUUUCUUGUGCUUUAAUUGUUUUAUUGCUUUUUGGGUAUUUGUUUAUUCUCUGAAUUAUUUUCAUGAUUAUGUUUGUUAAUUAGAUAAUUGGGCACUAUUUAAUUAUCAACUUAAUCUAUUGUUAAUUAAAGGAUUCAUCGUAUGAAGAAUUUAAUGUUUGUGACAAAUAACAUAGCAGAGAAUUGUGUUGUGAGAAUAAACAAUCUAAUUUAAAUGAAUCAUCAUAUGUGUUGAUUAGGAUUUGGGUCUCUCUGGUUUUUCAGGCUGUCAAUUGAUUAAAUCCUAUGAUCGUAUCUAGGGUUGUCUAUUGAUUAGGGAAAUAUCCAAUGGUCGUACCUUGGUUAUCGACUAAUUAAGGAGAGAUUGGCUAUUAGAGGGUCUCAGUAGCUAUAACCGGUCUAUUCAUAAGUAAUAAUAAUUUAUAUUUGAAUCAAUGAUCAGUAGUCGAAUCAAGCUGAGUUAAUUCCUUCAACCAGAGCUUUCUCCAAUUUGAAUUACAACUUUAAUUUGCAUUCUUGUUAUUUUAAUUUGAUUUUUAUUAUUAUCAACAAUUCUCCCAUUUUACGUUUUACGUUUCAAAAGGAUUUAAAUAAUUACCGAUCUCUGUGGACACGACCCUGCUCAAUCACUAUACACAAUUUAUUUAGAGUAGGAAUUUAUUUUUGUUGGCUUCGACAACCAUCAGCUCCAUUACAGAGUUUCAUCAAUUUGAAAUAGAGAAUCAUUUGUGUUCUAGAUUAAUCGAGGGUCUAUAUCCAAAUCUAAAAAUUGACUAACUUGGUUUCUAUUAAAUUCUUAAUCCUAACAAGAAAAAUAGAAGAUUAAAAAUGACUAAUUUGGUUUCUAUUAAUUUGAGUAACGAUCGAAUUACCUCAUUUAUUAAGAUUUAUCAAAAUCCUAUGUCAAAAUCCAUUAAUAAUAUAGGUUGGAUGAUGAAAUAGUCACUUAUUAUUAUUUUUGACUUCAUAAAUAGAUGAACGGAUGUUAUUUUUGGAUUCUGGAGAAUCCAAAAUAUCAGGAUAUGUGAUAAAUGGAAUUAAGUUGUAGAUAAGAUAGAAAUGGAUUUGGAGAGAGAUUGGAAUCCUGGGUAAUCCGGUGUACGUUGUUGUGUUGAAUGCUCGUUGACUUCACGUUGACUGACACAUUAUUGGAAGAAGUGAGCAAGCUUAUUUUCUUCUCUCAUUUUUAAAUUUGUCUAAGUUUAUUGAUGUGAGGCCUUUGAGAUUGUAAGUUUCAAAUCUGAGAAGAAUAACCACACACCCAUUAAUAAAUUUGUGAGGAUUGUGAGGGUUGAUGCAAUAUAAUUUAGAUGCAAAGUGUUUACAAGUACGAUGCUUCAUAAGUGUUCUUCAAUCAUUAUAAACUCACGUUAUUUUUAUAAUGAUUGUUUCAUCUGCACAUGGAUAUAAUCAUAUGUUGAGAUUUUUUCCUAAAUUAUGGUCUUAUUUGGUAUUGAGGUGUUAGAUCUUUUAAGAUACAAUUACUAUUGGAAAAAAUAGUGCAACUAUGAAAUAAAAGUUAAUAUUGUGUACUAAUUAUAAUUGUUAAAUAAUAAUUUUGACAAAAUUAGUGAAGAUAUAUAGUUUUUUUUUUAUCAUAUAAGUAUAAAAUCAAAUCAACUUAACUUCUAAACUAUAUAGCAGCUACUGCUUACCAAAUAUUUUAGUGCUGUAGCUUUUAAGUUAUAACUGCCUAACCUCAGUCUCAAACAAUGGCUAUAAAGAUCAAAGAUUUCCUCAUAAAAAUUAUACGUCUUGUGAUUGCUUAUUUAAUUUAUAUUUUUUUAUUUAUCUUUAUUAAUUACAAUCAUCUUUUAAUAAAUUACAAUUGGAGGAAGUUGAUGUUCGAAGUGCUUAUGUCGACUCGAAGUUGUUGGGAAUUAAUGCAUGUAUUGAUUUAUUGGGAGUGUUUAAAUGAUUUUGUGAUUUACUUGAUUGAUUGAUUGAAUAUUGUUUGAUUACUUUGUAUCCAUUCUAGAAAGUUUAUUUCUUUGUGAAAUUUCGACAAAAUAUGUUUUUCUUUUUAAAUAAUAAGGGUGUUUUAAGUAAUUUUUAAAAAUAAAUGGACUAACUAGAAUUAAUUAUUAGGUAACUAACUCGAACUGUACAAGGUAAGCGAACAUUUAUGCUGAUUAUAUCAUGAUAAAUCAUUUUCCGAUUAGAAUUAGGAAACCAUUAGCAUAUUGACUUUUUUUUUUUUUUUUUUCAAUCUCCCUUUGCGAAAACGGAUUACAGAAUUAGAAAACAAUCCUAAUGAUAUUAUUGUUAGGUUUAAAACACGGCAUAGAUAGUCAAAAGCUAACUAGUCUGCAGUAAUUUGUUAAUUGCUAUCGCCUCUCCAUGCGUGGUGAAUAAUUUGUUGCAUGCAAACUUUUUCCAUUUUAAAUAAACACAACGCGAUGUUUAUCUGCUCCGCGUUUUGCAAUCUGUUUAUUCGUUGUUUAUUUGCUUCGUAAGUCCUCAAACUUUGAUAACCAAAAAUUUCACCAAACUAUGAAAAUUAUUCUGCAGGUUAGUUUUUAUUUUCGGAAUAAUUAUUUGAGAAUACUAAAACACAAUAUAAAAUAAGAAAAUAGGGGGUUAAAAUUUGAAAAAAAAAAACAAAAGGGCAUGUUGGAUAGAUUACUGUGGUUUAAGAAAAAAAAUUAUUCAGUUGGGAAUUUUUUUUCUUUAAUUUUUGUUUUACUUAAUUGAGAUUUCUCCUUAAUCCUUACAGUUUUAAAUUUGGAUAACAUAGGAUUAGUAAUUUAGUACUUCCUUUGCAAGCUGAGGUUAAGGAUGAAAUUCUUUUAAGAAAAAAAGAUAAAAGAGCAUAACAAUAGUCAAUUAUAAAUAACCACAAAUAAAUACAAACAAAAUGUUUAUGAAGUAAAUUAAAAAUGCACAUAUUAUUUUUUAUUUUAUUUCUUACUAAUCUGUGUAUUUGCUGCUUGAAAAACCAUAAAUACACAGAUGACCAUUGGCUUCGCACCAUUUAAUCGGGAUACAUUUCUACGUACAAACUGAACAAGGCUAUUGAUUUUUAUUUAUUUAUAAAUUACUAUUUCAAUUUUCACUUUUUAUUGGGUUGUUUAAUGGAUUAGUGAGGCUGGUGGUCGUUGAUGCACUCACAAGGUACAAUUUUGUUUUCAAAUUUCAAAUUCGUAUUUUAAAAUGCAGCACAUUAUGCAUACAUAAUUAUUGAUUUUCAUAUGUGGGUGUUUUGAAAUAUUGCUAAAAGGCCAAACUUUAAUAAACUAUUUUUGAUCCUUUUUUGUUUCUUUUUUCCUAAAGUUUGAGUGAUAUCCGCAUUUUUAAAAGCUAAUGUAUGCAAAAAAUUCUUUCAUUUUUCUGGGGAAAAUAGGUAAGAGAAAAAGUUUUGGCAAAUGAGCUGCAACUGAAUUCAAAACCAAUACGAUGCGAGCAUAGGAAAGAGGUCAGUGUUUUGGAUUUGAAUUUAAAGAGGUCAGUGUUUUGGAUUUGAAUUUAGUAUUGAGCUGAAUUUUAUGUUUAACACAUGAUUCUAUUAUAGUACUGCGAUUAAUAAGCUCAGCCCCGGAUUUGCUUUUGCUUUUGCUUUUACUUCAAGUGAAAGAAAGAGGAAACCUUUUGUUUUUUCUUUGGUUUUUGACUAUGUUACCUAUACAGAGAGUCAAGAUAUCAGCCAUAAGUGAUGGUGUUAAAAAGAUUAAGCAGCGCACACAAUCUUACUGCUGUCUAGACGAUCCAAUGAUGACUCCAGUCUUUUGGUUACAUUAGCUUUAGUUGAAAUAAGGGCCAAUUUAGCAAACACUAGCUUUGGUGGCUUAUUAUGUUUAAUGUAAUGCUUAUUCUUAAGGAAUCUAAUGUAUAUAAGAUGAUUGAAUGAUCUUCUAUGAUUGUGAGUAGUAUAGGAUAAUUGAAAAGAGUCUGGUGUUAAAGGCUUACAGUUUUAAGCCUUUUAAACCAUGCGAUUUUAAAGUUUUACCGGAUUUUCCCGCACUUUAAAAUUUUAGACUGAAACAUUUUUGUAUAUAUAUACAUAAAAAUAUAUAUAUAUAAAUAUAUAAAUUAAGAGGGAUGAGUUAACUGAAGAUUAUAAUCAUUACAACAAUGCUGAUGAGUGAUACAUCACUUGAAAUUUACUUGUCAGUUGCUGAAAUGAUGAAAAAAAAAAUAAACAAUAACAGUGAUAAUGUUCUCUUGCUGAAAUGACUUGUAUAUUAUACAAUCCACUCUACUUAAUGAUAUCGUUUUAAUAAAUGUUUGAUGAUCUCCAUUUAAAAACUACUUCAAUUUUUUUCUUCAUUUAAGUUUUUGGUUGUUGAAAAUAACCUUAAUUAUCAAAUAAUUGGAGAAAGAGUAAAGAACAUUUAACAAAUUUAUGUGCAAAAAAAAAAAAGGGAGAAGUUGAAGAGAAAGGGUGCUUGCAGAAGUAGGUGUCAAAGAUAAAUCGGUCCAUAGGAAUUAUUUUGGUUAUUUUUUAGCAAUAGAAAAAUUUUUUAGCAAGUAAAAAUUAAUUUUUUUCCGCUUUACUAAAAAAUUAACUAAAAACUUAUGCGAUAGCAUUUUUUAUGGGUGCAUAUACUUCCCUUUAAAAAAAAUAUAAUAAUUAAUGCUUAAUAUAGUAUUAAAUACGAAAAUAUCAAUAUUUGACUACUCAAAUGUAUAUCAUUAGGUCCUUAAAAUUUAAAAUUGAAGAUACAAAAGGUAAUAUAUAUAAAUUUCAUUCUCAUGGGAAAGGAUCAUCUUAUAAUCUUAUAAUAUUUGAGCUUUGAAAGAUUUUUUUGAAACAAAUGUACUUUUAUUUGUGUACAAUCAAUAUGUACUUAUUUAUUAUAUUUUUAUUUAUUAACUAUCAAUCAUGUGAGUAUAUUUAGUCAGAAAAAUUAUAUCAAGAGAGAACCCUAAUUUCACGUAAAGACAAAUACAAGACAAAUAUGGCAAUUUCUAUACUAUUCACUUUCCUGUAAAAUCAAUUAUCUAAAAUGCAAGUUUGUGGCUUCAAAAAACUCGCCAAAGAAAGAAGAUAAUAGCAAUUGAGCAUUGAUAGCAAAUCUAAUGCAUCCAAUUCUUCUUAACUUGAUGAGUGACGUGAAUGCUACCAGUCUGUGACACCCAAAUUUUUAUUAUUUUAUUUAUUUUUUUAAUGGAAUUUGUAAAUGACGUUUUUGCCCUUAUAAAAAGGGUUAUUCAUGGAAUAAUUUUUAGGAAAGGGUUAUUUUUCCAAAUUCAAUAGGGUUUCUUAAGACUCCCUAUAAAUUCAUAUUUUUCUCCUUUCAUAACCCUAAAAGCACGACGUUUCUUCUUUUUCUAUACUGCUCAUUACACUCUUACCCAAACCCUAAGAUUCAAACCUUUGGUUAAGAGAGAAUCAAAGCGAUUGGUAAGUUUAUUCCCCUUAUUCUCUACAAGAUUCCCAAUCACUCUAUCUAGGGUCUAUAUUGGCAUGAUUUUAGAUUGUUAUAGAUCAUAAUACAUGAUUUAGAAUGUGUUUAGGCUUUGUUUAGAGUUUUGAUUUAUUAUGAGUUUAGUUAAUCAACCUUGACGUAUUAAGCACAUAGAAUAGUUCCAUAGAAUAUUAUGUUAUUCUAAGUUUUAGAUUAAGAGUUAAAAUUCUAAGCAUCAGACUUGUACGGGUACGAAUUAGAAAAAUCGGGUUCUUAGAAUAAGUUAUUAAUUGUCAUAUCUUGUAUUUGUUUAAGGUGAUUGAGGCUCUUAGAGGGUUAGAGGUGUGUUAAUUCAAAUUCUUUUGUCGAGGUAAGUAACUUCAUUCCUAAUGUACUGGAUAUAUAUAUAUAUAUAUGAUUAUUUUGAUAUUAUUAUAAGUACACAAAUUUUUUUACUACUUAGAAGAUUAAUUGAUUUUCAUAACAAAAUCAGUUUGUGUAAAUGUUUUCAAACCUAAAUUCCUUUUAAUAAAUUAUUUUGUAAAGGCUUUUAAAUAUGUAAGUUAUUUUAUGACAUGACUACCUUUUAUAAUUUUGUCUAUGAAAUAUUUGCAAGCCUAAAUUGUGGUUAUGGACUUUCAUGAAACUAAUACGAAUGUUUUGUACCUAUGUAUGAUUUCAAUUAUUUAUGAUUGUACGGGGGCCACCUCUUGGGACUAUAUGGGGGCCACCUCUUGAAAUUCAAAGCAUCACAAAAGUGCCACGUAUAAGUCAUUAUGUUUUGGCUCAUUAUCUGUAGUUAUUCUGAUUCUGAUUCUGAUGGUAUAAUACAAUAUAUGUCUGUUCUGGACCAGUACUAGGUUUUUGUUUUGAGUGUGCACAUGAUAUUCUGACUCUGUUUCUGGCCGGGUCACUAGGACUAUAGGUGACACUAUGUGACAUGAGCUAACCUUUUGUUUUCUGUGAAUGUGAUAUAUGAUUUGCUUUUGUAAAUAACUAUGCUUUUGAUAUUCUGAGUUACAAUGAAUUUAAAUUAUUUUAUAGUGAUAUAUCGUUUUAUGAAAUUUAUGGAUUAUGAUAUAUGUUUUAAUUAAAAGAAGGCUUGCAAUAUUUUUGGUAUUGAUAGGUCUAGUGUGUUAGGAAUAUUUUUACUUACCGAGUUGACGGCUCACCCCUCGUCAUUACUUUUUGCAGAUUAAGUUUCUUUUGAGAGCUGCGCUUAGCUUUGGAGUUAGUAAUUUUCUGUUUCCGUUUGCCAUUUGAAUAAGAGGAGAAAUAAACUCAUGUUUCUAUUUAGUUUAUUUAUGUUAUGAAUGUGUAAUUUGGAGUUUGAGACUUUUGUUAUUUUUUUUAUGUCCUCGGGAGAGAUUAUUUAGUAUUAGACGUUUGAAUUUGUGGAUUUAUUUGAAUAAGAAUUUGAGGUAUUUCAGUUUGAAACUUAUGAGUAAAGAUUAUGAUUUGUAAGUAACAUCCUUCUUCACGUGCUCCGCACGUGUUAGAUUUGGGGUGUUACAAUUGUGGUAUCAGGGCAUUAGGUUUGGGAUUCUGUAAACUUUAUUUGAGGCUAGAUUUCUUAAGCACAAUCAAUUAGUUCAAUGGUAUUGCUUGCCAUGAGGUUAUCGGAAAGAGUAGAUCUUUAAGGCGAGGAGUAAUUUUGGUCUUUUUGAUUUUCUAGUUGCUUGUGACUUUGUAAUAACUCCUUGAUAUAGGAUUUUGGUAUUAACGUAGAAUGAAAUAUUUGUUUGCUCUUGUUGUCAAUUACUAACUUUUCUCAAUUAUACUAUUUACUCAGUACUUUGUGCUAUAGCAAGCCCUUUAACUAUGAAUUAUUUACCAUUUUAUUUAUUUAUUUAUUUUUAUUCUUCGUGUUAUAGUCAAAAGAUGUCACGUAGGGGAGGUGCUAGGCAUGCCUUUAGCUCGAGAGAUGUUUUAGGUAUCGUUGAUGACGCUGACCUAACCUUGCGCGAGAUGGCUAACGAAGGGAAUCCUAUGAUGCGCGCAAUGGUUAGAUUGAUGGAACAACAAAGUAAGUUGAUUCAAGAUAUGGCUAGAGGUAAAGUUGGGGCACAUGAGAUUGUGCCAGUUGAAAGACAAGGUGGUGGAAGAGAUCAGGGAGGUAUGAUGAGCUUAGAGCGGUUUAGGAAAUUGAGACCACCUACCUUUCAGGGGGCUGCCAAUCCUAUGGUUGCAGAGGCAUGGCUAAAACAGAUGGAGAAGAUAUUUAUGGCUAUGGGUUGUAAUGAUGAUUAGAGGGUGAUAUUGGCCUCAUUGGUCCUUUAGGGUGAGGUAGACCACUGGUGGGAUGCCAAAUCCCGUCUUUUGAGGGCCGGGUUGCAAGAUGCACCUAUUACUUGGGAGUUAUUUCUGAAGGCUUUUCAUGAAAAAUAUUUUCCUGAACGAGUUCGACAUCAGAUGGAGGCUGACUUCCUGAAAUUGACUCAAGGAACAAAGCAUGUUGCGGAGUAUGAGGAGCAAUUUACUGCUCUAUCUCGUUUUUCUCGUACCUUAGUUGCUAAUGAGGGUAGUAAGUGUAGGAAAUUCUUGGAAGGCUUACAUCCAAACAUAAAAAGACGGUUGACCAUCCUUAAGCUUAAUAAUAAUGCCCAUUUGGUGGAUAGUACGAUUAUUGCAGAGAGGGAUAUAAUUCAAUCUCAAGUUGCACGAUCUAAUCGACAUAAUAACCAGCCAAUAAAACAUGAUAGUAAUGGUAGUGAAGGUGAACAUAAGUGCACUCUAAUGGUGGGUCUAUUCAAGAGAACAAACCAUUCUGUAAUCGUUGUGACAAGUACCAUAAUGGCACGUGUUAUUUAAAGAUAUGAGCUUGUUUUGGCUAUGGACAGAUUGGGCAUAAGGUUAUAAAUUGCCCAAAAAAGCACAGUGGUAACAUAGAUUCUGCCGAGAACCAAAGGAAAAAGCCACGUGUCUUCGCCAUGGUGGAGCAAGAUAUUAAAAAACCGAAUAACGAAGCCUCAGGUGCAUUACCUAUUUUCCAUAGAAAGCCUUGAAUUUUUGAGUAAUUGGUAUUGUGCUUUUCCUCCAUCCUUUCUUAUUGGAUGCAUCGUAGCUAGAGUUUUUAGCCUAAUAAUCACUACUAGAAAAAUAGGCUUUACUGACGCUAAAUUAGUGUCAGUAAUUACUUUUCCUGACACUUAUUAAUUGUGUCAAUAAUGCUCCAGCCAUAAUACACUGACACUAAUUUCUAGUGUCAGCGAUUUUUGUGUCAGUAAUUCAUGUCAUUAUGGUAUCACGAAAAUAAUGACACGAUAGCGUUAGUAUUUAAUGAUACUAUUUAUAUGUCAGUAAUUUAUGAGACUACAGUAUCAAGAGCACACUGACUCAAUAACAUCAAAAAUUACUACUGCUAUUUUAAACAUUUAGUGUCAGUAUUUAGUGAUGUUAUGGUUCUUUUGGUUAAUAGUAUACUUUGAUUUUAAUUAUAUUUUCCUAUUUGUUUUACAACUGAAAGAAAACUCAAAAUAUAUUAAAUAUACAAAAUCUCGCAACACAAUUGCAUAAGAAACAUCUCAAAUACAUCACUCAAAUUCAUAUCAUUAAACUACAUCAUUGUUUGGAAAAGAAAAAUAUAAAUACUAAAUUAAGUCUUGGACAAGCUCUUAACAACCAAGUACUAAGUUAAGAUUCAACAAAUAUUAACCAACAAAAAGAAGCACAUAAUGUCAUUGAACAUCCACAAGCGGCUUCAUUUUUCUUUUCCCACCUACAAGUACAUAAAAUCAAUUAGUAUACCACAAAAAGUAAUUCUUGAAUUUUUGGGAGAAAAAACAAUCAGGCCAAUUUCAGUGUUCAAAGAGACUAACAAAGAAUGGGGGCAAAAACAAUACAUAGCUCUCUUAGUGCAAGCUAAUUGUAAUAGGUAGUAUUGUGAAGAAUAUUUAUCUGCUAAGAAUUGAACUUGAGUGGAUUUUCCUACAGAUCUAUACACAACUCAACUUAAGAAGAAUAAAAAAAUAAAAAAAUAAAAAUCCUAAGGAUUAAGAAAGAUAAAUGGAGAUUUAUUAGUAUACAUCCAAAAUUAGAAACUCAUUAAACAAUCCAGGGGUAAAAAUUGAGGAAUAAGAAUAUAGCGUAUCUCAGGAUAAGACCAAAGACAUAAUAACAGAAACAUUUGAGGCAAACCACUACAAAGUUUUUACAUAAUAACCCAAAGCAAAGCAAACCAUUAUAAAAUUUUUACAUAAUAACCUAGAAACAAAACAGACGAAAAUUGGGCAAGUCCAUAUCCCAAACCUCUGUUAGGAAAAAUGUGUUCAGCAGACUCAUGGCUCCAACAAUAGAAAUUAACCCGUACACAAGGAAACAAAUUAAUUGAUAUAAAAAACAGUCAAAGACAAAGCCAACUAAGAAGAUUAACUAAUUUGGAGAUUGAAUUACAUAGUUAUUUUUACAAAAUAUAGCAUAAGCCCAUUGUAUUUCAUAGUAAGCAACUGCAAAAAUGCCUAGAGGCAAAUUCAUAAAGGAAGAGUAGAUAGAAGAAAAAAAAGACGAGGAAAUAAACAGCUUGAAACAAACAAAUCACCUAACACAUCAUGGGGAAUUGACUUGUUAACGUUAAAGAGCAAAAUAAAACUUGGCACCUUCAUUCGAAAAAGAACAGACGCUUACCCCUUACGGAGAAUGGCUUAGGUUUUUCUUUAGAGUUUCAGGCUGAUUUAUAAGAAUAUGAAGAAGAAAUGAUUAUGGAAGUUUGAUAGUGAUCAAGGAUUGAAUAUUGGGCUUAAAAUACAAAUUGGCAGUGAGGGCUGGUUUUCGAUCAUAAUGUUGAGAGACCACUAAUUCCCAAUACUUGUACCCUCUCACAGAAAAAUCCAAAUUUAAUAAACAUGAACUAAAUCCAGUGUAUUGAGUGUUAUUAUUUAAUGGAACAUAAAAUCUCUGGGUCAAAUAAUUCUAAAGUUAAACCAACAAUAAUCCCAAAAGCUAUAGUUGAUAAGAAAGGCCCAACAGUAUACUUCUAUCACACAAAAUUUGAAGAUAGAAAAAAGAAGGGCCUUUUUGUUUUUUAACUGAAACUGAAAAAAGAUUCAGUAUUAACAAUUCAUAAAUUUUAAAGACGUUGGUUUUCCAUCUUAACACUGAAAACUUGGUGUUUAUAUAUCCGAAUAUAAUUAAGCCAAAAAUUUUAAUUUAUCACUAAAUAGGAAAACAACUAAAUAAGCUGCAUAGUUUUAUUUUCCAAUAAAUGCUUAUAAUAUUUAUUCAUUCCUUACCAUAUAAAAACCUAUCCUUCAUUAUUUAUUUAUUUUUUAUAGGAAACAGAGAAAUUAGUAUUAAUAAGAACAAUAAUUACAAAAUGUCAAAAGGGUGUCCACAAAAAAAGGCUAUUGAAGUAUCACAGACCAAUCUCCAAAUUAGGCAAGCACUCAGAUUCCAAGCUAAUACUCCAAAAAACAAAUCUAACCUCAAACUACCUGAUAAACAGCUCAAAAUGACAUAAUCCUCAACAUUCUUCAGACUAAUUGAUCAUGCAUCAAGGUAUGUUGGGAUCUACAAAUACAUUGAAAAGAUCUUUGCAAAUAACAGUACAACUAGAAAGCUUGGUGUUUACAUUCUUGAAAAUUCUUUUUAUUGCUGACAAUAGAAAGGGAUUCCUUUUUCUGCUUAUUUCCUAAAAAUACUAAUAUAUGCUGCCCCACUAUACUCACAAGUAAUCUUACACAAAUGCUCUUUAGACAAGAUUAGUAUUUGCUACCUUUCACCCCAAUUACAAAACCAUAGAAACUCACCACCUAGACAAAUUUUAAAUUGUCUCUAUAGUUGGCUAUUAAAAACUGCUAAAUUUGUUUGCAGCCAUGCCCAAAAAUUUCAAGAACAUUGAACACAACGUAUUAUAGGUACAAACAAGAUAAAAUGAUGUUCCAGGAUUCACUCGACAUGUCAUCCAAGGUGAUACAAAACGGUAGAACUAUAGAACUAGGACAAAACUUGCAGCAAGAUAAUGGCAAUUUCCCCCUUUCGUGUAAGAUAAUCAUAUUAUUCUUCAAAGAGAGACGCACAAAAAAAAAAUGCUUGUUGAAAACAAGCAAGCAUAUGGGUAUGAGUCUAUUGUUGUUUAUCUGUGAAUCAUGUUAAUAACCAGCCACAGAAAAAUAGUAAACAAUAGUUUUCACACAAUCGAUGCAUAUUAACACAAGCCACGGAUUAUGAUUUCACUAACCAUUGCACACAAAGGUUCCAGACCAAUUUUAGAAGGAGGUUCUACAAGUUACUUUCCUUCAACUACUUGAAAAUCAAUCAUUAACUAAAGAAAUACACAUGAAAUUAGUUUAAAUAAUAGGAAAGGUAAAGGAGACAUUUUAUAAAAACUCUUAAAUGUGGUACUAUGAUUUCCACAGACUGUGCAACAAAAAUAAAAUUGGAUGAACUAUAAUAAGUGAGAAGACAUAUUGUAAUUCUAUCAUCAAAGAAAGAUAAGCUUAAUCAUUUUUAAUUUUUUCUCAAAUAUCCAGUAGUACCUUAAGGUAAUAGGACAAGAUCGCAGAAGUUGUCAUGAAGAGUGUAAAGCACUAAAUAACAAAAAUUAUACUAAUAAAUAAAACUCAAUUUAUUUUCUCCCUCAAUCAAUUGCUUUGAGCUUACUAUGAAUUCAACUAUGAAUUUGAGGAAAAAAUACAGACCUCAGUUUGUCAACUUCUUGUUCAUGAGAUUCAGCCGCAGUAAAUGCAAACCUCCAUUUCUCGUCAAGCAUUGUUAACCUCUACGACAAAUUGAAGGUAAGAAGAUGAACAAAAUAAGUGUAAUGUGCAGGAAAAAAAAUGAAGUCUAUGGGUACAACAACACUUCAAGAUUUUUCAAGUUCUAGUUCAUUUAAAUAGACAUUCCUUGAACUUCAGUAGCAAAGAAAGUACAUUAUAGCAACAAUUUCAAUUCAUUUCAAUCUUUAGAAUUUUUUAUUUUAAAAAAAUAAAUUCCUUCAAACUAGUGAAAGGAAAAUAAAAGUGUGUUUACAGAAGAAAAAUCAUGGAAUGAAUUAAUGACCAUGCAAGUGAGGAAACACAGAAAUUUCUGAAUAAGAGCGAAACUAACCGUGCAAAUGAACAAAGAAAAUGUAAGUCUUCAAGUGCUACAACAAGCAAAACUACCUAAAAACAAGCAUUUUCUUCUUGAAUUAAAGACAAAUCAUGAACUUUGUGCAAUCUCAAAACAUUCAGACAAGCAUGAACUUAGUUAAUUCAUAUCAUAGUCAUUGUCUCUAUUAAAAAUCUUCCAACUAAAAAAAAUAAAAAAAUAAACAUGUUGGUUUCUAUAACAUAAUUUGCCUAUCUUUACAUGAAACAGAGCAAUAAAUAACACUUAAUAAUUAUGAAAUACACAGCCAUUCAAUCUAUAUAAUAUAGAAAUAAAGGAAAAAAAAGAAAAAAAUUCAAAUUACAAUUAAAUAAACAAAAAAUAGAUAUGGAAAAGAAAUCCCACCAAGACUGCACUACUGGGAGAAUUUCUCAACAUCUGCAACAACCCAUAAAAUUAAAAUUAACAAAAAACCCUAAUAAUCAUAAGCUAAAAUAAAACAAAUUUAUUAAUUAAUUUGACAAAGAAAAUAAAAUAUUAAGCCAUUACCAGCAGUUAAAGCCUUAAUCAAGGCAACCUGUUUGCCCUUAAAGUCAUUGAAAAUCUCCUUCACAGGUCUAAGUAUAAGGUGUGGUAUCCCUUCCAUAGCAAGAAAAUUAACUAAUUUCUCAAUAAUUUUAUUCAAAUUCAAGCAAAUGGGUUUUGAAUAUUGAACAAAAAAAAGUGAAAUUUGACCAUAAAAAGAAAAAAAAUUGAUAAAAGAAGCCUCGAUUACGGUUUUGGUCCGUUUUUCAAUUUGAGAAAAAAAAGGAAAAAGGGAAUAAAAGCCUCACUUAGGGUUUUAGCUUUAUAUUAUCUAUUUGAGUUAAAUGAACGAGUUUGUGAAUGGAAAGAAAAAAAAGGAAGAGAUCGAGAAGAGAAAAAGGAAAGAGAAAGGGAAAGAGAAAGGCAAGAGACAGUUUUGGGUUUGAGUUUGGGUUAGAGAUUUGUGUGUAUAAAAGACAGGGAGAUGGGGACAAUUGCUAAGUUUGGGAUAUGUUUUACUUUCGUUUUACAUGUUUUAAAUUCUUAAUUUAGUACCUGCAGUGUCGAACCACUUGAACGGAAGUGAUAGUGGCAACGGCGUGGGGGUGGGCGCAGCCAUGGGGGUUGGGCGCGGCCGUGGGCGUGGGCGUUUGGGCCUGGUCAUUCUCCAUCUUUCACGAUAGAGAAGAAGAAGUCAAGAAAGGCAAGGAAAUUACGCAGCAGCUACGACAUGGGCUCUAUUGCACAAUGGAAAAGGGGAAUUAGGGUUUGGUUUUUUAUAUGUUAAUAUUUUAUAUAACAUUGUAAUUCCAACUCAAUUUUAUGGGGUCCAGUGGUUUGCAAUCUAAACGUAAAAGUUUUGAGUUUUAGAAAUCCCAGGUUCGAGUUAAAAUCAAAACAAAUUUUAAUGAUUCUUUUUAGAUCUCUGAUGCUGAAGUAUCAGUGAUCUCUAAUAUUUAAUUUACUGAUACAUUAGUAUUAAUAAUUUGUGACAUUUAUUUGUUAAAAGUGGAAAAUGGUGCAUAGUUAGGUAAUUACUGACACUUUUUUUAAAGUGCCAGAAACAAAGUGUCAGUAAAAGUCAUUUUUGUAGUAGUGAAUUUCUUUUUUCAUCCAUUGAAUUUCUAUGGUACAUUAGUAGGAUAUGAGGUGUGAUUUUAUAAGGCCAUUAGGAUUAACUUAUGGUUGGAUGGAGUAGGGACUAAUAUGAUAUUUAGUAGGAUAUGGGAUGAAGAUUGCAAUAAAAGUGUUUCACCAGCAAUGUGCGAGCGCAUUGAAGGGUUUUGAAGUUGAAUGUGAAGUGAUAAAAAAUAUUCACCAUCGAAACCUUAUCAAUGUUAUUAUUAGUUGUUCGAACGAUGACUUCAAAGCAUUAGUCCUAGAAUACAUGUACAACGGGAGCUUGGAGGAUUGGCUGCAUUCUAGCAAUUAUGUGCUUAAUAUUUUUCCCAGGUUGAACAUAAUGAUUGACGUUGCAUCAGCUUUAAAAUAUCUCCACUUUGAUCAUUCAACUCGUAUCAUUCAUUGUGACUUAAAGCCUAAUAAUGUGUUGUUGGAUGAAAAUAUGGUUGCUCAUUUGAGUGAUUUUGGCAUAGCAAAGCUUUUAAGUUGAAGAUGAGUCUACGAUGCGAACAAAAACCCUUGCCACUAUAGGUUAUACGGCACAAGGUUUGCUUGAAACAACUUUUUUUUAGUUUAUUUUAAAAUUUCCAAAUUAUUGAUUUUUACGAUCCUCAUAUCAAAAUGUUAUUGAUUAUUUAUCUAAUUAUGAAAUAAUUUGAUUCAUAGAGUAUGGCAUAGAAGGAGAAAUAUGUGCAAAAAGUGAUGUUUACAGCUACGGGAUUAUGUUGAUGGAAACUUUUACCAAGAAAAAACCCACAGAUGAGAUUUUUGUUGGAGAAUUGAGCUUAAAGCGUUGGGUUAAUGACUUGCUUCCUAAUUCAUUAGUGGAAGUUGUGGACAAAAUUCUGCUAAUUGAAGAGGAAAAACAUUUUGCCGCAAAGGAGCAAUGUCUGUUCUCUAUCUUUAUUUUGGCACUAGAGUGUACAAUGGAAUCACCGGAAAAGAGGAUCAAUACAAAAGAUAUUGUUACCAGAUUACUCAAGAUAAGAGACACGUUGAGUAAAAGGAUAGGAAAUUUAAGUUAAUUUUGUUUGCUUUCAUUGAUAGUUACUUUGAAUUCAAGUAAUAAGUGUAAGAAUCGUUUAUCUUUUCUUUUGAUAUUUUUUUCUUGAGAAAACUGUUGUAGUCAUCUUUUUUCAAUGGGCAGAGUUGAUUUAGUUCUUCCAAGAAAUGCUAUUGUUGAUCUUUGUUACAUACGUUUGUCUUUUUUUGCAUGCAUUUAGGUAGAAUAGUGGUCUAGCUGCAGGCUAACAAGUCAAGCUACGCUAAAAGCGUAUGAUUUAAUUUAUUAAACCUAACUUCAAGUUCAAGAAUUGCAUCUCAUUGCCACCAAUGCUUUAGACACCUAUUCGUAGGUUUGUGUCCUCAACUUUGUUUGGAGCAAAAGUUCCAGUCCCAUGGAGGCUCAAAUAUUUCUCUCCUACGUCCCGAACACGCUAAAUUCAUCAGCCUCUUGAACCCUCUCCUGAGGGCGCCUUCUGUCCUCUGUUUUCUGUUUCCAUACACAAAUAGCAAAAAGAAUUCAGACUGAUAACUGGGUAUCUAAGAAUAUAUAAGAGUGAAAUAAUUAAAAAAAAUUGUGCUUUUUUGUUUGUCGUGUUAAAAUCGUAAGGUAUCUAAGUACUAUGAAAGAGAUUAGUUUACGAAAACUGAAGCCAAGGGUUCAUAAAAAAAAGUGCAUAGAGAAUAAAGGACAACGCUUAUGUAAAGCGACAUAAUUGUAUUGGUAGCACAAUGUCACGUUCAUACAGAGAUCAAGUACAUUAUUUACAGCUGGUAAGGGCUAAGAAUUGAUGUAGCUAGAAUACAAAGAUGAUAUGGUAUGUUGUGCACUAUUGUUUUAUUCUACAAUCAAUCUUGACCCUUGAUGCUUGGCUCUCAAUCUUGUCCAUUGAUCUUCUCUGAUCUCGAAAACUUCAAGACCUUUCAAUCUCAUGCCUUAUUAUUGGUGUCUUCUAUGCUGUUAAUUUCAAAUACUAGCUUUUCCGCCAACUUGCCAAUUAUUUGUUCAUUGGUGCGUUUUGUCAAACAGUGUGGAUACUUAUACCAAACGCUUUCUGUUUUAACUACCCCUUUCAAGCUCAAUUAUCUGGGAAGACACUAAUAAGCUUGUUUCUCAAGUAUAUGUAUCUGAAAAUUAAAUUUUCAAAAUUAUAUUCGGACUCUACAUUUUCUAAUGAACAUUGGUUUGGCUCAUAAGCUUAUUAUACUUGGGCUUGGUAGGAUUAUCGGUCGGUAGAUGAACAAGUGUUAGAGCUUUCGAAUUUAUGCCAAUUAAAAAAAAUCUAUAUAAAUUUUCCACUAGGCUAUUACCACAAUAAACAUUUGGAUGAACUAUUAUUGAAACCUUAUUGAGAAGUAGGACAUGUCGCAUACCAAUGCACUGACAUAUCUUCAAAUAGUGGUAACUCCACACAACAUGGCACAAUAAAUUAAGAGUUAUAUAGAUAAAAUCUUUCACUCUUUGGUAAUCAUCAAUGUCGGCAUGACAAUGCGUCCCACAAAUAUGGCUCCUUAUCAAAAUUCAUAAAUCAAAACAAAAUAGAGAAUCAUAUUUGUUCCAGAUUGUAGUGAUGGUUGUUGAUGCACUCACAAUUUACAAUUUUAUUUAAUAUCUUCAAAUUCGCAUUUUAAAAUGCCCAAAUGUUUGUGUAUACAUAAUUAGAUAAAAUCUUUCAUUCUUUGGUAAUCAUCAAUUUCACUAUUAUUCGCUUUAUUAUGUUUGUUUCUUGCAGUAUGUUAAAAGAUUAUGUUGUGAAUUUGUUUUACAGGCCGCCCGUAAGUCUGCGCCCACUGUUGUGAAUUUGUGUAUACAUAAUUAGUAAUCGAUUCUCAAGCACGGACAUUUAAAAGCACUGCCGAAAGACAAAAUUUUAAUUUACUAUUUUUUGUCUUUUAAUUUUCUUUAAGUUUUAAUGAUUCCGCAUUUUAAAAUCCUGUGGAACGUGUAUGUAAAAUUCUUUUAUCUUUUAGAGGAAAACGGGCAAGAGAAGAAUAUUUGGCAAAGGAAUUGCAACCGCAUUUGGAGCUAUAUUUAAUUUUGUCUUUUAAGUCUUUUACACUUGUUUUUGUUAUUGAUGUUAGCUUGGAUGUGUGUGCGUGUGCGACUGAAUUCAACUUACAUGCUAUUGAUGCAGCCACCAAAAAGGGGUGGUCCAUCAUCAAUCAACAAGGUUUAUUAUUAUUUUCAUAUGGAUUUUCUUAAUUAUAAAUAAUACUAAUGCUAUUUCAUAGUUAUAAAUAUAUUAGAAUUAAUCGAAAUCAUUUUUUAGUGUGGCAUUGCCAAACUACCUUUUUUUAUAAGUAAUUACUACUUUCACAUUAAGAAAAAUACUCCUAUUUUUAGGGAAAAAUCAAGUACUUGUAGUUGUGAAAACUUGAGCUCACUCGCGUAUGAUAAAUCUUCAUAUUAAUUACAUAAAUAUCCUCUAAAAUUUUAAAUUAACUAUUCAAAAUUCGAUGUUAUACGGGUAUUUCAUUUAUUUGAGUAGGGGUUAGGGGUCAAUUGGAUACAAAUUCAAAAUUAUCCUUACUUGAGAAGGUGAUAAAAAUUGGGGAUUUAAUUUGGAUGUCAUUAGCUACAAAUAUUAAAUUCAUACAUUUAAUUCAAAAUUGGAGGGUUGAUAUAUGCGCAUCAUCGUGCACGUUAUAGUGACACUGCGUCACCAUCCCACAACCUCUCCAAUGAAAAAUUAACACGUUUCUCGUGUGCAUUUGAUCAGAAUCCUGAAAAUUAAUCACAAAAUUGUACUUUUAUUAUAAAAAGAAUAAAGAAACUCCUGAAAAAAAAAUACUUACAUAAAUGGUUUGAAAAUUCUAGAUUUCAAGUUGUCUAUAUUAGCUUGAUAUUUUUAUAAAUAGUCAUCCUCUCAAAAAAAUUCCAUCAAAAUAUAUAUUUUAAUUUUAUGUUAAUUCAUAAACAUGAAAAAAUCAUUUCAUAAUUAAUUAAAACAUAAUUUAUUGUUUCUCAAAAAAGGUAGAACUUAGUGAUAAGAAAAAAGUAUCUCAAAUAUAUGUAAAAAAAAAAAAAAUCUUGGUUGGUUGGAAUGAUUGAAUUUGCUUUUCUUUUUCUUUUUUAAGAAUUAAGACAAUCGGAUUGAUUGAGUAAUAAUAAUAUAUAUUUAUUUGGAGGUAGGCUUUCGUCUCAUGCAGAUUGAUUAGAGAGAAAACAAAACAAUUUUAAGCUCGUUAGAUUCGAAGCUGCUUACCUGUCGUGUGGGGAUCACUUCCGUGUCUUAUUUUUCUAAAAAAGUCUGGACCAUUGGAUUUAUGUGAAUCGUACUGAACAUUGGAAUUGAUGUAUAAGAAAAAAAUUUUGUAGUCGUUUAAGGAAAAAAAUUAUUCAAUUGGGAAUUUUUUUCCUUUAAUUUUUGUUGUACUUGAUUGAGAUUUCUCCUUAGUCCCUACAGUUUUAAGUUUGGAAACCGUAGGAUUAGUAAUUUCGUACUUCCUUUGCAAGCUGAGUAUAAGGAUGAAAUUCUUUUAAGAAAUUAAAAAAGAUAAAAAAAAGCAUACCAAUAGGCAAUUAUAAAUAACCACAAAUAAAUAUAAACAAAAUGUUUAUGACGUAAAUUAAACAUGCUCAAUUAUUUUCUUUUAUUUUCUGCUCGGAAACCCAUAAAUGCACUAAUCCAGUAUUACUAAUUUCAGACAGAAAAAUUUGAAUUUAACCGGUAUACAUUUCUACAAACCAAACAAGGCUAUUAUUUUUAUUAUUAUUUUUUUUUUUUUAUAAAUUACUAUUUUAAUUUUUCACUUUUUAUUGGGUUGCUUAACAGAUUAGUGAAGUUGGUGGUCGUUGAUGCACUCACAAGGUACAAUUUUAUUUUAGAAAUUGAAAUUUCGUAUUUUAAAAUGCAGGCACAUUAUGUAUGCAUAAUUAUUGAUUUUCAUAUGUGGGUGUUUUGAAAUAUUGCUAAAAGACCAAACUUUAAUAAACUAUUUUUGAUCUUUUUUUUUCCUUUGUACCUAAAGUUAGAGUGAUAUCCGCAUUUUAAAUUCAUGUGGACCAAAAGCUAAUGUAUGGACAAAAUUAUUUUAUUUUUCCGAGAAAAAUGGGUAAGAGAAGAAGAUUUUUCUCUUGAAAAAGAAAAACUAAUACGUUGCAAGCAUAGGAAAGAGGCUAGUGUGUUUGGAUUUGAAUUUAGUAUUGAGUUCAAUUUUAUGCUAAGCUCUUUUAUAAUACUGCGAUUAGGGAGCCCUUAAGUUACAUGUAAUAUAACUUACACUCGCUCACUUAAAUAGUGGGUGGGUUGGGGGCCCACUCACUGUUCAUGUGAGUGAGUGUAAGUUCCAUUAUAUGUAAUUUAGCACUUGCCUUGCGAUUAAUAAGCUCAGGAUUUGCUUUUGCUUUUACUUCAAGUAAAAGAAAGAGGAAACCUUUUGUUUUUUGUUUGAUUUUUGACUAUAUAUGUUACCUAUAUAGAGAGUUGAGAUGGCUGCCUUAAGUGAUGGUGAUAAAAAGAUUAAGCAGCGCACACAAUCUUACUAUCGUCCAGACUGUCCAGUGAUAGACUCUAGUUUUUUGGUUACAUUAGCUUUAGUGGAAAGAAGGGCCAAUUUAACAAAGACUAGAUUUGGUGGCUUGUUGUAAUGCUUAUUCUCAGGGAAUCUAAGGUUAUAAGAUGAUUGAAUGAUCUUCUAUGAUUGUGAGCAGUAUAUUAUAAUUGAAGAGAGCUUGGGCUCCUAUGAUGUAUAACAAUAACACAUUACUAUGAUUGAGAAAACUCAGUUACAAUAAACUCUUCAUUUAUUCAUUGCUGAGAUUGAAUGGCAAAUAGAGAAUAGAAUGAAGCAGAGGAAUCUCAUUGCCUGUAAAAUUGAGCCUAUUUAAUAUUACUUGUAGUUUUUAUUGUAAAAUAUACAGGUAUGACCAUGAUCAGAUGCUUUUUUUAAAAACAAAUGAGACAUCUUUGAUUUAUGGUAGUUUUAGAGAAAAAAAAAACAUAUAAAAAUUAAGAGGGAUGAGUUAACUGACGAUUACAAUCAUUACAGCAAUGCUGAUGAGUGAUACAUCACUUGAAAUUUAUUUGUCAGUUGCUGUAAUGAUGGAAAAAAACAAUAAACAAUAACAGUAAUAAUGUUCCCUUGCUGAAAUUCAAUUUUGACUUUCGACUCUUGGCUUUUAUGGAGAGUAAAAUGACUUGUAUAUUAUCCUCAUACAAUCCACUCUACAUAAUGAUAUCAUUUUAAUAAGGCAAUGGCUGAUGAUCUCCAUUGAAAAACUUUUUGUUUUAUUUAACUUUUUGGUUGUUGAAAAUAACCUUAAUUAUCAAAUAAUCAGAGAAAGAGUAAAGAACAUUUAACAAAUUUAUGUGCCAAAAAAAAAAGGAGAAAUUGAAGAGAAAGGAUGCUUGCAGAAGUGGGUGUCAAAGAGAUAAAUCGGUCUAUAAGAAUUAUUGUGGUUAUUUUUUUGGUGCCUUGGAGUUCUUUAAAUUAAGGGCCCAGUUUGUCCAUUUGUUUCAGUUAGGUCCUUAUUAAAAAUUAAUUUUAAUAUUGGUUUUCUUAAUUAUAACUAAUACUAAUGAUAUUUCAUAGUUAUAAAUAUAUUAGAAUUAAUCCAAAACAUUUUUUAGUGUGGCAUGGCUAAAACUACCUUUUCUAUUAGUAAUUACUACUUUUGCAUUAAGGAAAAUACUCCUAUUUUUAGAAAAAAGUCAAGUACCUAUAGUUGUGAGAACUUGAGCUCACUCGCUUAUGAUAAAUCUUCAUAUUAAUUACGAAAAUAUCCUCUAAAUUUUAACUAAACUAUUCGAAAUUCAAUGUUAUUCGGAUAUUUCGUUUAUUUGAGCAGGGGUUAGGGGUCAAUUUGAUACAAAUUCAAAAUUAUCCUCAUUUGCGAAGAUGAUAAAAAUUAGGGAUUUAAUUUGGAUGUCACUGGCCACAAAUAUUAAACUCAUGCAUCUCAAAAUUAGAGGGCUGAUAUAUAUGCAUUAUCGUUAUAUUGACAUGUGUCACCAUCCCACAACCUCUCCAAUGAAAAAUUGACAUGCAUCUUGUGUGCUUCUUAUCAAAAUCCUGAAAAUUAAUCACAAAGUUAUAUUUUUAUUAUAAAAAGAAGAAAGAAACUCCAUAAGUGAAAAAAAAAAAGACUUAAACAUAAAUAUUUUAGAUAAUCUAGAUUUCAAGUUGUCUAUACUAGCUUGAUAUUUUUAUAAAUAUCAAGAUUUCAAGUUGUCCAUAGUAGCUUGAUAUCUUCUAAAAAAAUUCCAUCAACAUAUAUUUUAAUUUUACGUUAAUUAAUAAAUAGAAAAUUCAUUUUAGAAUUAAUUAAAACAUUAUUUAUUGUUGCCAAAGAAGGAAGUACUUAGCGAUAAGAAAAAAGUGUCUCAAAUAUAUGUUAAAAAAAAAUCAUGGUCGGUUGGACUGAUUGAAUUUUUUUUUCUUUUUCUUUUUUAAGAAUUAAGACAAUUGGAUUGAUUGAGUAAUAAUAAAAUAUAUUUAUUUGGCAAAUGGCAGGUAGGCUUUCUUCUGAUGCAGAUUGAUUAGAGAGAAUAUGCAGCAAUUUUAAGCUUGUCAGAUUCGGAGGCUGCUUAUCUGUCGUGUGGGGAUCACUUCCAUGUCUUAUUUUUCUUGAAAAAUCUGGACCGUUGGAUUUACCAUUAGUCAAUAGAGAAAUGCUGAUCUUGAUUCUUGAUCAAGAUCGAAGUUUGAUUCUAUCUAACAUGAUAUCAGAUUGCGAAGCAAGCAAAUUGAAAGUAACUUGUUCUAUUUUGAUGGAAGAAACACAAUUUCUAUUGUUCUAAUAAAAAAUUUUAAUUAUACAUAUUUUUCUUUUGCCACUUGGGUUUGUAGUCCAGUGGUGAACUAUUGGCCUUAAAGUUAAGUAUGACUAUGAGGGCAAUGGUUCGAGUGCCCACGAACUCAAACUCCCUCAAUUAAACAUAAUUAUGUGGAGAUUACUUAUAACGUCUUUCUCUCUUGUGAAAUCUGAGUGGAGUAGAAAUAUCCCUUUCCCGUGAGGGUUAUUUGGCUAGGCAUGUACUUUAUAGAAUAAAAAUGUAAUAAUGUAAGUCAGUGCAAUGAUCUACUGUCAUAGUAGUUGUAAAUAUCUAGGUGUAAUACAGUAACCUGAUGCUUAAUCAGUUAAAAAAAAUGUAUAUCUUUUUUUUAUUUUUUUCAUUGUGAUCACUAUAACUAGUCAAAUUUAUUUUUAAAUAUUUUUUAAAAAAAUAUUUUAUUAACAAUGAUAUGAAAAUAUUCGAACCCCUUCUCAUAGUAAAGUGAAUUACUAUCCAACUGAUGCCUUCAAACUGUAAAUUGCAAAUCGUGUGUUUGCUCCAUUACAGGGUGUCUUCAAUUUAAAAUAGAGAAUAAUUUGGUUCUAGAUUAAUCGUGGGUCUAUAUCCAAAUCCAAAAAUUGACUAACUUGAUUUCUAUUAAGUUCUCAACCCUAACACGAAAAAUAGAAGAUUAAAAAUGACUAUUUUGGUUUCUAUUAAUUUGAGUAACACUUAAUAUUUAUCAUACAAUAGUCACUUAUAUUAUCAAAAUCUUGGGUCGAAAAUAUUAGGAUAGGUGAUAAUUGGAAUUAAGUUGUAGAUAAGAUAGAAAUGGAUUUGGAGAGAGAUUGGAAUCCUGGCUAAUCCGGUGCACGUUGUUGCGUUAAAUUCUCGUUGACUUCACGUUGACCGAAGCAUUAUUGGAAGAAACAAGCAAGCUUAUUUUCUUCUCUCAUUUUUUACUUUUGUCUAAAUUUAUUGAUGUGAGGCCUCUGAGAUGGUAAAGUGUUAAAUCUGAGAAGAGUACCCACACACCCAUUAUCCUAUUACUCUUAUUUUAUCACAUGCAGAGACGUCAACGUUUGAUUCGCACGGAAAAAAAUUUGCUAGGAUUGUGAGGGUUGAUGUAAUGUAAUUUAGAUGCAAAGUGUUCACAAGUGCGAUGCUUCGUAAGUGUACUUGAAUCAUUAUAAACUCACCUUAUUUUCAUAGUGAUUAUUUCAUCUGCAUGUGAAUAUAAUCAUAUGUGGAGAUUUUUUUCCUAAAUUAUGAUCUUCUCUGGUAUUGAGGUGUUAUAUUUUUUAAAGGUUAAUGUUAAGUUACAUGCAUGUAACUUACAACCCUCUCACAUGAAUAGUGAGUGGACCCACACCAUUCACUAUUCAUAUGAGAGGGUUGUAAGUUACAUCCUCUUUUAAAUUAUAAUUAUUAUUAUAAAAAAACUGCAACUAUGAAAAAAAAUUAAUAUUAUGUCCUGAAUAUAAUUGUUAAAUAAUAAUUUUGACAAAAUUAAUGAAUAUAUACAGUUUUUUUAUCAUAUAAGUGUAAAAUUAUAUCAAAUUAGCUUUUAAAUUAUACAGUGGCUACUGCUUAUCAAACACUUUAGUGUUGUAACUUUUAAGUUAUAACUGUCUAGCCUUUAACCUCAAUCUCAAACGAGGCUUAUAAAGAUCAAGGAUUUCCUCAUAAAAAUUAUACGUCUUGUGAUUGCUUAUUUAAUUUAUAUUUUCGUUAUUUAUCUUUAUUAAUUAUAGUCAUCUUUUUAUAAAUUACAAUUGGAGAAAGUUGGUUGAUGUUGUUGACACACACACACACAUACAAAGAUAUAUUGGAAGUGCUUAUUAUGUCGACUCGAAGUUGUGGGGAGUUAAUGCAUGUAUUGAUUUAUUGGGAGUGUUUAAAUUAUUUUGUGAUUUACUUGAUAGAUUGAUUGAUUGAAUAUUGUUUGAUUGCUUCAUAUCAAUUCUGGAAAGUUUAUUUCUUUGUGAAAUUUCAACGAAAUAUGUUUUUUAAAAUAAUAAGGGUGUUUUAAGUAAUUUUGAAAAAUAAAUACACUAAUUAGAAUUAAUUAUUAAGUAAUUAACUCGAACUGUAGAGGAUAAGCAAACAUUUAUCCUAAUUAUAUUAUGAUAAAUCCUUUUCCAACUAGAAUUAGGAAACCAUAGAUAUACAGAUUUUUAUUUUUAUUUCCCUUUGCGAAAACGGAUUAGAGAAUUAGAAAACAAUCCUAGUGAGACUAUUGUUAGGUUUAAUAUUUUGUCGAAUUUGGAAACUUUUUGUCGAAUUAGAAAACAUGCGUGGUGAAUAUUUUGUCGCAUGCAAACUUUUUGUUUUAUGCAAAUCGUACUGAACAUUGGGACUGAUGUUUAAGAAAAAAAUUCUGUAGUUAAAGAAAAACAAAAAGGCAUGUUGAAUAGAUUACGAUAGUUUAUUCAAUUGGGAAUUUUUUUUCUUUAAUUUUUGUUGUACUUGAUUGAGAUUUCUCCUUGGUCCUUACAGUCUUAAGUUUGGAUACCGUAGGAUUAGUAAUUUCGUACUUCCUUUGCAAGCUGAGUAUAAGGAUGAAAUUCUUUUAAGAAAUUAAAAAAAAAUGAUAAAAAAGGCAUACCAGUAGGCAAUUAUAAAUAACCACAAAUAAAUAUAAACAAAAUGUUUAUGAAGUAAAUUAAACAUGCACAUAUUAUUUUCUUUUAUUUUCUGCUUGGAAACCCAUAAAUACACUAAUCCAGUACUACUAAUUUCAGAUAGAAAAAUUUGAACUCUAAGCUGCAGUUUGACUCAAAAUGAUGAUCACUGGCUUCGCACCAUUUAACCGGUAUACAUUUCUACAAACUGAACAAGGCUAUUGAUUUUUAUUAUUAUUUUAAUUUGUUUAUAAAUUACUAUUUUAAUUUUCACUUUUUAUUGGGUUGUGUAACGGAUUAGUGAAGCUGGUGGUCGUUGAUGCACUUACAAGGUACAAUUUUAUUUUAUAAUUUCAAAUUCGUAUUUUAAAAUGCAGGUACAUUAUGUAUACAUAAUUAUUGAUUUUCGUAUGAGGGUGUUUUGAAAUAUUGCUAAAAGACUAAACUUUAAUAAACUAUUUUUGAUCUUUUUUUUUCCUAAAGUUUGGGUGAUAUGCGCAUUUUAAAUUCAUGUGGAACAAAAGUUAAUGUUUGUAUAAAAAUUCUUUUAUUUUUUUGAGCAAAAUAGGCAAGCGAAAAAGUUUUGGCAAAUGAGUUGCAACUGAAUCCAAAACCAAUACAAUGCAAGCAUAGGAAAGAGGCCAGUGUUUAGGAUUUGAAUUUAGUAUUAAGCUGAAUUUUAUGGUACGCUCUUUUAGAGUACUGUGAUCGAUAAGCUCAGCCCCGGAUUUGCUUUUGCUUUUGCUUUUACUUCAAGUGAAAGAAAGAGGAAACCUUUUGUUUUUUCUUUGGUUUUCAACUAUGUUACCUAUACAGAGAGACAAGAUACCUGCCAUAAGUGAUGGUGUUAAAAAGAUUAAGCAGCGCACACAAACUUACUAUCGUCUAGACCAUCCAGUGAUGACCCUAGUCUUUUGGUUACGUUAGCUUUAGUUGAAAGAAGGGCCAAUUUAACAAAGACUAGAUUUGAUGGCUUACUAUGUUUAAUGUAAUGCUAAUUUUCAGGGAAUCUAAUGUUAUAACUUAUAAGAUGAUCUCCUAUGAUGAACAACAGUAACACAUUACUGUGAUUGAGAAAACUCAGUUACAAUAAACUCUUCAUUUACUCAUUGAGAAGAUUGAAUAGCAAACAGAGAAUAGAAUGAAGCAGAGGAAUCUCAUUGCCAAUAAAAUUGACCCUCUUUAAUGUUAUAUGGCACAGGUGUGGAGGAAGAACAAGUUACUUGCAGUUUUUAUAGUAAAAUAUACAGGUAUGACCAUGAUCAUUACAGUUAGGUUUUGAUGAUUUCGGAUGCUUUUUUUAAAAAAAAAAAAAUUGUGACAUCUUUGAUUUACGGUAGUUUUGUAGAAAAAAAAUAUAUAAAAAUUAAGAGGGAUGAGUUAAACUGACGAUUACAAUCAUUCCAGCAAUGCUGAUGAGUGAUACAUCACUUGAAAUUUACUUAUUAGUUGCUGAAAUGAUGAAAAAAAAAAACAAUAAACGAUAACAGUAAUAAUGUUCCCUUGCUGAAAUUCAAUUUUGACUUUCGACUCUUGGCUUUUAUGGAGAGUAAAAUGACUUGUAUAUUAUACUCAUACAAUCCACUCUACAUAAUGAUAUCGUUUUAAUAAGGCAAUGGCUGAUGAUCUCCAUUUAAAAACUACAUCAAUUUUUUUGCUUCAUUUAACUCUCUGGUUGUUGAAAAUAACCUUAAUUAUCAAAUAAUUGGAGAAAGAGUUAAGAACAUUUAACAAAUUUAUGUGCAAAAAAAAAAAAAAAAAGGAGAAGUUGAAGAGAAAGGGUGCUUGCAGAAGUGGGUGUCAAAGAUAAAUCGGUCCAUAAGAAUUAUUGGGGUUAUUUUUUGGCAAAAUAAGAACUUAUGCGAUAGCAUUUUUUAUGGGUGCAUAUAACCUCCCUUUAAAAAAAUAUAUAAUAAUUACUGCUUAAUAUAGUAUUAAAUACAAAAAUAUCAAUAUUUGACUACUUAAAUUUAUAUCAUUAGGUCCUUAAAAUUUAAAAUGGAAGAUAUGAAAGGAAAUAUAUAUAAAUUUCAUUGUCCUGGUAAAGGGCCCUCUUAUAAUCUUAUAAUAUUUGAACUUUGAUAGAUUUUUUGAAACAAAUGUACUUUUAUUUGUGUACAAUCAAUAUUUACUCAUUUAUUAUAUUUUAAUUUAUUAACUAUUAAUCAUGUAAGUAUACUUAAUCAGAAAAAUUAUAUCAAGAGAAAAUUCUAAUUUCACGCAAAAACAAAUACCAAAACAAAUAUCUCAAUUUCUAUACUAUUCACUUUCCUGUAGAAUCAAUUAUUUAAAAUGCAAGUUUGUGGCUACAGAAAACUCGCCAAAGAAAGAAGAUAAUAACAAUUGAGCAUUGAUAGCAAAACUAAUGCAUCCAAUUCUUCUUGACUUGAUGAGAUGGCGCCAUAACGUAGACACAAGUACCUAAAUUGACCGGCACUGAGUGAUGUGAAUACUACCAGCCAGUUCAUCUCUUCCAGUCUUGCUUAAUCACAAUCACAAACACCACGAGAUCGACAUUUGCAUUAUAUAUAUCUUCAGCAAUCGAAACACCUUGCAUUACCAAAUAAGCCCGUAACAGACAAAGCAAUCUUUCAUGGAGAGAAACCUUAGUCUCAGUAUGAUCACUGUGUCAUUAACCUACUGCCUGCUUCUUUGCUUGGUUGCUGCAGCAGCAGCAGCGGCAAGCAACAAUAUUACCACAGACCAACAAGCUCUUCUUGCCCUGAAAGAUCAUAUAAUUUAUGAUCCGACCAGCCUUUUAGCUCACAAUUGGACCUCGAAUACCUCUGUUUGUACCUGGAUUGGCAUCACUUGUGAUGCCAAUAGCCAUAGAGUCACAACCUUAGAUAUUUCUCAAUUCAAUCUACAAGGCACCAUCCCUCCUCAACUUGGAAACCUCUCUUCACUCACAACACUUAAUCUUAGUCAUAACAGGCUUUCUGGAAGCGUUCCCUCCUCCAUCUACACCAUGCAUACGCUAAAAUUUCUUGACUUCACUGAUAACCAGCUCUCUGGUUCAGUGUCUUCCUUCGUCUUCAACAUGUCUUCAAUAUUAGUAAUUCGUUUGACCAAUAACAUAUUUUCUGGUGAGCUUCCGAAAAAUAUUUGCAACUAUCUUCCUUAUUUGAAGGCCCUUUUCUUAAACAAAAACAUGUUUCAUGGCAAAAUUCCUUCUGCUUUAUCAAAGUGCAAACAACUGCAACAAUUAAAUUUGCAGUUCAAUAAUUUAUCCGGUGCAAUACCAAAAGAAAUCGGCAACUUGACUAUGCUCAAAGGGAUAUAUCUCCUCUACAACAAACUCCACGGUAUGUUCACAAUACUAUAUAAAUAUUUUAAUUUAUCACUUAUUAUCUUUCUUGAAUAAUUUAGCUAAGAUCUUGUAAGAGAGAUAUUUUGCAUCUACGUUAAUUUACCAGGUGAGAUACCCCACGAAAUCGCUAAUCUUCCAAAUCUAGAGGCUUUAGCGCUUGGAAUCAACAACCUAGUUGGUGUGUUACCAGCUCCCAUCUUCAACAUGUCAACACUGAAGGUACUUAUCCUCAUAAAUAACUCUCUCUCCGGAAGUCUUCCAUCAAGAGUAGACCUUUCACUUCCAACUGUUGAGCAACUUAACUUGGCACUUAAUAGAUUUUCUGGAACCAUUCCUAGUUCCAUCACCAAUGCUUCUAAGCUCACCUUUCUAGAGUUGGGAGCAAACACAUUUUCGGGGUUUAUUCCAAACACAAUUGGUAAUUUAAGAAACCUUAAGUGGCUCGGCUUGGCUAAUAACUCCUUGACAUCUUCAACCUCAAAAUUGAGCUUUCUUUCCUCUUUGGCAAAUUGCAAGAAAUUAAGAUUCGUAAACUUAAUAGGCAAUCCACUGGACGGCUUCCUUCCAAGUUCAAUAGGUAAUCUUUCUGUGUCUUUGGAAACACUUGGCAUCGGCAAUUGCAGUAUUAGUGGCAACAUUCCUCCAGCAAUUAGCAAUUUAAGCAACUUGUUGACCUUAGUAUUACACGGCAAUAAAUUGACUGGACCAAUCCCAACUACAUUCGGCCAACUGCAGAAACUCCAAGGCUUAGAUCUUGCAUUCAAUAAGUUGGUAGGUUCAUUCCCAGAUGAGCUUUGCCAUCUGGCAAGGCUGGAUCAAUUGAUCUUAUUUGGCAAUAAGCUUUCAGGAUCUAUACCUUCAUGCUUAAGCAACCUCACUUCUCUAAGAUCUCUCUAUUUAGGGUCUAAUAAGUUUACUUCUGUUAUUCCCUCAACCUUCUGGAGCCUAAAAGACAUCUUGUUCUUUGACUUUUCAUCAAAUUUCUUGGUUGGUCCUCUUUCUUUAGAUAUAGGAAAUUUGAAGGUGCUUCUAGGAAUAAGUUUAUCGAAAAAUAAUUUAUCCGGUGAUAUCCCAGCCACAAUUGGAGGACUGAAAGAUCUUCAAUUUAUGGACCUAGCAUAUAAUAGAUUGGAAGGCCCAAUUCCUAAAUCAUUUGGUGACUUGAUAAGUUUAGAAGUUCUGAAUUUAUCAAAUAAUAAAAUCUUUGGGUCUAUUCCAACAUCCAUGGAGAAACUUUUUUACCUCGGAGAGUUAAAUCUCUCUUUCAAUAAACUAGAAGGUGAGAUUCCUAGUGGAGGAACUUUUGCCAACUUCACAGCUAAGUCAUUUAUGGGAAAUGAGUUUUUGUGUGGUUUACAAAAUCUUCAAGUCCAACCAUGCAAAGUUAGCAAGCCGAGGACAGAACAUAAAUCAAGGAAAAAGAUACUUCUCAUUGUGAUUGUUUCGCCAUUGAGUAUUGCUCUAACAAUAGCAAUCACUCUAGCUCUCAAAUCUAAGCUGAUCGAAUGUGGAGAAAGAAGCACAGUGUUGUCAAAUGAUAGUAUCUUGUCAUCACAAGCAACACUAAGAAGAUUUUCAUACUUAGAACUUUUACAAGCAACAGAUAAUUUUGCUGAAAACAGCAUAAUUGGCAGAGGAGGUUUCGGUUCCGUUUAUGGAGCAAGACUUGAAGAUGGGAUGAAGAUUGCAAUAAAAGUGUUUCACAGGCAAUGUGCAAGCGCAUUGAAGAGUUUUGAGGCUGAAUGUGAAGUGAUAAAAAAAAUUCGCCAUCGAAACCUUAUCAAAGUUAUCAGCAGUUGCUCGAACGAUGACUUCAAAGCAUUAGUCCUAGAAUACAUGUCCAACGGGAGCUUAGGGGAUUGGCUGCAUUCGAGCAAUUACGUGCUGAAUAUUUUUCAAAGGUUGAACAUACUAAUUGACGUUGCAUCAGCUUUAGAAUACCUCCACUUCGAUCAUUCAACUCCUAUUAUUCAUUGUGACUUAAAGCCUAGUAAUGUAUUGUUGGACGAAAAUAUGGUUGCUCAUUUGAGUGAUUUUGGCAUAGCAAAGCUUUUAAGUGGAGAAGAUGAGUCUACGAUGCGAACAAAAACCCUUGCCACUAUAGGUUAUAUGGCACCAGGUUUGCUUCAAACAACUUUUUUUUUUUAAACUUCAUUUUAAAUUUUCUAAAUCAUUGAUUUUUACGAUCCUCAUAUCAAAUUGUUAUUGAUUAUUUAUCUAAUUGUGAAAUUAAUUUGAUUCAUAGAGUAUGGCAUAGGAGGAGAAGUAUCUACAAAAAGCGAUGUUUACAGCUAUGGGAUUAUGCUGAUGGAAACUUUUACCAAGAAAAAACCCACAGAUGAAAUUUUUGUUGGAGAAUUGAGCUUAAAGCAUUGGGUUAAUGACUUGCUUCCUAAUUCAUUAGUGGAAGUUGUGGACAAAACUCUGCUAAGUGGAGAGGAAAAACACUCUGCAGCAAAGGAGCAAUGUCUGUUGUCUAUCUUUAGUUUGGCUCUGGAGUGUACAAUGGAAUCACCGGAAAAGAGGAUUAAUGCAAAAGAUAUUGUUACCGGAUUACUCAAGAUAAGAGACACAUUCAGUAAAAGGAUAGGAAAUUUAAGUUAAUUUCGUUUGCUUUCAUUGAUAGUUAAUUCGAAUUCAUGUAAUAAGUGUAAGAAUCUUAUAUCUUUUCCUUUGAUAUAUUUUUUUUCUUGAGAAAACUGUUGUAGUCAUCUUGUUUCCAUGGGCAGAGUUGAUUUAGUUCUUCCAAAAAAUGCUACUGAUGACCUUUGUUUAAUACUUUCUCUUUUUUUGCAUGUGUUUAGGUAGAACAGUGGUUUGGCUGCAGGCUAAUAAGUCAAGCUACGCCAAAAGCGUAUGAUUUAAUUUAUUAAACAUAACUUCAAGUUCAAGAAGUGUUUCUCAUUGCCACCAAUGCUUUGGACACCUGUUGGAAGGUUUGUUGUCCUCAGCUUUUGUUUAGAGCAAAAGUUCGAGUCCCAUAAAGGCUCAAACAUUCCUUUCCUUCAUCCCGAGGGCGCCUUCUGUCCUCUGUUUUCUGUUUCCACACACAAAUAGCACAAAGAAUUUAGAAUGACAACUGGGACAUAUAUAAGAGUGAAAUAAUUAAAAAAAUUAUGCUUUUUUGUUUGUCGUGUUAAAAUCGUAAGUACCGAAGUACUGUGAAAGAGAUUAAUUUACAGAAACUGAAGCCAAGGGUUCAAAAAAAACUAUUGAUGUAGCUAGAAUGCAAUGUCAUAUUCAUACAGAGAUGAAGUAUAUUAUUUACGGCUGGUAAGGACUAGGAAUUGAUGUAGCUAGAAUCCAAAGAUGAUAAGGUAUGUUGUGCACUAUUGUUUUAUUCUACGGUCAAUCUUGACCCUUGGUGCUUGGCUCUCAAUCUUGUCCAUUGAUCUUCUCUGAUCUUGGAAACUUCAAGACCUUUCACUCUCAUGCCUUAUUAUUGGUGUCUUCCAUGCUGUAGCUUUCAAAUACAAGCUUUCCCGCCAACUUGCCAAUUAUUUGUCCGUUGGUGCAUUUUAUCAAACAGUUUGGAUACUUAUACCAAACGCCUCCUGUUUUAACUCCCCCCUCAAGCUCAAGCAUGUGGGAAGACAUUAAUAAGCUUGUUUCUCAAGUAUAUGUAUCUGAAAAUUAAAUUUUAUAAAUUAUAUUCGGACUCUACAUUUUCUAAUGAACAUUGGUUUGGCUUAUAAGCUUAUUAUACUCAGGUUUGGUAGGAGCCAUGUCACAAUGUUAACGCUAACCAGCAGUACUGCCAAAGCUGGCCAACUCAGCCUGCAAGUUCAUAGCAACCAUAGUUACAGUCCUAGUCCGGUACAAAAAUCGUAAAUAUCAUUUACAUUACAAUGGUGUGGGGGGGGGGGGGGGGGGGGGGGGGGGGUGGCUGGAGAGGGAAUCAACAAAGAUCUAGAACGAAGGGUAGGCUUGUAUCCGUAACCCAUGUCACAGUGUUAAUGCUAACCGUGGACCUUAUUAUAUUAGUUUCUGGACUAUUAUUACUUUUGAAUUGCCAUCUUUGAAUUUACGUUCAUUUCUGCCUCGACAAGAUGUUUGUAAAAAUAUGCUAAUUAUUAAUGUGCCGUGUACAAAUAAGCAUGUUACUGUGCAAGGAUUGUAGUCAUGAUACAGUGGUGCAAAAUGUACAUGCUACUUCUUCUUUUCCUCAGUUAGGAUCACCGUCGUCACCAUUUAAUUCUAAGUCCACCCAUGCGGCCUAUGCAAUUGAAAUCAUGUGACCAUGUAAUUUUAGGUUCUGAUCUUCCUUGUGGGGUUAAACCUCAAAACUGUGACCAUUUUGGGACUUUUAAUCAGUUCCAAUCAUUUUCUGGUUCCCAUUCGUCCACCCAAGCCUUGAUUCCCCCGAUAUAGCAUGGCAAUAUAUAUAGGAAUAUUAAGGUUGUGUACAGUUUUUUUCUUUUCUGUUUUUAAUUUGAUAUAAAUUAUCAAUCAUGAAUCUACAUAAAGUUUCAACUAGGCUACUACCACAAUAAACAUUUGGAUGAACUAUUAUUGAAACCUUAUUGAGAAGUAGGACAUGUCGCAUACCAAUGCACUGACAUAUCUUCAAAUAGUGGUAACUCCACACAACAUGGCACAAUAAAUUAAGAGUUAUAUAGAUAAAAUCUUUCACUCUUUGGUAAUCAUCAAUGUCGGCAUGACAAUGCGUCCCACAAAUAUGGCUCCUUAUCAAAAUUCAUAAAUCAAAACAAAAAUAGAGAAUCAUAUUUGUUCCAGAUUGUAGUGAUGGUUGUUGAUGCACUCACAAUUUACAAUUUUAUUUAAUAUCUUCAAAUUCGCAUUUUAAAAUGCCCAAAUGUUUGUGUAUACAUAAUUAGAUAAAAUCUUUCAUUCUUUGGUAAUCAUCAAUUUCACUAUUAUUCGCUUUAUUAUGUUUGUUUCUUUCAGUAUGUUAAAAGAUUAUGUUGUGAAUUUGUUUUACAGGCCGCCCGUAAGUCUGCGCCCACUGUUGUGAAUUUGUGUAUACAUAAUUAGUAAUCGAUUCUCAAGCACGGACAUUUAAAAGCACUGCCGAAAGACAAAAUUUUAAUUUACUAUUUUUUGUCUUUUAAUUUUCUUUAAGUUUUAAUGAUUCCGCAUUUUAAAAUCCUGUGGAACGUGUAUGUAAAAUUCUUUUAUCUUUUAGAGGAAAACGGGCAAGAGAAGAAUAUUUGGCAAAGGAAUUGCAACCGCAUUUGGAGCUAUAUUUAAUUUUGUCUUUUAAGUCUUUUACACUUGUUUUUGUUAUUGAUGUUAGCUUGGAUGUGUGUGCGUGUGCGACUGAAUUCAACUUACAUGCUAUUGAUGCAGCCACCAAAAAGGGGUGGUCCAUCAUCAAUCAACAAGGUUUAUUAUUAUUAAUUUCCAUAUUGAUUUUCUUAAUUAUAAAUAAUACUAAUGUUAUUUCAUAGUUAUAAAUAUAUUAGAAUUAAUCGAAAUCAUUUUUUAGUGCGGCAUGGCUAAAACUACCCUCUUCUUUUUUUUUAUAAGUAAUUACUACUUUCACAUUAAGAAAAAUACUCCUAUUUUUUAGGAAAAGUCAAGUACCUGUAGUUGUGAAGACUCGAGCUCACUCCCUUAUGAUAAAUCUUCAUAUUAAUUACGUAAAUAUCCUCUAAAAUUUUAAAUUAGCUAUUCAAAAUUUGAUGUUAUACGGGUAUUUCAUUUAUUUGAGUAGGGGUUAGGGGUCAAUUGGAUACAAAUUCAAAAUUAUCCUUACUUGAGAUGGUGAUAAAAAUUGGGGAUUUAAUUUGGAUGUCAUUAGCUACAAAUAUUAAACUCAUACAUUUAAUUCAAAAUUGGAGGGCUGAUAUAAGCGCAUCAUCCCACAACCUCUCCAAUGAAAAAUUAACACGUUUCUUGUGUGCAUUUGAUCAGAAUCCUGAAAAUUAAUCACAAAAUUGUCCUGGAAAAAAAAAUACUUACAUAAAUGGUUUGAAAAAUCUAGAUUUCAAGUUGUCUAUAUUAGGUUGAUAUUUUUAUAAAUAGUCAUCCUCUCAAAAAAAUUCCGUCAAAAUAUAUUUUAAUUUUAUGUUAAUUCAUAAACAUGAAAAAAUCAUUUCAGAAUUAAUUAAAACAUAAUUUAUUGUUUCUCAAAAAAGGUAGAACUUAGUGAUAAGAAAAAAGUAUCUCAAAUAUAUGUAAAAAAAAAAAAAAUCUUGGUUAGUUGGAAUGAUUGAAUUUGUUUUUUUUUUUCUUUUUUAAGAAUUAAGACAAUCGGAUUGAUUGAGUAAUAAUAAUAUAUAUUUAUUUGGCAAAUGGCAGGUAGGCUUUCGUCUCAUGCAGAUUGAUUAGAGAGAAAAUAUAACAAUUUUAAGCUCGUCAGAUUCGAAGCUGCUUUCCUGUCGUGUGGGGAUCACUUCCGUGUCUUAUUUUUCUAGAAAAAUCAGGACCAUUGGAUUUAUGCGAAUCGUACUGAACAUUGGAAUUGAUGUAUAAGAAAAAAAUUCUGUAGUUUAAGAAGAACAAAAAGGCAUGUUGAAUAGAUUACAAUAGUUUAAGGAAAAAAAUUAUUCAAUUGGGAAUUUUUUUUUUCUUUAAUUUUUGUUGUACUUGAUUGAGAUUUCUCCUUAGUCCUUAGAGUUUUAAGUUUGGAAACCGUAGGAUCAGUAAUUUCGUACUUCCUUUGCAAGCUGAGUAUAAGGAUGAAAUUCUUUUAAGAAAUUAAAAAAGAUAAAAAAAAGCAUACCAAUAGGUAAUUAUAAAUAACCACAAAUAAAUAUAAACAAAAUGUUUAUGAAGUAAAUUAAACAUGCUCAUAUUAUUUUCUUUUAUUUUCUACUUGGAAAUCCAUAAAUACACUAAUCCAGUAUUACUAAUUUCAGACAGAAAAAUUUGAAUUUAACCAGUAUACACUAAUCCAGUAUUAUUUUUAUUAUUAUUUUAAUUUGUUUAUAAAUUACUAUUUUAAUUUUCACUUUUUAUUGGGUUGUUUAACGGAUUAGUGAAGCUGGUGGUCGUUGAUGCACUCACAAGGUACAAUUUUAUUUUAGAAUUUCAAAUUCGUAAUUUAAAAUGCAGGCACAUUAUGUAUACAUAAUUAUUGAUUUUCAUAUGUGGGUGUCUUGAAAUAUUGCCAAAAGAUCAAACUUUAAUAAACGAUUUUUGAUCUUUUUUUUUCCUUUGUACCUAAAGUUUGAGUGAUAUCCGCAUUUUAAAUUCAUGUGGACCAAAAGCUAAUGUAUGCACAAAAUUCUUUUAUUUUUUCCGAGAAAAAUGGGUAAGAGAAGAAGAUUUUUCUCUUGAAAAAGAAAAACUAAUACGUUGCAAGCAUAGGAAAGAGGCCAGUGUUUUGGAUUUGAAUUUAGUAUUGGGUUGAAUUUUAUGCUAAGCUCUUUUAUAAUACUUUAUAGAAUAAAAAUGUAAGGGGUAUUUGGUUAGGCAUGUACUUUGUAGAAUAAAAAUGUAAUAAUGUAAGUCAGUGCAAUGAUCUGCUGUCAUAAUAGUUGUAAAUAUUUAUGUGUAAUAUAGUAACAUGAUGCUUAAUCAGUUAAAAAAAAAUUGUAUAUCUUUUUUUAUUUUUUUUUAUUGUGAUCAAUAUAACUAGUCAAAUUUAUUUUUAAAUAUUUUUUUAAAAAUAUUUUUAUCGUGUGUUUGCUCCAUUACAGGGUUUCUUCAAUUUAAAAUAGAGAAUCAUUUGUGUUCUAGAUUAAUCGUGGGUCUAUAUCCAAAUCCAAAAAUUGACUAACUUGAUUUCUAUUAAGUUCUCAACCCUAACAAGAAAAAUAGAAGAUUAAAAAUGACUAUUUUGGUUUCUAUUAAUUUGAGUAACGCUUAAUAUUUAUCAUACAAUAGUCACUUAUAUUAUCAAAAUCUUGGGUCGAAAAUAUUAGGAUAGGUGAUAAUUGGAAUUAAGUUGUAGAUAAGAUAGCCUUUCAAAAAAAAGAAAAGAAAAAAAGUUGUAGAUAAGAUAGAAAUGGAUUUGGAGAGAGAUUGGAAUCCUGGCUAAUCCGGUGCACGUUGUUGCGUUAAAUUCUCGUUGACUUCACGUUGACCGAAGCAUUAUUGGAAGAAACAAGCAAGCUUAUUUUCUUCUCUCAUUUUUUACUUUUGUCUAAAUUUAUUGAUGUGAGGCCUCUGAGAUGGUAAAGUGUUAAAUCUGAGAAGAGUACCCACACACCCAUUAUCCUAUUACUCUUAUUUUAUCACAUGCAGAGACGUCAACGUUUGAUUCGCACAGAAAAAAAUUUGCGAGGAUUGUGAGGGUUGAUUCAAUAUAAUUUAGAUGCAAAGUGUUUACAAGUGCGAUGCUUCGUAAGUGCACCCGAAUCAUUAUAAACUCACCUUAUUUUCAUAGUGAUUAUUUCAUCUGCAUGUGAAUAUAAUCAUAUGUGGAGAUUUUUUUUUCCCUAAACUAUGAUCUUCUCUGGUAUUAAGGUGUUAUAUCUUUUAAAUUAUAAUUAUUAUUAGUAAAAAACUGCAACUAUGAAAAAGAAAUUUAAUAUUAUGUCCUGAAUAUAAUUAUUAAAUAAUAAUUUUGACAAAAUUAAUGAAUAUAUACAGAUUUUUUUAUCAUAUAAAUGUAAAAUUAUAUCAACUUAGCUUCUAAGCUAUACAACGGCUACUAUUUACUAAAUACUUUAGUGUCGUAGUUUUUAAGAUAUAUUUAUCCAACCUCAAUCCCAAACAUAACCUGUAAGGAUAAAAAAUUUCAUCCUAAAAAUUAUACGUCUUGUGACUUAUUUAAUUUAUAUUUUUGUUAUUUAUAUUUACUAAUUAUAGUCAUCUUUUAAUAAAUUACAAUUGAAGGAAGGUGGUUGAUGUUGUCGAGACACACACACAAAGAUAUAUUGGAAGUGCUUAUGUCCACUCGAAGUUGUGGGGAGUUAAUGCAUGUAUUGAUUUAUUGGGAGUGUUAAUGCAUGUAUUGAUUGAUUGAGUGAUUGAAUACUGUUUGAUUGCUUCAUAUCAAUUCUAGAAAGUUUAUUUCUUUGUGAAAUUUCAACGAAACGUGUUUUUUUAGAAUAAUAAGGGUGUUUUAAGUAAUUUUAAAAAAUGAAUGGACUAAUUAGAAUUAAUUAUUAGGUAAUUAACUCGAAUUGUAGAGGGUAAGCAAACAUUUAUCCUAAUUAUAUUAUGAUAAAUCCUUUUCCAAUUAGAAUUAGGAAACCAUAGAUAUACUGAAUUUUUUUUAUUUCCCUUCGCGAAAACGGAUUAGAGAAUUAGAAAACAAUCCUAGUGAUACUAUUGUUAGGUUUAAAACACUGCAUAGAUGGUAAAAACAUUGGAAUUGAUGUAGAUUAAUUUGUUAAUUGCUAUCGUACUGAACAUUGUUUUAUGCAAAUUAAUUUGAGAAUUAGAAAAUAUUUUGUUGCAUGCAAACUUUUUGUUUUAUGCAAAUCGUACUGAACAUUGGGACUGAUGUUUAAGAAAAAAAUUCUGUAGUUAAAGAAAAACAAAAAGGCAUGUUGAAUAGAUUACGAUAGUUUAUUCAAUUGGGAAUUUUUUUUUUUAAUUUUGUUGUACUUGAUUGAGAUUUCUCUUUAGUCCUUUCGUACUUCCUUUGUAAGCUGAGUAUAAGGAUGAAAUUCUUUUAAGAAAUUAAAAAAGAAAAAAAAGCAUGCCACUACGCAAUUAUAAAUAACCACAAAUAAAUAUAAACAAAAUGUUUAUGAAGUAAAUUAAACAUGCACAUAUUAUUUUCUUUUAUUUGCUGCUUGGAAACCCAUAAAUGCACUAAUCCAAUAUUACAAUUAAUUUCAGACAGAAAAAAUUGAACUCUAGGCUGCAGUUUGACUCAAAAUGAUGACCACUGGCUUCGCACCAUUCAACCGGUAUACAUUUCUACAAACCGAACAACGCUAUUGAUUUUUAUUAUUUUUUUAAUUUUUUUAUAAAUUACUAUUUUAAUUUUCACUUUUUAUUGGGUUGUUUAACGGAUUAGUGAAGCUGGUGGUCGUUGAUGCACUCAUAAGGUACAAUUUUAUUUUAGAAUUUCAAAUUCGUAUUUUAAAAUGCAGGCACAUUAUGUAUACAUAAUUAUUGAUUUUCAUAUGUGGGUGUUUUGAAAUAUUGCCAAAAGACCAAACUUUAAUAAACUAUUUUUGAUUUUUUUUUCCUUUUUACCUAAAGUUGGAGUGAUAUCCGCAUUUUAAAUUCAUGUGGAACAAAAGCUAAUGUAAGCACAAAAUUCUUUUAUUUUUUCCGAGAAAAAUGGGUAAGAGAAGAAGAUUUUUCUCUUGAAAAAGAAAAAAAAAUACAAUGCAAGCAUAGGAAAGAGGUCAGUGUUUUGGAUUUGAAUUUAGUAUUGAGCUGAAUUUUAUGCUAAGCUCUUUUAUAGUACUGCGAUUAAUAAGCUAGCUCAGGAUUUGCUUUUGCUUUUACUUCAAGUAAAAGAAUGAGGAAGCCUUUUGUUUUUUUGUUUGAUUUUUGACUAUAUAUGUUACCUAUAUAGAGAGUUGAGGUAGCAGCCUUAAGUGAUGGUGAUAAAAAGAUUAAGCAGCGCACACAAUCUUACUGUCGUCGAGACCAUCCAGUGAUGGCUCUUGUUUUUUUGUUACGUUAGCUUUAGUGGAAAGAAGGACCAAUUUAACAAAGACUAGAUUUGGUGGCUUACUAUGUUUAAUGUAAUGCUUAUUCUCAGCGCACACAAUCUUACUAUGUUUAAUGUAAUGGUUAUGUUGAAUGAUCUUCUAUGAUUGUGAGUAGUAUAGUAUAAUUGCAAGGGGCCUGGGCUCCUAUGAUGAAUAACAGUAACACAUUACUGUGAUUGAGAAAACUCAGUUCCAAUAAACUCUUCAUUUACUCAUUGCGGAGAUUGAAUGGCAAACAGAGAAUAGAAUGAAGCAGAAGAAUCUCAUUGUUAGGUUUUGAUGAUUUCAGAUGCUUUUUAAAAAAAAACAAUUGUGACAUCUUUGAUUUAAGGUAGUUUUGCAAAAAACAAAACAUAUAAAAAUUAAGAGGGAUGAUUUAACUGACGAUUACAAUCAUUACAGCAAUGCUGAUGAGUGAUAAAUCACUUGAAAUUUACUUGUCAGUUGCUGAAAUGAUGAAAAAAAACAAUAAACGAUAACAGUAAUAAUGUUCCCUUGCUGAAAUUCAAUUUUGACUUUCGACUCUUGGCUUUUAUGGAGAGUAAAAUGACUUGUAUAUUAUACUCAUACAAUCCACUCUACAUAAUGAUAUCGUUUUAGUAAGGCAAUGGCUGAUGAUCUCCAUUUAAAAACUACAUCAAUUUUUUUUUGCUUCAUUUAACUUUUUGGUUGUUGAAAAUAACCUUAAUUACCAAAUAAUUGGAGAAAGAGUUAAGAACAUUUAACAAAUUUAUGUGCAAAAAAAAAAGAAGGAGAAGUUGAAGAGAAAGGGUGCUUGCAGAAGUGGGUGUCAAAGAUAAAUCGGUCCAUAAGAAUUAUUGUGGUUAUUUUUUGGCAAUAUAAAAAAUUUUUAGUAAGUAAAAAUAAUUUUUUUUUCGAUUUACUAAAAAAUUAACUAAAAACUUCUGCGAUAGCAUUUUUUAUGGGUGCAGAUACCCUCCCUUUAAAAAAAAUAUAAUAAUUACUGCUUAAUAUAGUAUUAAAUACGAAAAUAUCAAUAUUUGACUACUCAAAUUUAUGUCAUUAGGUCCUUCAAAUUUAAAAUGGAAGAUAUGAAAGGAAAUAUAUAUAAAUUUCAUUGUCCUGGGAAAGGACCCUCUUAUAAUCUUAUAAUAUUUGAACUUUGAUAGAUUUUUUGAAACAAAUUUAGAUAGAUUUUUUGAAACAAAUUUACUUUUAUUUGUGUACAAUCAAUAUUUACUUAUUUAUUAUAUUUUAAUUUAUUAACUAUCAAUCAUGUUAAUAUAUUUAGUCAGAAAAAUCAUAUCAAGAGAAAAUCAUGACCCCACGCACGGAUAAAUACGUUAAUUUCUAUACUAUUCACUUUCCUGUAGAAUCAAUUAUUUAAAAUGCAAGUUUGUGGCUACAGAAAACUCGCCAAAGAAAGAAGAUAAUAACAAUUGAGCAUUGAUAGCAAAACUAAUGCAUCCAAUUCUUCUUGACUUGAUGAGAUGGCGCCAUAACGUAGAAACAAGUACCUAAAUUGACCGGCACUGAGUGGUGUGAAUACUACCAGCCAGUUCAUCUCUUCCAGUCGUGCUUAAUCACAAUCACAAACACCACGAGAUCGACAUUUGCAUUAUAUAUAUCUUCAGCAAUCGAAACACCUUGCAUUACCAAAUUAACCAGCAACAAACAAAGCAAUCUUUCAUGGAGAGAAACCUUAGUCUCAGUAUGAUCACUGUGUCAUUAACCCACUGCCUGCUUCUUUGCUUGGUUGUUGCAGCAGCAGCAGCAGCAAGCAGCAAUAUUACCACAGACCAACAAGCUCUUCUUGCCCUGAAAGAUCAUAUAAUUUAUGAUCCGACCAACCUUUUAGCCCAUAAUUGGACCUCGAACACCUCUCUUUGUACCUGGAUUGGCAUCACUUGUGAUGCCAAUAGCCAUAGAGUCACAACCUUAGAUAUUUCUCAAUUCAAUCUACAAGGCACCAUCCCUCCUCAACUUGGAAACCUCUCUUCACUCACAACGCUUAAUCUUAGUCAUAAUAAGCUUUCUGGAAGCGUUCCCCCCUCCAUCUACACCAUGCAUACGCUAAAAUUUCUAGACUCCACUGCUAACCAGCUCUCUGGUUCAGUGUCUUCCUUCGUCUUCAACAUGUCUUCAAUAUUAGACAUUCGUUUGACCAAUAACAGACUUUCUGGUGAGCUUCCGAAAAAUAUUUGCAACUAUCUUCCUCAUUUGAAAGCC
Molecule: long non-coding RNA, 156725 nt
Filed under: Citrus maxima (pomelo)
Lineage: Eukaryota; Viridiplantae; Streptophyta; Magnoliopsida; Sapindales; Rutaceae
Description: long non-coding RNA (CMAX_LNC003928)
Source: RNAcentral